RNAcentral lists this long non-coding RNA (91999 nucleotides) under Vitis vinifera (wine grape). RNAcentral's name for it is "long non-coding RNA (VVIN_LNC004245)". The record is from RNAcentral. Lineage: Eukaryota; Viridiplantae; Streptophyta; Magnoliopsida; Vitales; Vitaceae.
ACUCUAUACUGAAGGUAAAUUGUGGGAACUAUGUCUUUUUGUGGUAUAGAUGGGGUUAUCAUAUAGUUGAAUGAUUCUAUUGCUUCCUUAUAACUUUUCAAGGCACUAAAAAAGAAAAAAACAAAGGUCGGACUAGGAAAAAUAUUUCGUCCUGAUUUCAGGUAUACUCUUUCCUUAUGAAGUCUUAUUGUGGUAAAUUAUAGUUAGAUAUAGUCACAUCGACAUUUUUUUCUUCCAAGUUUAAACAGUAAUUCGGGAGAGUGUAUUAUGAAAACAUAGUAAAAUAAAAAAUCUUAUGAAUGUAUUCUACUUUGGAUAUUUCUUAUGAAUCUUCCCCUGCACUCCUGACCACCACAGACACUCCCAUCACACCAAGCCUUGUAGCUGUUCUAAAUUGUUGCAAAUAUGUUAGAAACCAAUUACUAAUAUUAAGGACGGUCAUGUCUACUAAUUUCGGGUUAGAAUUUUUAGAGUAGGUGGGAAAUUAUGGUUGCAGUAGGGAAUGUGAGUGCUUCUGUUUUGCCAAGGUGGCUUUCCUUAUUCAUGCUAACAUCAACAACAUAGCAAUGAACUCGAUUUAAUAUUGUUUAUCGUAUAGGCUUGAGAUAUCCGGACAGAAAAGUUAAAACAAGAUCUUCCAGGCUAUGAAGAUGAGGUAUUUUUCUCCUCUUAAGUACUACUUAAUAUUCUUCUUUUGACAUUGUACUUGGUUUAAUUAAUGUUUUCCUUCUUUUCGUACUCUGGAAAGGUUUUUGCUGUUGAUUGGAGUCCAGAUGGUGAGAAGGUAGCCUCCGGUGGUAGGGACAGAGUACUCAAUUUAUGGAUGGGUUGAUGGCUAAAGGAGGAAGAGAUGUAUGAAAUGAAGAUUGACAUGAUUCUUCCACAACAUGAUGGACUUGGCAGACACUCAACUUUUGCCUAUAGUUGAUAGUCUACCAUGUGUAACUUAAAGGUUGUGCACUAAGUUCUGAUGUUAUGAAGGAUCGAGGGUGGUUUGUGCACUAAGCUCUUCUAAAAUAUUUUUCUUUAUUGAGCUGUAAUGAUUGUAUUAUUUGGAUUUAAUUGUAUUCAUUAGGUUUGUAGAUCACGAUAUGAUUAUUUUCCUCUUUGAUCAUGUAAAGUUAGGAAGCAGUUAUGGGUUACUAUAUUAGCAUGGUAUAUUGAUGCACACAGUUUGUGGCAUGACAGUUUGAUGAAAUUACAGAAGUGUAGCACUCAUAGGCAUAUCAUGUGAACCUUAUUCAAUGUGGCAUUGACAGUUAGUUUAUAUUUACAUGGGUGUAAUGUCGCACUAGUAUCCUCUAAUGAACCUUGGAUUCUUUUUUCUCCGUUUCUUCCUCUCUUGGUCAAGCAAAACAAUUUAUCUUCAUGACUUCCUCCUAUUACCAAAAAGCAACAUCUUGUGUUCUCCAUCUCUUCAUUCCCUUGUCAAGACACAACAAUUUGAUGCAUUUUUGCAUUGGGUUGCUUCCUCUCCUUCCCUUCUCCUUCCUCCUCGUCUCAUUGCUUAGUUUUGGCUAUGUUUAUUUUGAUCAUUAUGGUAGAGCAUCCUUGCAAGAUGUACAAGAAAUAUGUUGUGGUGCAUUAUCCCCUUCUCUACCACCCGAAAUCUGUUUUCCAUGAUCAUUAAUACCAAGAUGUUUAAGCAUCAAGUAAGGCAUCUCUCAACAAUUAUGCGAGAAAUAAGAGACAAGCAACAUACCAGUAUUCAAGAGAAGUGAUGUUCUACAUUUGCAUUUGACAACAUGCAUUUAGUCUGAACUCCAAAUUUGGGCAACUCAGAAUCUCCACCUUCAUUAUGAUUGCAGAAAGUUGCCUUCUUGGAAAAAUGUGGAAAUUGGGCAUUUAGAAAUCUAAAAGAAUCACAGUGGCAUGUUGCUACUUUUGAAUCAUUCCAAUCAAUAACAACUCCAAAGAUAUAUAUACAAAUUUGUCCAUAGGAAAGAGAUCAAUGUUUCUUGGGCAUGCAACCAUCUCUCUUAACAAACUCAGGGUUCUACACCCUCUUAGUGGUUUCUUAUAUAUUGCACCAUAUGAUUUGUAGAUAUCCAAUUGCCAAUUUCACUACACCUAAUGAACUAGAAGCUAUGCUAAAAGUGAAGUUAAACAACCCAUCGUAGAAAGAAUCUUGUAGGAAUACACCAAAAAGAAAAUCUUAUUAACAUAAAUGAACUCAUCCAGUUAAAGGAUAAAGUUGCAUUAAAAAUUGAAUUGGGAGAGAUACAAAUAUUGAUGCUUACGUGGGACUGUGGAAUGGAUCAACAAGAGGAACAAACACUGAAUAGUAAAUGUAAAGUCAUAAAGCUUGUAACAACUGUCAAAUACUACUCUAUAGUGAAGUUUUUUUUAACAAUAAAGGUAACUGCAAAAUUCACCAAAUAGCUCCACUUGAAGGAAAUUUCAAUGGUAUGAAACUAAGAUAUGGUGAACUCUCCUUGCUUCUGCUAUUGUUGUGAGCCAUUAUAGAUCAAAGAUGAAUCUCGCCAUCUGUUUUCACAUAGGAGAUGUGGGCUAUCUUUGGGUCAUCUCUCAUCAUUGGAUUUAGGAGUUAUGUCUCUCAUAUAUAGUUUCACUUGCCAACUACAAAUGGAGCUUAGCAGAUGUCUCCAUGAUGUGGAGACUGAGCAACAUACAUGAUUCAAGGGAUGUGCAGUUGUUCUUGUGAAUCACCCAAUCUUCAUCUAAUAUAUAUAGACGCACAAAUUUUAGCAACUUGUAAUCUCCACAUUUUAGAGCACUAGAGGAAGCUAGCUUAUUCAGCAAACAUAACACAAUUAGAAAAAUACAAGAAUUCCAGAUACAUGUUGUGCUAUCAUGCAUUCCAAUCAGUAAGGAAUCAAAGUGCUAUAAUUUUAAACUAUGCAAUAACAAACCUAUCUUGGGGAAGUAAACUGUCUUGAGCACCAACUUAAUUGUGAGUUCUUUGGGAGACUUGGACACCAACUCAAUCAAAACUGCUAGUUGUUUCUGUGGCAGCUUGUCUUCAUCCACUGAUAUUGGAGAAAAUGCUUUUGAAAACCCUUAAUCUUCAAAUCACAAAGAGAAAUUAGAUUAUGUUGGUAUUCGAUCUCCAAUCUCUUUAACACAAAUGGAUGAUUUCCUAGUAACAAACAAUGGCUAAUUUUAUCACUUAUACUCUAGCAUGUGAUUUGGGAGGAGAAUUAAGCUUUGGAAUAUUGCCAAUAAACAAGGAAUUGAGAAAGACCAAGUGGGCAGCCACCACAACUAGUUCACAAAAAAAUGGAAGCAUUGGGAGUGGAACAUGACACAAAAACAAAACAUGUUUUCCAUAUUCAUAAAUACCAAGGUGUUUAAGCAUCAGGUAAGGCAUCUCUUGACAAUAAUAUGAGAGAUAGAGACAAGUAGCAUACCGUUAUUCAAGAGAAGUGGUAUUCUUCUUUUGCAUUUGACAACAUUCAUCCACUUUACACCCCAAUUUUGGUAACUUAGGAUCUCCACCUUCAUUAGGAAUAUUGUAGGAAACUGGCCUCUUGGAAAUACAUGAGAGGACAUUUAGAAAUCUAAAAUAAUUCUAGAGACUUGUUAUUGCUUGAAUUGUGAAUCAUUCCAAUUAGUAACAACCGUAGAGCCUCUAUACACAAUUUUGAAUUAUCUACCUUCUUACAUUAGAUGAAAAAUCUAUCCCUAGAAAAGAGGCGUGUCUCGGGCCAUGCAACCAUCAAUUAUUAGCUCUCUAAGAGGCUUGAAGUUGUGCACCCUCUUGGUAGCUUCUCAUUCAUUACAACAUAUAAAUUCCAGAUAUCCAAUUGGCAUGUCACUUGAACAUAGUAAGAAACAUAGUGAAUAGGAAGUUAGACAACCUGUCACAAAAAGAAUCCUACAAUAAUACACCAAAUAAAACAUCUUGCUAAUUCAGUUAAACAAUUGUGUGAAAAUCUAAAUUAAGAGAGAGAAAAACAUUUAUGCUUACAUAGGACUAUGGGAGGGACCACAAGGGAAAUGAACUUCGAAUAGAAAAUGUGAAGCUUUAAAGCUUGUAAUUGUUGUCAAAAGUUGCCCCCUAGUCAAGUUUUCAACAAAAAUGUUCAGUGUAAGGAUUCUCUAGUAACUCAACUUGUAGAAAAUUUCAACAAUAUGACAAUUUAUACUCAUAAAAAGAAGAUAAAAUGUAAGAAUUAUGUGUUGGGAAUAGAUGAAACUUACUGAAUAUAUAUAUAUAUAUAAAAUAGGAUGAACUCCACCAGCUUCCAUUUUUGGAAUCCAAACUAUUAUGGAUCAAAGAUGAAUCUCUCCAUCUAUUUAUAAAUAGGACCUAUGGGCAAUCUUGAAUUGAUGUCUCAUCACUGGAUUUAGAACUGAUGUAUAGCUCUGAACCAUGGCAGAGUUCUCCUUCAGUUGCCAAAUACCACUAGAGCUUAGGUGAGGUCUUGGUGAUGUAGGGAAGUCAUGGAUUCCGGAAUCUUUACAUGAAAAUAUACAGGAGAUACAUUGGAAGAAAGGACAGGCCAUCUGAGAAGAAACACAUCUUAAAGUAUACCAUCAAUCAUGAGUUGUUUGAGAGUGAGGAGUCUUUGAAGGCCUCACUCAGAUAAGGGUUGUCUUUGACAUUUCUCACUCUUCAAUCUCAAGAAGGUACAUCAUCAACUAGAACCUUAGGAAUGUGAGUCAUCAUGGGACAACUUGUUUAUGUUCUUUAUUCUUUUCUCACCAGAGAGGAUUGAAAGAUAUGUAGUUUCAAGGGCAAAACAUGUAGCCAGUAGUGAGAGCAUCAAACAAUCCUUCUCUAAUGCAAACCACAAAUUUUAGUAACUCGUGAUCUCCACAAUUUAGAGCACAAGGAAGCUGGUCUGUUGGAAAGAUGUGACAUGAAAUUUAGAAAUAGGCAAGAAUUCUAGAGAUCAUUCCAAUCAUUAAGGAAUCCAAAGCCUUAUAAUUUGAACAGGGCAUCUGCUUGGCAUGGAUAACGCACCUAUCUUGGGACAAAGACCACAUGUUGAGCACCAAUUCAAUUAUCAACUCUCUAUGAAACUGGAUAUAUAAGGUACUAAUGUUAGUACAAAUUACUUGGUAGCUCUUCUUCUUUUACUGGUGUUAGGGGCAAAGCCUUGUGAAAACCCUAAAUCUACAAAUUACCAAGGACGUGAGAUCAUGUUGUAAUCUUAUCUCCAAUCUCCAGCUGCAAAUAGAUUAUUUCUUUCAAUUAACAAUCUUUAAUGCUUUCACUUCUAUCAUAGGAUAUGCAAUUUGGGAAAACAAGUAAGAUUUAUAAUAUUAGGAAUAUGAAAGGAAUUGAUGAAGGCCAUGAAUCUACUUAAAAUAAAAACAAAGAUUUUUUCACCCAUGAAUACCAUAACCAACUUCCAAAAAGCAUUAGGUAUUGCAAUAACCAAAUGUUCCUUGGGUAUUAAAGUUAAAGUUCAAAGUAACCAAGAGUGCAUUUUUUGACCCAUGCAUAAAAUAAAAAGAAAAUAAGAACGAAUACCAUAUAACUCACAAUUGUGUCAAGUAUGAGUUUAGUUUAUGUUCAUGCACAAUUGCAUUAAGUAUUCGAAAGCUAAAUAAGGCUAUGUGCAAUUCAAAGAAUACCAUACAAUGCUCACAACUUAUCAUAGAAUGAGAGCUCAAUUGUCUUUCUUCCAGUCAUAAGAGUUUGUGCUCUUUGAGCCUCUAACUUGCACAACUCAAAACAGCAAGACAUGCCAAAAAGUCUCCUUCACCUUAAACAUUAUUCAAUAUAAAUCUUGAUAAGAAAAUUUUCUACAAAUAUAACAUGUUGCAAACAAAUAGCAAUAUGUUAGUUUAAAAUUGAAGAGAAUUUCAAACCAAACAAAAUAGAAAAAAUUUCAAUGUUUAUCACUUACCUAAAAACUUGUAUGUUGGAUAAAGUUGAUGCUAAUGAAUCUUGACAAUUGUUUGCAAUCAAAAUUUAUUAAUGAUUCAUAGACAAAAAAAAAAAAAAAGGAAAUUAUAAAAUUAUUUAGCAAUGUUCCAUGAAAAACACAUUGUACAUUGAUUGAGAAAUUAAUAUGAAAUCCACUAAUUUGAAAGACAUUAAAAAACAGAUGUUGUCUUGAGUUCUCCAUGUAUCAUGACAGAUGCAAGUUGCUAUUCGAGCCACCACAAUCAUGGAGUACGAGACUUCUCAGCAUGGAAGGCAUACCAAAUUUCAAACAAGGUUCUUAACUUUCCAAGAGACAUAAGAACAUGGUGUGUUGUAUAAACUGUAGAAUAAAUAAAUGGAAGUUAGACACACAUGCACUUGCUACUUAUUUUUUUUAAUCAUCUAUGAAAUAAAUAAAGAGGUGUUACUUGCAUUCAAUCCAAACUUGUGGUCUCCAAUGUGAAAUCCAAAUCUCAUUUUGUCAACACAAUAAGAGCAUUAAACAUACAACAAAUUGAAUCCUUCCUUUUGACAAUGUGAAAACCUGAAAGAAAUGACUCAAGAUCAUAAAUAAUUAUACAAUAAAGAAAACUUUCAUUAGUCUUUCUCAAAGAAAAAUCUAUUAUUUCCUUGAUUACGGAAGAUAGAUAUUUUGACAUAAAGUGCACUUAUUAAGGUAAACUUUGUGCAUUAUACAUUGAAAUUAGAAAUUUGUAUUUAAAUCCAAUUAGAAAGGUACCACAAAAGAUGAAUAAUUGAAAUGAAGACAUCCAUGCCAAUUUGUAACUGCUGUCAAAUAACACCCUCCCUUAACAUUUUUUAUCCCAUGCCUGCAUGUCAAAUCUCCAACUAAGAUUACUCAAAGAGCACCUAAAAGAAAAUUACCAAGAUUUCAUCACAUGCAGAACUCAAGAUGCUAACAUUGAACCAUGGGAGAGAUCGACAAGAAACAAAAUACUCACCCAUAAGUUUGUAAUUGUUGUACUUAAAACCCGUUUCCUAGUCAAACUUGCAACACAACUCCAUGGAGACUUUCACAAAUAGUUAAGCCACUGGUAGAAAACAACAUCAAUAUGAGAAAUUGACAAGGUACUGUGCAGAUAAAAGAGUAUAAAUGUGUGUUGAGAAUAAGAUUUACCUUAAUGAAUGUAAGGAUAGGAUAGGGUUGAAUUGGCUUUGCACCUGUUUUUGCAAUUUGAUGUUAUUACGAUUCAAAAAUGAGUUUAUGAUCUAUCCUCACUUUAAGGGAAGUGGGCAAUCUCCUUGAAACAUCUUUGAUUUAGAGAUUCGAUAAAACUCAAAAGACAACCUUUCACUUGGUAAAGAGGGCUAGAACAGGGCACCCCUCAAUCUCUACAAGUUAAAGAGAUGAAGUUCUGAAGACCAAGGAAAGGGACUUGGGAUUCUAGAUUUGACAAUAUUUUCAUUGAAAUAUCAAUGAGAGUUGUAGCAAGAAAUACUGUCAAAAGGAAAUUGCAUUUAACAAUGCGCAAUAUAAAAUGAAUGAACUGAGUUUUUGGAGAGGUGAAUCUUUGGAGGCUCCACAAAGAUAAGGGGUCUUAAUACUCUUGCAAGUAUAUUCAUGAAAUUGCUUUCUCAAAGAACUCCAGAACCUAAACAAUGUGCAACACAAAGCUAUUGAAGAGAUGUGAGACUUUGAAUCUGAUGAGGUAGGGACUUGAGAUCCACAUUUUCUUAUGUGAAGAAUUUUGAGGUUGUAGAGGCACACUAGUAGUUUCCAAAUUCAGAUGCUUCUCUUCAAAUAUUCGUAUAAUGUACAUCUUCUUUGACAUUGCUGCUCCAACAUGAUGUGCAACCUAUUUGAGCAUACUACAUGUACAACAAAAAAUUUCAUUACAACAAAAAUCUAAAGUUAAUGUCUAAGAAGAUAAGAUUUAUAUAAAGUGAAUGAGCAUGCUUGAUUUAGCACAAAGAGAAUGACCCUAAAAUUUAAGAAUAUCAUUAAAAACUUCACAAGGAUUUGAUGGUUAGACAAUGAAGUAAUUCUAAUAAAUGAGUUAAAAUCGGCUAAGCUAAGAAAAAUUAAAUCCAAAUAAGCAUCAAUCAGUAAGGAAUUGACCUACUAUGAAAGACUUCAAAUGAUAUUUUCCUUGUAAUUUCUAUUCUUAAUUGGCCCCAUUUGCUUGUACCAAAAUAUUAUUAUCUUACCUUAAAGGAAGUGGAUGACUUAUAUCUUUGAAAGGAUGUGAAAGGUGGAAAUCCCUCGAUUUCCAAUUAUUCAAGAAGAUAAUUCCUAUGGCUAUUGUUGUCAUUGUGCAUAAUUCAACUAGCUAUAGACUACAUAAUUGAACAAUCAUGAACACGUAGAUGCUUAAAUAUGGUAUGUAGUUCAUCUAGUGGAAAAAUAAAUGAGACUUGGACAUCUCAAGAUUUAUGGGAAUCAAGACAGAUACAAGUUGUUGUUGUUGUUUCCUAUUAUAAUUCAUUUGGAUUGCAAUCAACAAGCGCUAACUCCAUUCACUGCAUGUUUUGAGUCUUCAACAUAAAACCCAAAUUCCAUUCUAUCAACCAAAAAAUAAAAAUAAAAAAUCCUAAUAACUCCUCUAGGAACCAUUUUACGUCUCAGAUUAUAAGAUGCAGGAUGUAACUCACUUCCAUCAUUGAGAAUGAAUUGAUAAAACUUUGCAAUACUAGUAUAUUCAGCUUCAUUAUGAUGACCUCAUUAGAACUAGAAUAAGUGGAGUGAUAAUGUUAUCUAAUUAGUAAACCCAACCAAUUUUAUAAACUAGAACUUCCACUAGUAUAGCCUCUAUGUAAAAGAAAUUUAAAGGUCUUGAUACAUUAGAUAUUGAAAUUGUUGGAUUAAAAUUUUAUUUAUUGCACCUAGCAAGAUAGAAGUAAUAAUGCUAAUUUCAAAUUAUGACAGAUUAUAGAGAAAAUUAGACACUGAGGAAAUACCAAGCCAGAAGCCAUGUCAAGAUCUGCUUUCUAGUUGAAAAUUUUAGCAAAAAAUUAAGUCCAAUUAAAAAAUUGCAAUAGUAGGUAAAAGAAAUUGAAAGUGAUGUUGAGGAGAGAAAGAUGAAGAAAGAUGUUGGGAAUGAGAUGUAAUACUUGUUUUAUUGCUCAGAGAUGGAUUAGUCAUGUAUCUCCACACGGGGGAUAUCGGCAAUCUUGGGCCAAUCAUGUCCUUCCUCCUCUAAGUACCUUUGUUUUAGAUGUGGACACCUCCAAAUCCGUAGUUCUAACAGGGAAUCAGGCACCAGUCCUUCCCUUGGCAAAAUCCACUGGAGCUUAGGGCAGUUGAAGAUCACCAGGCUUCUAAGCGAUGUAAGGGUUUGGAGAGAUAGGGAGGCUAAGGAUUCCAGAUUAUGGAUUUGAGAAAUGUGAAGGGAGGUAAGAGUUGUAGGAAGAAUAAUCAAGUGGGGGUCAUCUGAAAAGGAAGUUGCAUAUGGAAACAUGCCUUCAAUUGAGAGGUUUUCAAGAGAGGUGAGUCUAGAAAGGCCCCAUUGGGAUAAAGGGGUCUUGAUAUUCUCACAGUGAGAGAUAGAAAACAAUGUAAGACAAGUGAGGUUUUUUAUCAGAGGCAAUAAUUUCAAAUUUUUAUUAUUUGCAAUAUAUAGAUCUGUGAGGUUGUAAAGGCAAUUUGGUAGGGCUCUGAGAUUAGGAUACCUCCCGAUGCUUAAUGAUUGAAAUGAAUUAUUAUUAGAGUGAAACAUCAUGAUAAUAGGCAACUUGGUAAGCUGAUUACAUCAUGAUAAUAUCAAUGUUUGUAAAUUGCAAAGACCGCCUAUUGAAUCAGGUAAACAUUUAAUGUUGCUUUUAGACAAAUUCAGAUACCUUAGAAGUUUUAAAUUACCAAAUUCAUUUGGUAUCUCAUUUAUCCGGUAACCACUCAAGAAGAGCACCCUUAGGUGUUCUAAUCUUGGUAUCAAUUGUCGAAGCACCUUAUUACUGAUGAAUUGAGUAUCGAUAAAUCUUGGUGUUGAUAUAACUAUGAAUGUGCACAAAUGCUCCUUCUUAUGAAACCUUUCAAACUUUUAAAUGUAUCAUAAUCAUCACGAAUAAAUGAUGAAUGGCAAGUACUUUUAGGAAUGAGACGUUGCAAAUUAUUUUUGAACUCAUCAUCCAAAUGCAAGCAUGUAUCUCCAGCAACAUAUUUAGCUAGAGCAUGGACAAGGUCAUGCAUCACAAAUCGUGAUCUAUUGCUACUCGACUAUCGAAAAAAUGACCUUGACAGUAGCUCAUCAAAAUACUUAUCACCAAGAUCUUCAAUUUUCCUAUUAUCUUUUGAUUGUUGAAUUAACCCCUCCGCCAUCCACAUGAAGAUUAACCCUUGCUUUGUAAACUCAUAAUCCUGGGGAAAAAUUGCACAAUAAGUAAAACACCUCUUUAAAUGUGACGACAGAUGAUUGUAGCUCAAUCUCAAGGCAGGGAUGAUGUCACAUUCCUUGUUUGUGAAAUCCCAUACUUUGCUGUACAAUUCUCUUUCACAUUCACAUCCCCAUAGUUCAGAGUGCAAAAGGCCACCAAGGGCUCUUGCUGCUAAGGGCGAACCUCCACACUUGUCUACAAUUCUCCUAUCAAUUGAUUCCAAAUUUGGGUGCUCAUCGAUAUUCAUAUGUUCAAAAGCUUGUGUUUGAAAUAUCUUCAAACAAUCAUCAUAAGGUAACUGUUUGAGCUCAUGUAAGUUCUUGUGUCCUCUCAUCUUGUUUGCAACAUCAUUAUUGUUGGAAAUCAAGCCAGCAUCCUUUGUUUACUUCCCUAAUUAGUGUAAUGUACAGCCUUUAUUAUAAUUGAUUUAGGAGUAAUUCUAGCAAGGUAGUUUAUUCACUUCCCAUGUAAGAGUUUAUUCUUAGGAGUAAUUCGAGCAAGGUAGUUUAUUCACUUUCCAUGUAAGAGUAGUUUAUUCACUUCCCAUGUAAGAGUUUAUUCACUUUCCAUGUAAGGGAAAUUCCAUUCCGGAAUUGUCUCAUAUCUGUAGGCUAUUUAUUUAUGCUUUCAUUCAUUGUAAAGGAAGGUAUCACAGAAUGAAUUGAGGUGUUCCUCCAUAGUUUGUCUUCAAAUUCUUCAUAUUUUUCUUCAAAUUCUUCAUGGUAUCAGAGCAGGUUUAAUCCUGUCUCAUCGUCUUCAUCUUUAGUCAGUUUUUUUUUUACUCAAUUCUAUUCUUCUAAUUUAUGUCUAAAUAUGGUCCAGCCUUUGGAAUGGCUACCAACUCAUCAUCCUCUACUUCUGAUAUNNNNNNNNNNNNNNNNNNNNNNNNNNNNNNNNNNNNNNNNNNNNNNNNNNNNNNNNNNNNNNNNNNNNNNNNNNNNNNNNNNNNNNNNNNNNNNNNNNNNCUGGCUAGUCAACUCUAUGACCGCUGACAUUGGUGAAAAUUUUCUGUCAUUUGAUACUGCCAAAGAAAUCUGGGACACUGCAAAAGAAACUUUCUCAGACAAGGAAAACACAUCUGAAAUCAUCCAGAUUGAAGGCAUCCUCCACGAUUUGCGUCAAGGAAACCUUACGGUAACUGAAUAUUUCAAUACUCUUACUCGUCUAUGGCGUCAACUUGAUACGUUUGAGGUUCAUAACUGGAAUUGUGUUACAGAUGGUUUUUUGUAUAAAAAGAUUGUCGAAGGGAAACGUGUGUUUAAAUUUUUGUUAGGUUUGAACAAAAAUCUUGAUGAAAUCAGAGGAAGAAUCAUGGGAGUAAAACCCCUACCUAGCCUUAGAGAGGCAUUCUCUGAAGUCCGUCGCGAAGAAAGUCGGAAAAAUCUCAUGAUGGGAUCCCAUCAACAACUGAAUAUGGCAGAAAGCUCGGCUCUUAAGACUCAAUUCGCUCCUUUUGACAACCAUAAAAAAAUUAAAGGAGGUAGACCUUGGUGUGAUCAUUGCAGAAAGUCGGGACACUCAAGAGAAACUUGCUGGAAAAUUCAUGGAAAGCCAGUAGAUUGGAAGCCACGUCAACCACUUGAGAAAGAAGGACGAGGCAAUCAUGUGGCUACCGAUGAACAAUCGCCACAACCUGAAGCUAGCCCUUUUAAUAAGGAGCAAAUGGAGAUGCUUCAGAAACUACUGUCUCCUCUUUUGUUAGUACAGUCACAAACUGGCUCAUCUUCCAACCAGGUCAUUGGUUCCGGAACCUUGGCUCACAAAGGUAAUUUUUUGAGUGCCUUCACUGCUGGUAAGAAACGUAAAAAACCUUGGAUAGUGGACUCAGGAGCAUCUGAUCAUAUGACGGGAGAUGCAACAAUUUUUGAUACAUAUAGCUCAUGUCCAAAUAAUUUAACAGUCCGAAUAGCAGAUGGUUCACUAUCAAAGGUUGCCGGAACAGGUUCAGUUGUGCUAUGAAGGGAUCUUACUCUCAACUCUGUUCUCCUUGUUCCUAACUUGGACUGUAAUCUAUUGUCAAUUAGUAAACUCACUAAGGAAAAGAGGUGUAUUACUAAUUUCUCCUCCACUCACUGUGAAUUUCAGGAUUUGGAUUCGAGGAAGACGAUUGGCAAUGCUGAGGAAUGCUCUGAACUCUACAUCCUUAAGGAGCUCCACGAUCCACAAGAACAACCUCAAAUGACAGUUGGUAGUAAUUCUUUUUCGGUUUCAUGUCAAAAUAACGAUAGUGCAAUUAGGUUGUGGCACUAUCGCUUAGGUCAUCCAAAUGUUAUGUAUCUCAAGCAUUUAUUUCCUUCAUUAUUUAAUAAAAAUCCAAAAUCCUUUGAGUGUGAAAUCUGUCAAUUAUCAAAGCAAGUCCGGUCUCAUUUUCCCAUUCAACCCUAUAAAGAGUCUAGUCCAUUCUCAAUGAUUCAUAGCGAUAUCUGGGGUCCUUCAAGAAUAAAAAAUGUAACUGGUACAAGGUGGUUUGUCUCAUUCAUAGAUGAUCACACUAGAUUAACUUGGGUAUUCCUCAUGAAAGAAAAAUCUGAAACGAGUCAAAUUUUCAAAAAUUUUAAAAAUAUGAUUCAGACCCAAUUACAGUCAAAAAUACAAAUUCUAAAGUUUGAUAAUGCUAGGGAUUAUUUCAACUCCAUUCUAGGAGAAUUUCUAGCACAAGAAGGGAUAGUUCACUUAAGUUCAUGUGUUGAUACCCCACAACAAAAUGGAAUCGCUGAAAGGAAAAAUAGGCAUUUGUUAGAGGUGGCUAGAUCACUAAUGUUCUCCAUGAAUGUUCCAAAAUUAUUCUGGGGGCAAGCUGUCCUUACGGCAGCCUACCUCAUCAAUAGGAUGCCGUCUAGGGUACUAAAAUUCCAAACACCUUGUCAAACACUCCUAAAAUCCUUUCCGACUACUCAUCUCAUCUCCACCGUCCCACCCAAAAUUUUUGGGUGCUCUGUCUUUGUUCAUAUCAAUCAACAACAUAGAAGUAAACUUGAUCCUAGGUCACUCAAGUGCAUCUUUCUUGGGUAUUCUUCAAAUCAAAAAGGGUAUAAGUGUUACUCUCCGGUCACAAGAAAAUUCUACAAUUCAAUGGAUGUCACCUUUUUUGAAACCCNNNNNNNNNNNNNNNNNNNNNNNNNNNNNNNNNNNNNNNNNNNNNNNNNNNNNNNNNNNNNNNNNNNNNNNNNNNNNNNNNNNNNNNNNNNNNNNNNNNNUUUUCACAGUAAAGUACAAGGCAGAUGGUAAUGUGGACAGGUAUAAGGCUCGGUUGGUCGCCAAAGGAUUCACCCAAUCCUAUGGCAUUGACUAUCAAGAAACUUUUGCUCCAGUUGCCAAGCUCAAUACUGUUCGUGUACUUUUAUCCUUGGCAGCUAAUCUCGAUUGGUCGCUUCACCAACUUGAUGUGAAGAAUGUCUUCCUCAAUGGUGACUUAGAGGAAGAAGUUUACAUGGACAUUCCUGCUGGACUUGAGACGACAUCAAAUUUCAACAAGGUUUGCAGACUUCGAAAAUCCUUGUAUGGUCUCAAACAAUCUCCCAGGGCCUGGUUUCAACGGUUCACUAAGGUAGUGAAAGGGUACGGAUUUGUUCAAUGUCAAUCCGAUCACACAUUAUUUGUGAAACACUUCCCAGAAGGGAAACUGGCAAUUAUCAUUGUAUAUGUGGACGACAUAAUUUUGACAGGUGAUCAUGAAGAGAAAAUUGACUUACUUAAAAAAUUACUGACAAAGGAAUUUGAGAUCAAGGAUCUUGGAAACCUCAAGUACUUUCUCGGAAUGGAGAUUGCUAGGUCAAAGAAAGGUAUAGCAGUCUCACAACGCAAAUAUGUUCUGGACUUAUUGAAUGAAACAGGAAUGCUAGGAUGCAAGCCGGCAGAAACACCUAUGGAUACAACUGUCAAACUGGAAGAAAGUGAUGGAAGUGCGCCAGUUGAUAAAGGAAGAUAUCAACGUCUUGUGGGGAAACUCAUCUAUCUUUCUCAUACAAGGCCAGACAUCGGCUUCUCCGUUAGUGUGGUAAGUCAAUUCAUGAAUAAUCCAACCGAAAAACACAUGACUGUUGUGAUCAGAAUAUUGAGAUACCUCAAGAUGACACCGGGAAAGGGUCUCUUCUUUCAAAGAACAACAAAGAAAGAGAUUGAGAUUUUUUCAGAUGCAGAUUGGGCAGGUUCAAUGACUGAUCGGAGAUCAACUUCAGGCUGUUGUUCAUUUGUCUGGGGGAACUUGGUUACAUGGCGAAGCAAGAAACAGUCAAUGGUAGCCCGUAGCAGUGCUGAGGCAGAAUUUCGUGCUAUGGCACAAGGUAUCUACGAGGGAAUCUGGUUGAACAGGCUGUUAGAAGAAUUACGGGUUCCAUUGAAGCAUCCCAUGGUGUUAUACUACGACAAUCAAGCUGCCAUCAGUAUCGCUAAGAAUUCGGUUCAUCAUGAUCGAACUAAGCACGUGGAGAUAGAUUGACACUUUAUCAAGGAAAAGAUUGAAGAAGGAGUUUUCAAAGUCAGCUACACUCCGACAAACUGUCAAACGGCUGACAUUCUCACAAAAGCUCUUGCUCGAGUUAACUUCGAAGAUUUGACAGAAAAACUUGGAAUGAUCAACAUCUACAACGCGGCUUGAGGGGGAAUGUUGGAAAUCAAGCCAGCAUCCUUUGUUUACUUCCCUAAUUAGUGUAAUGUACAGCCUUUAUUAUAAUUGAUUUAGGAGUAAUUCUAGCAAGGUAGUUUAUUCACUUCCCAUGUAAGAGUUUAUCCUUAGGAGUAAUUCUAUCAAGGUAGUUUAUUCACUUUCCAUGUAAGAGUAGUUUAUUCACUUCCCAUGUAAGAGUUUAUUCACUUUCCAUGUAAGGGAAAUUCCAUUCCGGAAUUGUCUCAUAUUUGUAGGCUAUUUAUUUAUGCUUUCAUUCAUUGUAAAGGAAGGUAUCACAGAAUGAAUUGAGGUGUUCCUCCAUAGUUUGUCUUCAAAUUCUUCAUAUUUUUCUUCAAAUUCUUCAAUUAUUGCGAGUUGUGACUAGAAUUUUGCUUCCCUGUGCUCCCACCCAGAAAGGGGAGCAUAGCAUGUCCAACUCAAAGUAAUCAUCAUUCCACAAAUCAUCCAAAACUAUUAGAUUUUUUUUUUCCCUUCAAUUCCUUCCUCAAAUUUUCUUGAAUUUGAUGCAAGUCUUGUGAAUCACUGCUUUGAGAAUUAGUCACCGAGUUGAGAAUCGUCUUUGUGUUAUUCUCACUGCAUCGAACUGAUCUGAGACACAAACCCAGGCUUUUUUAUCAAAAUGCUUGGUUAUGGUCUCAUCGUCAUUGUACACCAGUCUUGCCAGUGUGGUCUUGCCCAUCCCAUCCAUGGCCACAAUGGAAACCACAGAAAAAUUGGUUUUAGUGGGUUCAUAGACUAGAGAUGCAGUGACUGGCCUUCCCCAAGCAAAGUUGGUCAUCGCAGCCACCUUUUCUAGACGAAGCUCAGAUUUUUGAGCCGAAAUAUCUCGUAAGCGGCGAGUGAUUUCCCACACCUUGGACCUCAUUUUAAUAUAACGCAUAACCUCAGUAGGAUUGAAAAUGCCAAGACAAGUGGAGAUGAGCUUGUGUACCUUGCUCGGCCUGCCUUGAUGAUCAGCUUCUUUGGCCGUGAGCUCCCGUUGCAAACCUUCGUAGGCGAACUCGUCCAAGAUGUCCUCCAUAUCAUAAGCCAAAUCUUUCAGAUUGCCCAGCCACUCUUUCACAGAGUGAUCCGUGAUCUGCUUGUCCUCCGCGUCAUUAAGCUCUUCACGAAUAUCCGACAAUUCUAUCUCAUAUUUCUUGAGAUCAGAGUACACCCAUUGUUGGCGUGCAAAGUCGAGCAAAUCAGUGGAAGCCAACUGGUCAAACAACAAGCCGAUGGCAGCAGAAAGAAGAGCCUCUCCUACAGCUUCCAUGGUUGGUUUGUACUUUGUUUGCAGAGAGAGAGAGAGAGCAAAUCAAGGAGUGGGUAAAAAAGUGAAGCAGAAAGAAGGCGGUCUGCUCUGUGAAGGCUUUAAAUAUUAGAAACUCAUAAAACAUUUGUUUUAUGAAUUUAUUAUAUGCACCCAUUUUUAAUGCCACUGUUGAUUUGUAUAUAUAUUAUUUGUGUAAUUUAAAUAUGUCUCAAUUUUAUUAUAAAUUUUUCUUUUUCUUUUAAUGUAACUAUAUAUAUAUAUAUAUAUAUAUAUAGUCCUCUUUUAUUAUUAUUUUUAUUUGCAUGAUAUUUCUUUCAUACCAAUCAAAACUAUGAAGAAAUUUUUAUUAAAAUUCAUAAAAUAUAUUGUUUUUGUUGCAUCAAUAUGUUUCAUUUCAUUGUAAGAAAGCUAAAUAAAAUGUGAUAUUUUUUAAUUUCUGAUUUGGAAAUUUUUUUUUUUCUUAUUUAUUCUAAUCUUAUAUGCAUAUCACACUAUUAGGCAAAGUUGUCAAUGACAAUGAUUGUUAUUUAUAAUAGCUUGAACUUAAAAGCAUCCUAGCUUAUGAUACUCAAUAAUAUUCACCUCUACAACUUAGUUUCAAAAUAGAUAAAUAUAUAUAUAAUGUUGGAAUGUAUACCAAAUUCCUAAUUAAUAAAGGUUUUUUUUUUUUAGUAAAAAAUGUUAUGUUGAUCAUAGAAGGAGACCCCUAGAGUUCCAGAUAGGAGAUCACGUGUUUUUACGUGUAACACCUCAGAGAGGCGUAUUUCGAUUUGGUAAAAGGGGAAAGCUUGCUCCAAGAUAUAUUGGGCCCUUUAAAAUCCUUCAAAAGGUCAUAGAGGUAGCAUACAAAUUAGCCUUACCAACAUGAUACAUUUCAUGUCUCCAUGUUGCGGAAGUAUGAGCCUGAUACCACACAUGUACUAGAUUGACAUGAUUUGAAUUUGCAAGAAGAUGUAAUGUAUGAAGAAGGGCCGAGAGAGAUUUUAGAUAAGAAAAAGCAAGUACUAUGAACCAAAACCAUACCUCUAAUGAAAGUGUUAUGGAAUCAUCAUGGAGUGGAAGAAGAUACAUGGGAUUUGGAAUCAGAUAAGAGAAACAAGUACUCGGAACUCUUUACCGGUUCGCUUCUUUAAAUUUUGAGGACCAAAUUUUUGUUAGGGGGAGAGGAUGUAAUACCUAGUACUAAUGAAUUAAAUAGGCAAUAAUGAUUAUCUUAGUACUUACUUUAAAAAUGCUUAAUUAGAUGUUAAAACUAGUUUAGUGCUAAUCUUGUUUAAUUAUGAAUUAAACUUUGAUUAAGGUUAAGUGGGAUUAGUUAAUGACUUAAGCAUGCUUAUUAGGUUCUUAGGGGCUUAUUAGAGUUAUGAAAACCUAGAGGACUAAUGGGCAAUUGUAGGCUUAAUAUUGGUUAAUUUGGAUGACUGAAGUGCAAAAUUGGAAAGUUAGGGUUGGUGGCAGCCAUGUGGCCUGCCACCUCCUACUGAGCUGCAUGGAAACCCCUUUAUAAGGGCCUGUAGCUCGUUUUGCAGCAUUUCACCUGUAACAGCUUGGGUUAGAGAGAGGAUCUAGAGAAAUAAAGUGAAGAUUUGAGGUAAGCAAGUUGUUUAAUUUAGUAAUUUGGUUUAUUUUGGUUCCUAAUAGUAUGUUGAAACAAAUUAACGAUAAAAUUUGUGUAAAAGAUGAGUGUAAUUAGCUAUAAACAUGUUUUAGUUAAAAAUCACAAUUAAUUAAGGAUUAAAGUAUUUUAGCUUAAGUAUUUUAUUAAUGGUGAGAUCAGCAUAAAUCUUUGUUUAGUUUGGUUUGAUUGAAAAAUAGAUUAGUAAACACGUGAUUAAUUAGGUUAUUUAGACACCUGGGAUUUGUUAAUGGGUUAGGCUUUAGGAAAAAAAUCAAAACAAUUAGUCUUUGGUAAUUAAUUGGAGAAUAUGAGAAUUAAAAAUUAAUAAUAGUAAGUUGUUAAAAAUUAGUAAGAAAGGAAAAUUUCAUAAGUUUUAAUUGAAUAAAUUUUUAUGGUUAAGAAACCUAAAUUAUGUUGUUUUAUUUCAGUUCCUUGUAAUAUGUAAAGAUUUCCUACAUAGAAGUAUCACAAAGGGAAAGUCAGUGUAAGGUAGAGAAUUUUAUGUUGUUCCAUGGUGUAUCUGAUUUCUUUCCUGGAAACAUUUAUUGGAAUUUCAUGUCAUUUCUAUGAUUUCAUAAAAUGUUUUAAUGUGUCAUUGCAUCUUGGUUUAUUGUAUUGAAAUGUUACAACGAUAUUGGAAUGUAUAUUGGUAUGAAGAUUCAUGGUUCUAUGUUGUGGAAAUGGUUCAUAAUGUGGUUGCAUUGCAAGAAGGAUAUGGAAUAAUCAUAGAUGAUAUUUAGAGAAUUGAUUGGUGGGAAGUGUUUAUGUGAUGCUACAGGCAUUAUCCUUUAAUAUAUUGUUUAUGUGGGGUCGUGGGUCCUUGGGUGAAAAUCCCUAAAGCCCUCGAGGAAGACACUCUGAUGUGGGUGUAUGAGGUUGGUCUUGCCACUAGGUUUUAGUCCCUAAAGACAUGGGGUUGGUCCUGCCCCUGGGUUUUAGUCCUUAAAGACACGAGGUUGGUCCUGUCCUUGGGUAUGAGUCCCAGAAAACACGGGGUAUGACUUACCCUUGAGUGAUGUCCCAAAUAGUCAUUAUUAUAUUGACUGAGUAUCUUGUGGAGCAUUGAUAUAUGAUGUGUAGAUUGGUGGGGGUUAGUAGUUUAUUAGUUGUGAAAGGAUGGAUGAGGAAAAGCAAAGAUGAAACCAACAACCACAUGCAUACAUGUUUGACAUGAUUACAUAUUUGUUAAUGGUUAUAAAAUGUUUAUCAUGCAUGCUAUUAUAUGUUUAAUUUAAGGUUUUUAAGGGUAUGCUUAGGAUGGUUAUAAACUUUCCUACUGAGUUGUGAACUCACCUUAUCCCUUCCACCUUUAGAUGCAAGUUAGAAGACCUAUGCUGGAAAUAAUGCUUAAGCAUUGCUUUUCUAUUGAUUGGAUGUUGUUGGCUCGCAUUGAAAGUGUUUUGAGGCUUUGCUUUUGUAUUAAAGACUAAAUCUUUUUGAAGUAAUGAUGUAAUGUAUAUUUGUUAUGUACACUUGUAGUAUGGGCUACCCAUAGUGAACCAUGGGAUUUUGGUAUAUGUAAAUUAAUGUAGUAUAAUUUUAUUUUGUGAAACGAAUCACAUUUUGUGAACUACUAGUUACAAAGUUUAAUACAGGAUGUACUCUUUAUAACAGGUUUUGCAUAUUCUCUUUCUGUGCAAAAUCAAGCAGGAACUCAGCAUUUAAAUUUUUCUAUCCCCAUAUUUUGUUUGAGAGCACUUAUGUUGUGAUUGAGUAUCAAUUGUUAUGUUUGAAAAAAAAACGGGGGUGUGACAUUUAUUAACUUAGGUUUAAUAAAUUAAAAGUAGGUUGAUCUCUUACCUAUCCUUUUUAAAUUAAUCUUGAGAUCAAUAAGAAUCAUACAGACCAUAAUCAUAAGAAGUGCCAAAACAAAAGUCGAUUUGAUAUUUAAUUAGUUAAUUUUAUUAACUAUAAGAUAUAAAAUUUGUUAGGAGGUGUCUUAAAUUCCAAAUUAGAAUAUAUUUUUUUUCUUUUGUGAAAAGAAUAUUACAUAGAAUAUUUCCAAAGUUUAUAUGUGAUUGUAAUUAAAUUGAAGUUAGUACAAAUAUAUUUAUAAAUAUUUUUAGAUAUGAAGAGAAAAAGUUAUGGAAGAUAUGAAAAAGAGAUGUGAUCAAGAGCAAGAGAUGCUGAUAGAACAAGAGAUGCUGAUAGAACAAGAGAGUUCACUAAGGAAGGGUGUAGAUGUGAAGAAGAAUGAGAAACAUUUAGUGAAGCAAAAUGAUUCAUGGUUUAUGAUAGAGAUUCAAAGAACAGAAAAAGUGGGAUGUUUGGGUCUUGGUAGUUGCCUAACCUUUGUAUGUGGUUUGCUUUAUUAAUAUUAGUAUUCUUCCUUUAAUAUGUUUAAAUUGAGGUUUCGGUUUUCCUUUUGGUCAUAAGAUGGAUUUUGUCAUGUAAUCAAUUAUGCUCGUUUCCAAUUUCAUUAGAAACUUGUGUUCUACGAUUUGGCAAAUGAAAAUAAUUAUUUUUCUAUAAUUUUUUUUAAAAUUUUGUUAGUUAAUAAAAAAUAGAGUAUAGAUAAUAUUAACCAUCAAAUAGAAAGACAAAUAUGACAAUUAAUGUGUUUUCACAUCAAAUUUGUACUUAGAUGGUUUUACUUAUAUGAAGUAAUUUAAUGCAACUAUGAAGAUUUAUAUGCAGUAAACUUUAUAUAAUUUUAGAUUUAAUAAUCGAUUAAUUUUUAUUUGAAGAUAUAAAAACAUAAAAUAAAAGUCUUGUUUGAAAACUAUUAUUGAAAACAACAUGAAAAAUGGGGUUUUUCACUUAGAAAUAUACAUUUGACAAACUUCUAAUAUAAAACAAUUUAUUUUUAGAAUUUAUUCUUAAAACAAGUUAUUUUUUAGAACAAAAUUGAAAUUUUUUUAUUUUUUUCACAACAAUUUAAAUAAAAAUUGAACAUAUAGAUAAUAUAUAUUUUGGUUGGACGAUGAACUUGUUAUUUUAUGAACUUCAAAUAUUCAAAUUUCACGGAGAAGGAAUCUCAUAUCUAUCUCAAGUUAUAUGCAUCCCAUUUUUACCACUUGCAAACCUUAAUCACAACUUUGUUUAAUAAUGAAAGAACUUGUUCAAGUAAAAAUAGAAUUUCUAUAAGAUGCAAAAAAAUUUUGGCUUCCACAUCUACUCAAAUAAGCAUAGAACUUUUUCUUCAACUUUUAAGUUUUUGACUUCUCAAAAAUCAAUUUAAAUUGGAUUGAUAAAUUAUACAAGGUUACAAUAUAAUAUUACAAUGUAUAAAUAUUAUUUUCACUUCUAUAUUUUCCAUGAAAUUAUUUAUUUAUUUAAAUUGAAAUGUCCUUUGGUAUUUAUUUGUACCUAUAAAAAAUAAAAAAUUAUUUUAAAUCUUAGGUAUAUAUGUUGAUGCUUAAGUAUUUAAUAAUUUUAAUUAGAUAAUUACAUUUUAUUUUACAUUUUACAUAUAAAAUAAUUAAUUACAUUUUAUAUUAUAUUAUUUAAUUAGUGAUAUUUAAAUUUUAAUUAGUUUUAAUAAUUUAAUUAAUAGUUAAAUAAUUAGAUUUAUUUAUGUUUAAAUCUAUUAACAAUAAGUUCAAUGCAACAAGAAAAAAAAAGCUUAUCGUUAUUAUUUUGAAGUGGAUUUUGAUUUUAAAUUUUACAAGUAGAUUUGCUUGAAUAACCUUAUAAAUUAGUAGAAUUUAACAAGUUGCAAAUAGUUUCCCCGCCUAAUCUUUUAAAUUAAUCUUGAUGUUGACAAUCACUUUGCCAACCAUAAUUAUAAAAAGACAAAUAGGUCAAGUUGAUUUACUAGAUUGCAAGUGGGUGCCCUUACCUAAUCUUUUAAAUUAAUCUUGAUGUUCACAAGCACUUUGCCAAUCAUGAUUAUAAAAAGACAGAUAAGUUAAGUUGAUUUUACUAAAUUGAGAUUAAUCAAUUGCAAGUGGGUACCCUUUACCUAAUCUUUUAAUUUAAUCUUCAUAUUGAUAAGAACCAAAUCGGCCAUAAUUAUAAAAACAAGAAGACGACAAGCUAUGAUUACUUUUAUUAACUAAAAUUUAAUGAAUCACAAUUUCUCUUACCUAACCUUUAGAUUAAUCUUGAUAACUUUGCAAUAGUAAUUUUAAAAAGAGAAAGACGACAAACUAAUUUAAUUGGCUAAUUUUGUUAACUUAGGUUUAAUAAAUUAAAAGUAGGUUGAUAUCUUACCUAUCCUUUUUAAUUUAAUCUUGAGAUCAGUAAGAAUCAUACAAACCAUAAUCAUAAGAAGAGUCAAAACAAAAGUCGAUUUGAUAUUUCAUUAGUUAAUUUUAUUAACUAUAAGAUAUAAAAAAUUGUUAGGAGAUGUCUUAAAUUCCAAAUUAGAAUAUACCAUUUUUUUUUGUGAAAAGAAUAUUACAUAGAAUAUUUCCAAAGUUUAUAUGUGAUUGUAAUUAAAUUCAAGCUAGUACAAAUAUAUUUAUAAAUAUUUUAGGACAUGAAGAGAACAAGUUAUGGAAGAGAUGAAAAAGGAUGUGAUCAAGAGCGAGAGACAUUGGUAGAACAAGAGGGUUCACUAGGGAAGGGUGUAGAUGUGAAGAAGAAUGAGAAACACUUAGUGGAGCAAAAUGAUUCAUGGUUUAUGAUAGAGAUACAAAGAGCAGGAAAAGUGAGAUGUCUGGGCCUUGGUAGUUGUCUAACCUUUAUAUGUGGUUUGCUUUAUUCAUGUGUUCUUCCUUUAAUCCUUUUAAAUUGAGGUUUCCAUUUUUCUUUUGUUCCUAAGAUGGAUUUUGUCAUGUAAUCAAUUAUGCAUGUUUCCAAUUUCAUUAGAAACUUGUGUUCAAUGAUUUGGGAAAUGAAAAUAAUUAUUUUUCUAUAAUUUUGUUAGUUAAUAAAAACUAGAAUAUAGAUAAUAUUAGCCAUCGAAUAGAAAUAUAAAUAUGACAAUUAAUGUGUUUUCACAUCAUAUUUGUACUUAGAUGGUUCUGCUUGUAUGAAGUAAUUUAAUGCAACUAUGAAGAUUUAUAUGAAAUCAACUUUAUAUAAUUUUAGAUUUAAUAAUCGAUUAAUUUUUAUUUGAAGAUACAAAAACAUAAAAUAAAAGUCUUGUUCAAAAACUAUUAUUGAAAACAACAUGAAAAAUGGGGUUUCUUCUCUUAGAAAUAUACAUUUGACAAACUUAUGAUAUAAAACAAUUUAUUUUUAGAAUUUAUUCUUAAAAUAAGUUAUUUUUCAGAACAAAAUUGAAAUUUUUUUAAAUUUUUUCACAAUAAUUUAAAUAAAAAUUGAAGAUAUAGAUAAUAUACAUUUUGGAAAAUUUUGUAUCUUAUUUAAGUGUACAAUUCCUUUGUGAAGAAUAAAUCGAAACGGGUAAUAGCUAUUUUCAAAAAUUGUUUUGAAGAAUUAUUUUCACAAAUGUUAUCAAAUAAGCUCAAAACUUGUUACAUCAUUUAUAUUAAUCUUGAGUUCAAUCAAAAUCUUGCCACAAUUGAAAAGAGAAAAAAAAAUGUUAAUUAGUUGGUUAAUAUUUAUAAUCCUAAAAAUAAUAAUAAUAAUAAUUAAAAAAAAUUAAAUAAAAAUUCACUAUCAAAAUAAAAGAUUAUCUAAUAUUUUUCUAUUUUUGACUUAUAAUCAAGAAUGUUCAUAUAAUUUCUUUUACAAUAACAUACUAAAGUAGAAAGAGAUUAAAAUGGAAAAAGAAAAUGAUUAACAAUAAAAUUCAUAAAAAGAAAUGAAAAUUAAGAAGAUUUUAAUCCACUUGAAAUUUAUUUCAAUGAAAUAGUAUUGCAUUUAAAUUAUUGAAGGCCAUACCAAUUUAUUUUCUUCCUUUUUUAAUACUUAAUUUUGUUAUCAAACAAUGAAAAUUUUACUAAUCAAGGAAAAUGAGAAAAGAAAAUAUUUUUCUUGAAAGUUCAUGAAUUUGUUAAGAAAGGAAAACAAAAGGUCUUUUAAGGGAUACUUUAUUAAAUUAAAUUAAUAACUUAAUUUAAAUCAUUAAAUAAAUUAAGUAUGUUUAGUAAAAAAAAAACAUAAUAGUAUGAUUUAAAAUAUAAAAAAACUUUAAAUAAUAAAUAAAAAAAUUAACUUAUUUUUAAAUUCAUAUUUUUAUUUUACCUUUUUAUCUCAAUUUGCCAUAAUUACCUUCACAAUCUCCUUUACUAUUCCACGACCUUUACUUUUACAUGACCUCCUUUACCUUAGUUAGAAUUUAUGUCAAUUUGAUCAUUUAGAAUUAAUCAUAAGUUAGGUUUGUCAAACAAUCUUAAUACUUAAAAUAAAAAUUAAGUAAUAGUUUUAAGUCAACAAUUUAAGUAUAAUUUAACUAAAAGUCAACUUAAAUAAUUAAGUAAUUAGUAUUAAGUUUUAUCAAACACCUCCAUAUAAUUAGUUUAUUUUGAUUAAUCUAAUAAUAUAGAAAGUGAAAUAUACACAUUUUUUUAUUGGUUAGGUUGGUCUUGAACUUCUUUCACCAAAUCAUUUUUAUUAAUCUUAACAUCAUCAUUAGUUAAUUACAAUUAAAGAAAAGAAAACCAAAAAAAAAAAACAGCCAAUUUGGGUGACCAAUCUUUAUUGAAAAUUUAAAAUCAAACAAAAGUUGAUAAAAAAAAAAUGAAUUGUAUGAAGUAGACAUUUUGUCUUUAUGAGAUUAUUGAUGGAAGUAUAAUAGACUAUAAACAAGUCUAUGAGAAUCAAUUCCAAUGAGUCCUAAAACAUAUCUAUGAGAAAUAAAAUAAAAUCAUGACAUAAAGAAAUUAUAUUUAAGUGUUAAUAAAUGAGAAUCAGAUACAUAUAAAUAAAAUUUAGAUUAAUUAUAAAUGAAACUAUUUUUAUUAUGUGGUUGUUUUUAAUGGACCACCUAUUUUUUUAUUUAUUUUAUAUAUAUAUAUAUUCCAUAGAAAAAUUACUUUCCAAUACCAUAGAAUCACCCUAAUUUCAAAUUGAGAUUUACUAUCUUAAAUUUUAAAUUUUUUAAAAAUAAUUUUUAAGGCAUGAACUAAAUCUAUAUUUUUUGUUAAGAAUUUCUAUUCUUUAUAUGAAAGUUUUUAUCAAUUUUUGUUUUUAAAAACAAAAAAUAAGUACUUAGAGUGCGUUUGACAAUGAUUUUAAGAAGUAUUUCUAAUAUUUUAAAUACUUGAAAAAUAAAAAAAAAAAAUUUAUACAUUGAAACAAUUGCAAAAUGCACUUUUAGUAUGUAAUGAUAUUAAUUUCUUCGAAGAGAGAGAUUUACAUUUAAGAUAAAAAUAAAUAAAUAAAACAAUACAAGGAUAAAAAAUUAUUUUUUAAAAAAACUUUUAACUUCUUGUACUUUAUCAUUACACACUUUUUUCAUUAGAUGCUUUAAAUAAUUUUUAUGAAAUAAAAUUAUAAUUAUAUUGAUGGAGGGCCAAUUAACUUUGCUUUGGGUGAGAAAGAUAGAGAUAAGAUUGAAGUGGGUCCACAUCUAAAACAAAAAUGAAAUAAAAAGUAAAGAUGAAGAUAAGGUUGAGGUGGGUUCACAACUAAAAAAAGAAUGAAAUAAAAAGUAUGAGAUGAAUUGACCAAAGCUUAUGCCUUCUUCCAAAUAUUAAAAGCAAAGCCCAAUAGUAUAAAGUGAUGACACUAGUCCUAUUCAAGGCCCCACUUGCAUAAUUGCUACAUCUUUUGAUUUGAUUUUUGUUCAAUUUCACUAAAAUGAAAUCAUUUAUUUGAGCCCAAAAAUUCAAAUCCAAAUCCAAUCCACUUAUUUAUAUACAUUAUUGGCAUGGAAUGAGAAAAGUUAUAAAGUGAGAAAAUUUGAUCAUAUGAUAAAUAGUAAUUUUUCAAAGUUGGAACCAAUCCAAUGCCCAAUGGGCAUAAAAGAGAAAGGAAAGAUGUGGAAAUUAUAGUGGAAUCUUGAAACAAAUUUUUGAGGUUUGAGGUGAUGUGACAAUCGUUUCAAGAAAUUGCCUAAGAAUGUGAGAUGUUAUUACAUUGAAAAUUGAUAUUAAAUCUCAUUGGGUAACUAUAAGAAUUGCUUUACAUAAAGACGAGUAAUAAAUAUAUCCUGUUUUUUCAAAUAGUUUAUGACCCUAAGUGAAUAAAAUGGUGAAUAAAACUUUUAGAGUAGGAUGAAUGCAUUUCACGUGAGUCAUGUCCUAGAUAUAUUUUUAGAAUUUUCUAGCAAGAUGUUGAGGAAAACUCUAUGAUAAGUGUUUUCUUUCUAGUUAAGGUAGGUCCAAUUUGGUGUAAUUCGCCAACAUAAUUUAAACCCAACAUAUGUUUUAAGGAUUUGAAUCGAGUAAAAUCAUAUUUAAAUUAAAUUAAUCAUAUGAAUCUACAUAACCCGUUUAAUAAAUAGAUUAUUUUUAGGUCAAUCUGGAUAACUCACAUUUGACUCAAAUUAACUUAUUUAAUAAUGGUAUUGAUUAACCUAAUAAUAACUUUAACUUAUUGAACUCAUAUUUGACUCAUGUAAAAUUCAUUUUUCAAUAAGUAUAUCAUAAUUGGGUCAUAAACAUGUCAUAUUAGAAUAUUAACCAUAUUAUUUCAUUCAACAUUUAACUUGACUUGAUUAUGAAAUAACGCCUUAUUAUUAAAUCGGUUAAACCGGUUAUAAUGUAUCACCUAGAUAAUAAUUAUAUUGAGUUUGAGUUUAUGCUUUAAAUUUUGAUUAUUAUUCAUGUCAUGUUUGGGUUGAGUUAUUUAGUGGAGGAUCUAACCUUUGAUAUAACACAAACGCAACCCAUUAACAUAAAUUGUCAUCCUCACUUCUACUAAUAAGUAAUUUGUUUAUUACAAUUAAGAAAAUUGAGAAGAUAUAAUUUUUUUAAAAAAAAUUUAAAUGCAUGAUUAAAGUUAAUUAUAAGUUUUAAAAGUUUUAUAAUUCAUAUUCCAUCCAAACUAACAAAAUAUUAGAAAUCUUCAAUGGUUUUGUCUACAAUAAAUGUGUUGUGCUAAAUUAUCCCCUUCUCUACUAACCAAAACAUGUUCUUUCACAAUCAAAUAUCAACGUGUUUAAGCAGCCGGUGAAGCAUCUCUUGACAAUGAGGUGAGAGGUAGAAACAAGAAACAUACCUGUAUUCAAGAGAAGUGUUGUUUCUUCUUUUGCAUUAGAAAACAUUCAUUUAGUCUAAACUUGAAGGUGGAUUGCUAGAAUCUGAGCUCUUGGAAAGACAUAAGAGAAGGACAUUUAGAAAUCUGAAAGAAGCCUAGAGACCUGUUGCUACUUGUGAAUCACUGUAAUUAGAAACAAUUCCAGAUAAUCCUGCAAUUCUGGACCUUUGAUUUGCUUUGUUCCAUUUUUCCAAGACCAGUUCUAAAAUGUUUUUCUUUAUUGAGUUAUAAUGAUUUUAUUAUUAGGAUUUAAUUGUAUUCAUUAGGUUUGCAAAUCACAAAAAUGGUGUCGUGCCUAUGAAUAUUUUCCUCUUCGAUCAUGUAAAGUUGGGAAGCAAUUAUGGAAUACUAUGAUAGCACAAUAUAUUGAUCCACAUAGUUUGUGGCAUGACAGUUUAAUGAAAUUAAAAAAAUGCAUGUAGCACUCAUGGGUAUGUCAUGUGAACCUUUUUCAAUAGAGCUACUUGUUUAAAUUUAUAUGGGUGAAUUGUCACACCAGUGUCCUCUUAUGAACCUUAGGUUCAUUUUUCUGUUUCUUCCUCUCUUGGUUAAGACAAACAAUUUGUCUUCAUAAGGACUUCGUGUUACUAAUAAGCAGUAUCUUGUAUUCUCCUUUUCUUCAUCCCCUUAUCAAGACACAGCAAUCUGAUGCAUCUUUGCAUUGGGUUGCUUCCUCUCCUCUCCAUUUCCUUCCUCCUUGAGGCAAAAUCACAUCAUUGCUUAGUUUUGACUAUGUUUCUUUUUAUCAUUGUGAGAGAGCAUCAUUGUAAGAUGUACAAGAAAAGCGUUGUGGUGCAUUAUCCCCUCCUCUACCACCUAAAAUCUAUUUUACACGAUCAUAAGGACCAAGGUGUUUUAAACAUUAGGUAAGGCAUUUGUUGACAUUGAUGUGAGAGAUAGAUACAAGCAACAUACCAGUAUUCAAAAGACGUGAUGUUUUUCUUUUGCAUUUGACAACAUUCAUUUAGUCUGAACUCCAUAUUGGGCAACGCAGAAUCUCCACCUUCAUUAAGAUUGCAGGAAGUUGGCCCUUUAUGAAGACAUGGAAAGAGAGCAUCUAGAAAUCUGAAAGAAUUACAGAGGCCUAUUACUACUUUUGAAUCAUUCCAAUUAAUAACAACUCCAAAAGAUAUAUACAAAUAUGUCCCUGGGAAAGAGAUGUGUCUUGUGCAUAUGCAACCAUCUCUCUAAUAGACUUAGGGUUGUGCACCCUCAUGGUAGUUUCUUAUAUAUUGCACCAUAUGAAUUGUAGAUAUCCAACUACCAAUAUCACUACACCUGAAUGAACUAGAAGCUAAAGUGAAGUUGACAACCCAUCAUCGAAAGAAUCCUGUAGGAAUACACCAAAAUGAAAAUCUUAUUAACAUAAAUGAAUUCAUCCAGUUAAAGGGUAAAGUUGCCUAAAAAAUUGAAUUGGGAGAGAUAGAAAUAUUAAUGCUUUCAUAGGACUGUGGAAGGGACCAACAAGUGGAACAAACAUUGAACAGUAAAUGUAAAUCCAUAAAGCUUGUAACUACUGUCAAAAGCUGCUCCCUAGUGAAGUUUUUUAACAAUGAAGGUAAGUGGAAAAUUCACCUAAUAGCUCCACUUGUAGAAAAUUGCAAUGGUGUGAAACUAGGAUAUGGUGAACUCGUUUCCGCUAUUGCAGUGAACCAUUAUGGAUAAAAAAUGAAUCUCACCAUCGGUUUUCACAUAGGAGAUGUGGGCUAUCUUUGGCCCAUAUCUCAAUAUUGGAUUUAGGAGUUCUGUCUCUCAUAUAUGGUUCCACUUGCAAAAUACAAAUGGAGCUUAGCUAAUGACAACACAUUUAGAAAAAUGCAAGAAUUCCAUAGACAUGUUUUGUGUUAUCAUGAAUCAUUCGAAUCAGUAAGGAAUCGAAGUGCUAUAAUUUUGAAUUGUCUUAGGGAACAAACCCUAAUUCAAUCUUGCGGAAGUAAACCGUCUUGAGCACCAACUCAAUUCUGAGUUCUUUAGGAGACUUGAGACACCAAUUCAAUCAAAGAUGCUAGUCAUUUCUGAGGUAAAUUGUCUUCCUCCACUGAUACUAGGGAAAAUGCUUUUGAAAACCAUUCAUCUGCAAAUUACAAAGGGAAAUGAGAUUAUGUGAUUUGGGAAGAGAAUUAAGCUUUGGAAGAGAAUUAAGCUUCGGAAUAUUGCCAAUAUGCAACCGACAAUUUCUAAUUCUAUCACCUCUAUUCUAACAUGUGAUUUGGAAAGAGAAUUAAGCUUCGAAAUAUUUCCAAAAUGCAAGGAAUUGAGGAGGCCAAGUGGGCAACCACCAUAGCUAGUUCGCAAACAAAUGAUAGCAUUGGAAGUGGAACACAACACAUAAACUUCAAAAACAAAACAUGUUUCCCACAAUCAUAAAUACCAAGAUGUUUAAGCAUGAGGUAAGGCAUCUCUUGACAAUGAUAUGAGAAAGACACAAACAACAUACCAGUAUUCAAGAGAAGUAGUAUUCUUCUUUUGCAUUCGACAACAUUCAUCUAUUUUACAUCCCAAAUUUUAGCAACUCAGGAUUUCCACCUUCUUUAGGAUUGUAAGAAGUUGGCCUCUUGAAAACACAUGAGAGGACAUUUAGAAAUCUGAAAGAAUUCCAGAGACUUUCUGUUGCUUGAAUUGUGAAUCAUUCCAAUCAUAAAUACCAAGGUUCUAAGAUCAAGUAAGGCAUCUCUUAAUAAUGAUGUGAGAGAUAAAGACAAGCAGCAUACUAGUAUUCAAGAGAAGUAGUAUUCUUCUUUUGUAUUCGACAACAAUCAUCUACUCUACACCCCAAAUUUUAGCAACUUAGGAUCUCCACUUUCAUUAGGAUUGCAGAAAGCUGGCCUCUUGGAAACACAUGAGAGGAUAUUUAGAAAUUUGAAAGAAUUUCAGACACUUGUUGCUUGAAUUGUGAAUCAUUCCAAUCAUAAAUGCCAAGGUGUUUCAAGAUUAGGUAAGGCAUUUCUUGGCAAUGAUGUGAAAGAUAGAGACAAGCAGCAUACUAGCAUUUAAGAGAAGUAGUAUUCUUCUUUUGCAUUCAACAACAUUCAUCUACUCUACACCCCAAAUUUUAGCAACUCAAGAUCUCCACCUUCAUUAGGAUUGUAGGAAGCUAGCCUCUUGGAGACACGUGAGAGGACAUUUAGAAAUUUGAAAGAAUUCUAUAGACUUGUUUUUGCUUGAAUGUGAAUUAUUCCAAUCAAUAACAAUCCCAAAGCCCUAUAUACAAUUUUGAACUGUCAACCUUCUUACAUUGAAUGAAAAACCUGUCCCUAGGAAAGAGGUGUCUUGGGCAUACAACCAUCAAUUAUUAGCUCUCGAAGAGACUUAAAGUUGUGCACCCUCUUGGUAGCUUCUAAUUCAUUACAUCAUAUAACUUCUAGAUAUCCAAUUGGCAUGUCACUACACCUGAAUAAAGUAUAAAACAUGGUGAAUAGGAAGUUAGACAACCUUUCACAAAAAGAAUCCUGCAAGAAUACACCGAGCAGAACUUCUUGUUAACAUAAAUGAAUUCACUCAGUUAAAUUAUUGCGUUAAAAUUUAAAUUGGAGAAAUAAAAAUACUAAUCUUUGCAUGGGACUAUGGGAUGACCAGCAAGAGGAACAUACUUUGAAUAGAAAAUGUGAAGCCAUAAAGCUUAUAAUUGUUGUCAGAUGCUGCUCCCUAGUCAAGUUUUCAACAAAAAGAUUCAGUGUAGAGAUUCUCUAGUAGCUAAACUUGUAGAAAAUUUUAACAGUAUGACAAUUUAUACUUGUAACAAGAAGAUAAAAUGUAAGAAUUGUGUUGGGAAUAGAUGAAACUUACUAAAUAUAUGGAUAAGAUAGGGUGAAUCCACUCUGCUUCCAUUUUUGGAAUCCAAACUAUUAUGGAUCAAAGUUGGAUUUCUCCAUCUAUUAAAUACAACUAGAGCUUAGGUGAGGUCUUGGUGAUUUAGGAAAUUCAUGGAUUCUGGAAUCUUGACAUGAAAAUAUACAUGAGUGAUACAUUGGAAGAAAGGGCAGGCUUUGGUCCUCUAAGAAGAAACAUAUCUUAAAUAUACUAUCAAUCUUGAGUUGUUUAAGAGUGAUGAGUCUGUGAAAGCCUUUCUCAGAUAAGGGAUGUCUUUGACAUUUCUCCUUCUUCAAUCUCAGGAAGGUACACCAUCAACUAGAACAUUAGGAAUGUGAGUCAUCAUAGACAACUUGUUUGUGUUCUUUAUUCUUUUCUCACUGAAGGGGAUUAAAAGAUAUGUAGUUGCAAGGACAAGAGAUGUAGCCAGUUGUGAAAGCAUCAAACAAUCCUUCUCUAAUGCAGACCACAAAUUUUUGCAACUCGUGAUCUCCACAAUUUGGAGCAUUGAAGGAAGUUGCCUUGUUGGAAAGAUGUGACAUGACAUUUAGAAAUAUGCAAGAAUUCCAGAGUUCAUUCCAAUCAUUAAGGAAUCCAAAGCCCCUUGGCAUGGAUAACACACCUAUCUUAGGAAAAAGACUGGGCACCAAUUCAAUGAUCAACUCUCUAUGAAACUUGAGAUACAAGGUACUAAUGUUAGUUGCUUCCGUGGCAGUUCUUUUACUGGUAUUAGGGCAAAGCCUUUUGAAAACCCUCAAUCUACAAAUUACCAAGGACAUGAGAUCAUGUUGUAAUCUCAUCUUCAAUCUCUAGCUACAAACAAAUUAUUUCUUUCAAAUAACAAUCUUUAAUGCAUUCACUUCUACCAUAUGAUAAGCAAUUUCGGAAAACAAGUAAGCUUUAUAAUAUUAGGAAUAUGUAAGGAAUUGAUAAAGGUCAUGAAUCUACUUUCAAAAAAUAAACUAUAAAAACAAAGAUUUUUUCACCCAUGAAUAUUUUAACCAGCUUCCAAAAAACAUUAAGUAUUGCAAUAACCAAAUGUUCCUCAGGUUACCAAGAGUGCUUUUUUUACCCAUGCAUAAAAUAAAAAGAAAAUAAGAAAGCAUACCAUACAACUCACAAUUGUGUCAAGUAUGAGUUCAAUUCAUGGCCAUGCACAAUUGCAUUAAGUAUUUGAAAGCCAAAUAAGGUUAUGUGCAAUUCAAAGAAUACCAUACAACUCAUAAUAGAAUCCUCAUAGCUCACCAUAGAAUGAGAACUCAAUUGUCCUUCCUCUAGUCAUAAGAGUUUGUGCUCUUCGAGCCUUUGACUUGCACAACUCAAGACAGCAGGACAUGCCAAAAAGUCUCAUUCACCUCAAACAUUAUUCAAAUCCAUAGUAUAAAUCUAGAUAAGAUAAUUUCCUACAAAUAUAACAUGUUGCAAACAAAUAACAGUAUGUUGGUUUAAAAUUGAAGAGCAUUUCAAACCAAACAAAAUAGAAAAAUUUUCAGUGUAUAUCACUCACCUAAAAACUUGUAUGUUGGAUAAAAUUCCUGCUAAUGAAUCCUGACAAUUAUUUGCAAUCAAAAUUUAGUAAUGAUUUAUAAACAAAAAAAAUUACAAAAUUUUUUAGCAAUGUUCCAUGAAAAACACAUUGCAUAUUGAUUGAGAAAUUAAUAUGAAAUCCACUAAUUUGAAAGGCACUAAAUACCAUAUGUUGUCUUGAGUUCUCCAUGUAUCAAAACAUAUGCAAGUUGCUAUUCGAGCCACCACAAUCACAGAGCAAAAGACUUCUUAGCAUGGAAGGCAUACCAUAUUUUGAACAAGGUUCUUAAUUUUCCAAGAGACAUAAGAACGUGGUGUGUUGUAGAAACUGUAGAAUAAAUAAAUGGAAGUUAGACAUAUGCACUUGCUACUUAGUUUUUUAAUCAUGUGUGAAAUAAAUAAAGAGGUGUUACUUGCAUUUAGGCCAAACUUCUAGUCUCCAAUGUGAAAUCUAAUUCUCAUUUUGUCAACAUAAUAAGAGCAUUAAACACAUAGCAAAUUGAAUCCUUCCUUUUGACAAUUUGAAAACCUUAAAGGAAUGAUUUGAGAUCAUAAAUAACUAUACAGUAAAGAAAAUUUUCAUCAUUCUUUCUAAAAGGAAAAUUUGUCAUUUCCUUGAUUACGAAAGAUUGAUAUUUUAACAUAAAGUGCACUCAUUAAGGUAAACUUUGUGCAUUAUAUAUUGAAUUAGAAAAUUAUAUUUAAAUUCGAUUAGAAGGGUAUCACAAAAGAUGCUUAAUUGAAAUGAAGGCAUCCAUGCCAAUCUGUAACUGUUGUCAAAUAACACUCUCCCUUGUCAUUUUACGUCCCACGAUUGCAUGUCAAAUCUCUAAGUAAGAUUGCUUAAAAAGCACCUAAAAGAAAAUUACGAAGAUUUCAUUGCAGGUAGAACUUAAGGUGCUUACAUUGACCAUGGGAGAGAUCAUUAAGAAACAAAAUACUCACCCAUAAGUUUGUAACUAUUGUACUCAAAACUUGCUUCCUAGUCAAACUUUCAACAUAACUCCAUGGAGACUUCCAUAAAUUGUUGAGCCACUGGUAAAACACAACAUCAAUAUGAGAAAUUUACAAGGUACUAUGCAGAUAAAAGAGUAAGAAAUGUGUAUUGAGAAUAAGAGUUACCUUAAUGAAUGUAAGGAUAGGAUAGGGUUGAAUUGGCUCUACACCCAUUUUUGCAAUUUGAAUUUAUUAUGGUUCAAAAAUGAGUUUAUGAUGUAUCCUCAUUUUAGGGGAAGCAAGCAAUUUGGGGCCAAUCUCUAUCAUUCUCCUUGAAACAUCUUUGAUUUCAAAGUUUGAUAAAACUUAGAAGACAACCUUUCACUUGGCAAGGAGGACUAGAACAAGGCAUCCCUCAAUCUCUACAAGUUAAAGAAAUGAAGUUUUGAAGACCAAGGGAGGAGGCUAGGUUUCCAUAUUUGAAAAUAUUUUCAUUGAAAGAUUAAUGAGAGUUGUAGCAAGAAAUCCUGUCAAAAGGAAAUUGCAUUUAACAAUGUACAAUAUAAAAUGAAUGAACUAAGUUUUUAGAGAAGUGAAUCUUUGGAGGCUCCACAAAAAUAAGGGGUUUUAAUACUCUUGCAAGUGUAUUCAUGAAAUUGUUUCCUCCAAGGAUUCCUGAACCUGGACAAUGUACAACACAAAGCUGUUAAAGAGAUGAGAGACUCUAAAUCUGAUGAGGUAGGACUUGAGAUCCACAUUUUCUUAAGUGAAGAAUUCUGAUGUUGUAGACACACUAGUAGUUUCUAGAUUUAGAUACUUCUCUUCAAAUAUUUGUAUAAUGUACAUCUUCUUUGACAUUGCUGCUCCAAUAGGAUGUCCAAUAGGAUGUGCAACCUAUUUGGGCAUACUACACGUACAAUAAAAAAUUUCAUUAAAACAAAAAACUUUUACUAAAACAAAAAUAUGAAGCUAAUGUCUAAGAAGAUAAGAUUUAUAUAUAGUGAAUGAGCAUGUUUGAUUUUAGCACAAAGGGAAAGACGCCAAAAUUUUUAAGAAUAUCAUCACCACAAGUACCUAAUUUGCAUCAUUAAAAAUUCCACAAGGAUUUGAUGGCUAGACAAUAAAAUAAUUCUAGUAAAUGAGUUAAAAUCAGCUGAGCUAAGAAAGAUUAAAUCCAAAUAAGCAUCAAUCAUUAAAGAAUUAGCCAACUAUGAAAGACUUCAAAUGACAUUUUCUCUGUAAUUUCUGUUCCUAAUUGGCCUCAUUUGAUUGUACCAAAAUAUUAUUAAUUUGCUUUAAAGGAAGUGGGUGACUCGUAUCUUUGAAAGGGUGUGAGAGGUGGAAAUCCCUCGAUCUCUAGUGAUUCAAGAGGAUAAUUCCUAUGGCUAUUGUUGUCAUCAUACAUCAUUCAGCUAGCUAUAGACCACAAAAUUGAACAAUCAUGAAUACGUAGAUGCUUAAAUAUGGUAUGUACUUUAUCUAGUGGAAAAGCUUAUGAGACUUGGACAUCUCGAGAUUUCUAGGAAUUAAGAUAGAUACAAGUUGUUGCUUCUUGUUAUAAUUUAUCUGGAUUGCAAUCAUCAAGCACUAACUCCAUUCACUACAUGUUUUGAGCCUUCAACAUAAAACCCAAAUUCCAUUCUUUCAGCCAAAAAAAAAUCAUUAAUAACUCACCUGAAAACCAUUUUAUGUUGCUCAAAUUAUAAAAUGUAGGAUGUAACUGACUUCCAUCAUUGAAAAUGAAUUGAUAUAACUUUACAAUACUAGUAUAUUUAGCUUUUGAAAUGGCUGAAACUGAUCCUGGAAUCAAAAAUCACAUACACAAGUAGAUAUUUAACAAAAAAGGAUCCAAAAUCUCUUCAAUUGAUUAAUGUAUAAAUGAAUUAAUCAAAAUUUUUAGAGAUAAUUAUGGGGAGAUGAACCUUGUACCUUUUAGUUUCUUAUUCUUCUUGAACACAGCAAUGUGCAUCAAGUGUUACGCACCUAGGAAUCUCCCUUCCUCCACAAGCAAAAUCUGAACAAUCUAUCAUUUCUUCAUAUUCCACUUCCUUGCAAAAUUCAAAACAUGAAAAACAAUAUCAUCAAAAUUGAGACAAAAAUAAGUGCAUCAACUAUCUCAAGAAGAGAUUUAUGCCUAUUGCUUACCUUUUGAAGAAGUCCACUUGGUUAGAGCACAUUUUACAUGGACGCCCAAUCACUACAAGCAAUUGAACCAAAGGAGAGUUCAAACAUCUAAAAAAUUUGACGAACUCAAGUAUCAUAAAAUACUUCAUAUGAAUUCUAAAUGAUCUCAUAUCUAAAAAACAUUGACAUAAAAUUAUUGUUGUUUACCUUACAUGUUUCUUCCAUGGUCAUAAUCGAAACUUUGUUUAUCAUAAGAAAUCUUCUAUGCUCAUCUUGAUUACUUACAAUAAACACUGAAAUGAAAAGAAAAAAACACAAAAAAUGAUGAUUAGUUUGGUUUGAUAAAUUUAGCACACAUAAUUUCCUUUUUCUUGCAUGAGAAAAGAAAGAGUAAAUAUAUAUAUAUAUAUAUAUAUAUAUAUAUAUAUAUAUAUAUAUAUAUAUAUAUAUAUGAAUUUAAUAAUUUUUUAAAUUAGCAAUUAUAAAACUAUUUUGGUUCUCAUAAAAUUUAUGGGAAAGUAGGGAAAAAAAUUGUAAACUUUUUCUCUUGUUUGAUUGUUUAUCGGAAAAUUGAGGGAAAACAAAAAUCUAUGACAAAUUUAUUUAACACUUCUGAGGAACCAAAAAUGUUUUAGAUGUUGUCAAAUUGAUAAUUUAAACGUGUUUAAUUCCAAUUAAAUGAGUUUAGUAAAACACAUGAAAUUGUGAAUAAAAUUAUUUAAAAGCAUUGAAAUUCAAGUCAUUAAAGUUGUCCAUAAAAUUUGGUAUAUUGAAGCAAGAAAAAAACAAAGCAAUUUGAAUGACUUGCUAAUAAAGCAACUAACUAGAAUAUGCCCUAGAGUUGUUCAGUGCCCUCUAUAUAAGAAAUAAACAGAGAACACAAAAAAAACCAAGAAAAAAAACAAACAAACGAAAAACAAAGAACACUUCUUACGUUAUUUUUUCUUAAUUUUUCUUAUUUAUAUACAUUUUUGUUGGUUUUCUUUUGACCAUAAAAGGUUCGAGCAUUGGCAUUGUCAUGUGUAAAUUAUUGUGGCUACAAACUUCAUCCGUAUCCAAUUGCACACCUGUCCAAACUCUUGAUGAUGAAGGUAUGAUUGCAUUUACUAGCAUUAAAUUGCUAAAAUUUGUCAUCCAAAGUUCCAAUUUCUUUUGAACCUUGAAGACUUCAUUUGCAUUCUUGUAGGAAUUAGAUGUGGAAUCAUUUUGCAAUGCUUGUGGUCUUGUGACCAGCAGUGAUGAAUGGGAAAAUAAGUUCUUAUCAACCAAGCAAACAAACUUCCAUUAUCCCAAGGAAGUCUUUCCAAGCUACUGCCUUAUGGGUUUGGAACACUUUUAGAGGUAACAAUCAAUUGGAACUAGUUACUCUUUCAAACUUCGUAUUGUACAAAUAUAGCCUGCAUGUGCAACCAUUUUUGAUCCCAUAAUUUCAAGAAUUUAUGACACCUUCUAGUGGUUAGUCUUUCUGGGAAUGGAGUAAAGCAACCUAUUCACUCCAAGAAACUAUCGUAAGAGGAAUAGUAGAUAACCUCGCAAGACCAAAUUUAUGUGUGUGCAUGGAGGUGCAUGUUUUCUGCAUCCCAAUCAUGCAGUGUUGUGUCAAAUGGAACAAUAGCAAGUGAUGAUAAGUGGUAUUUCUAAAAUCUUCUAAGAGUAUUCCAUAUAUUGUAAUAUUGUUUUCUCAAAACUGUCUAUGAGUCUUAUGUGUAAAUAUUAGAGUUGACCUCUUGUAAGCUAUCAAUUGAUGUUGUAACUUAAAUUGAAAGGGAAAUUCUAUAAAUUUAGCCUUGGUUUGGCUCUUGGAAAGCAAAGAAAAAUUAGGUUAACAGUGAGUUGAUUUCUUCCCUUCCCAUGGAUGUAAGCACAUUCUUGAAUUAUGUUAAUUAUGUUUUGGUUUAUUUUGUUGUUUUCUUGUUUAUUGUUCAAUUGUCUCCGCAUAACAAGUGGUAUCAAAGUUGUUUCCAACACAACAGAUGAUUCCUAUGCUAACACAAUGUUUGAGGUUAAAUGUAAGAUGGUAAAAGUUUCUAGAAUAUUUCCCUAUGACAACUGCCAAUAAAGGAUUUACUUAACAGGAAGUUCGUAAGGUGUUACAUGGCAAGUUGAACAAGACCAAUAGCUAAAGAUAUUUGAAAUAUUUGGGGCCAUUGAUCGAACAAUAGCAUAGAAUAACACAAGAAGAGACCCUCUAAUCACCAUUUUUGCUUUUGAUUCUUCUCUACAAAGCAUCAUCUCCUUUAUACAAAAAGACAACCCGUGGCUAAGCCCACAUUAUUCUCUACAUAUCCCAAAAAAACCCUCCAACCCAUGGCAUGGCGCACUUUUUGGGGGUAUUUUGCUACUAAAUUUGUGGUAGUCUCUCAAAUACCUAAACUAUCCUCCAGAUUUUAAGGCAUGGCCUACUCUUUGAGGUGGUAUUUUAGGUACCAAUUUUUGUUAAGAGAGGUUUUGGUGUGAAAACUAGAGGGCUUUACACACGUUGCAUGUAUUUUCUUUUGCAUGCAUUACACGUAGAUUGGAGUUUAUGCAGUUACUCACUUUUUGUGAGUCCAAUAGUACUAUAGUGCCAUGUCACCAUAUGAUGGGCUCUUUAGUCUUUUCAAACCCAAAAAAAAAAAAAACCUAAUACUAAAAGGACUGCUAACUAGCUAUGUGGAGGUGAACCUCUAUAGCUAGCUUCUUAGAGGGACCAUGAUCACUUAGGCCAAGAAAGUUUGAGGUGAUAAUAGGUUUGUGAUGCCCUUAGAUGUUUUAGACACAUGUGCGUUACACUAAUGUAUGCAACGAGUCUAUAACCUUGAUUGACAGGUCCGGGUAAUCUUUGAAAUUCCACUGUGAUGGGAAGGUUCCAUGUGAACAACAGUUGCACAUGGGUUAGUCAAUCUUAAGAGACGGGGGAAGCCCGUUUAAUAGCGCACAAUGUGCAAGCUUUGAAAGGCAAUCAGGUUAACAUUUUUUAAUUGGGACAUGACAGUGAACAAUAACAUUAGGUAGUUUGGAGAUGUCGUCAUAUUAAUUGUUAUCAAUAUUUUUAUUUAUUCAAUAGAAUUUGAGGAUUAAAAAAUACCACAAAAAUUAGAAAAUACAAAAUUAAUUACAUGGCUUACAUUUCAAAUAUUUAAUAAAAUAUUGUAUGAAAAUUGAAUAUCAUACAUUAUUAAAUGGCUGGAUUCUCUUCUUUAGUUUUUUAAUUGUCUCAUCCUAUUAAAUUACUCAUCUAAUAUUAAUUUAUUUUAAAGGUAAAAUUAAUUAUUUUGUAAAAAAACUUUUAAUUGACCAGAGUUUGUGCCAUGCAUCUAAUAUAUACUUAAAUACUUUUCCAUGCUAUAAUCCUCCAACUAAGGAAUGAAAUCAAAACUUAAAAAUCAUUUAUAUAUAUAGAUAUAUGUUAUUAAGUUUAGGUAGUGAAGCAAUUAUUGUGGAUAUAAAAUUAAUGCCAAAACUUUUGAUUGUUCCUUCACAUUCUCCACAACCAAACAAAGGAUAUAAGAAAAAUAAAGAAAGAAAAUUAGGGUAGUUUGAUUUUUUGUACUCAUCUUGUCGUGAAGUCAUCUUGUCGUGAAGUUAAUAGAAGAAUGCUUGGGUUAGUGCUCAACAAUUAAGUGCCACUAGGGUAUAAUGAUUCUUCCAAUCAAGUAAAUAUUAUCCGCUUUAAUUUCAAUGGAUCAUCAUCACUUUAAAUUGCAUCCACAUGGUUAAGAGCAACUCAUAUGUAUAUAAUAUCAUGAAUUUCUUCUUAUUCAAUAUGGAAUAUCAAAUUAGGUAUCUUUCAAUUUUAGGUAUUGUAUAAGUGUUUCAAUUCAAAUGACUUGGCUUAAUGUAUACUCAAAGCCUUUACAAAGGAACGUACAUGUAAUAAAGUGAAAAUUAAACCUUGUCGCCCGUCUAUCUCUAGUAUGAAACACAACUCCAUUAGCCCUUAAACAUCUGCAAAAAAAGAUAUACACCUUUGUUACAUUAAUUAAAAUAAAUGAUAGAAAAAGAAACUCUAUAUAUCCAUGUACAAAAUUUGAUUAGAUUUGUUAUAUAUAUAAAGAGAGAGAGAAAAAGAAAAAAAAAACUGCUUAGAUUAAGGAUCUCAUUAAUUAAUACCUAGAAAAUAUAAAAUAAAAUAAAAAGAUUAGAAGGUGUGAAUUAUAAGAUAAGAUUACAUUUUUGAAUUAGAUUCAUCGAAAGAUGGCAUAUUGUAUGAACAUUUUUACUCUAUAUAUAAAAACUUAUAUUAUGGUUGAGAUGUAGUAAUUUGUCAUAUUUUUGGACAAUUCAAGUAAUGAGUAAUUACACUAAAUUAAAUUAUUGACCUUAUUAAUUGAUAGCUCAAGAGUAUAAAAUAGUAAGAAAUGAAUAAUACAAACUUUAUCGAAAUAUUUUUAUAGACAUAUUGUGUAAAUAUUCUUAUUUCAUAAAAUUUUAUGUCAUUAAAUAAAUAGAGAAUUUUAACAUUAAUUGCAAUGCUAAGUAGAGGAGAUCCCAUAUUUAAGCUGUUGAUUAAGGCUUAUUUGAUAAAACUUAAUAUUUAUUACUUAAUAACUUAAGUUGACUUUAAGUUAGAUUAUAUUUAAAUUACUUAAAAUUUAUUAUUUAAUAUUUACUUUAAGUAUUAAAGUUAUUUGAUAAAAUUAAUUUAAAAGUCAUUUUAAAUUAUCAAAUUGUCAUAUUUAUCUUCGUUAAUUUGAUAACUAGAUGCAGAUAAAUGAAACAAAAUAAAAUUGAGAUUAAGAAUAAAUUAAUUACUUUGAUUUAACACUUAAAAUUAAAAGUAACUUUAAGAUAUAAUAUUAAGUUAUUUUAUCAAAUAUAUUUAAUCUAUUUAAUAAUUAAAUUAAGUUAUUAAGUUAAUGAAUGAUUACCAAACACCCUAUAAGACCCAAAAAAUCGAAUGAGUUUUAAUAGUAUUCAGGAUGGACAUGACUAGGUGGCGGUUCAAUGCUGAUUAAUCAUAAUUCAAUCAAGGCAAAAUAUGUAACAAAUACAAGUCAAACUGCACCAUCCAAAUGGGCGCCAAGAAGUUACAUUUGACAAAUGCCAUUAAACCUCUACAGCUAGCAAUUAUUUUGAUCACAGAAAAAAUGGCAAAAAAGUGUGUUGUACUUCAUCUUGAAGCCCAUUAACUUCAUCUUAAUUUGAUCCAAAUUGCAGAAACAUGCAAAACUCCAUGAAUCUAUGGUGCUAUGGUGGCCUACAUUCAUAUAACUGGGGACACUUUGGUUUACACCACAAUGACCCCAAACAGUGUUUGUAGAGGCUUUAUCAAGAUCACUAGCUUUAAAAGACUAAGGAAAGAAAGAUGUUCUCAAUGAAAACUUGGAGUCAAAUUGCAGAUAAAGACCUAAAACUCCCACUCAAUGUGUUUUAGGAAUUGUUGUUUCAUGGGGAUAAGCUGCUUGGUUUGUACAUGUCUCCUUGGUGAUACUUAGAGAUUGGCAAAGUAUACUCUCCUUUGUCAUCUGGUUUGUAUAUGGGCAGAUGAAUGUUCAUGCCAGGUUCAUAUAUGUUUCUGACAUAUAUCACCCUGGAAGGAUCUAGAUCAAGGGGAUGAGUUUGAAAAGCUUGAGUAGGUUUAAGAUGUUCCCAGAAUUGGUGAGCAUGAUAUAUAUCAACAUGAUAUUGCAGAAGACAACAGAGCUUCUGAAAUAUAUCAGGUUCAAUAGUAGGAAAUCUUAUCAGCUGUCACUUAUUGUAAUCCUAUGCUCUCAAUAUUCAUUUGUUGAAGAAGAAGAAAAAAUUGCUUUCACACUAUUCAAUUACAGGAGAAUGUUCAAUUAUAGAAGAAAAUAAUAUUCACUAGACUCUUUCAACUUAAUCAACAUGCAGAGAAAAGCAGUCGGGUGGCCAAUUAUUCACAUACAAACUUACAUACAUCGUCUCUCUACCUCUACUUGUUACUCAUCAGCCAAGCUUAUAGUAAUAUAAGCUUGGGUUCAUCUCUUUAUGUCUCUGAUGACAACUCCACAUGGGGUUCGCCUUCUGGUGAUUUUGCAUUUGGAUUCUGACCCUCUCCAAGUGAAAAGGAUCAAUAUCCUUCUUGCUAUCUGGACUGCAAAUGGAAGUUAACCGGUGCCAAGAGGAUCAAAAGUUGAGCUUACUACCAAUGGACAACUUGUUCUCCAGAGGCUAAGAGAUGAAGACAAAGACUGGUAAUGUGAGCAGCGAAGCAGUGCAUGGUGCCAUGCUUGGACAUGGAAAUUGUAUACCAGUAUAUGGGAGAGCUUCAAGCACCCAACUAAUACCAUAUUGCCAACCCAGGGAUUGGUGUUGGAGCCUACUGUGCAGUUGCUAUUUUUGAGGACCUGAGGUUUGCAAAUGGAACUGGAAGCUGUUGGAGGAAAAGACUACCUCUUUCAAAUGGGAGGUUGGAUCAAACUGAUGUUUCCAGAAGUGCUCUAAUCAAGAUAUUGAAGUCCAGUGAACUAACUUCAGGCAGAGGCAACCAAAAUAAAGCAAUUCUAAUACUCUCAGUCCUCUUAGGCCCCUCUGCGUUUUUCUUCUUCGUUUCUCUGGCUGCAAUUUCUCUAGUUUUCUACCACUUGAACCUCAAAAAUCUGCAGCUUUAUCACAGAGUCCUGAGUACAAGCGAUGGUAGAAGCCUUUGACACUGUCUAUAAAGGGACAUUACCAUCAGGUUCUGGAAAUUCUGUUGCUGAAAAGAAGUUGGAGAAGGUGGUGGGAGAAGAUGAGAAAGAAUUCAAAGCAGAAGUGAAUGUGAUAGGCCAAACUCACCAUAAGAAUCAAGGACAGUUGCUGCGUUACUGUCAUGAGGGUGAACACUGACUACUGGUUUUUUUUUUUUUUUCUUUUUUAUGCACAAUGGCUCUUUAUCAAGCUUCCUUUCUGAAGGCGCCCAAGGACUUGUGUACCUACAUGAAGAAUGCAGUAAACAGAUCAUCCAUUGUGACAUAAAGCCCUCAGAACAUAACUCUUAGAUGAUUCUUCUACAGCCAAAGUUGCAAACUCGGACUGGGAAAGCUUCUGAUAAUCAACCAGACUAGAACACUCACAGGCAUCAGAGGGACUAUGGGGUAUAUUCAGACAACUCGAGCAGCCUAUGUCUCUUAUAAUAACACGUUAUGAAGCAUCAGCUCAAUGCCAAGGUUCAAUCUGCAAAGCAAGGGAUUCAUCAAUGUUUCCUUCAAACUAAAUAAUAAGGAACAGAAAUGGAUCAUUCUGCAUUUUCAGUGGUGUUUGUUAUAGCAUUUAUACAAGAACUCUAGGGGUUUCUAUGUAUAACUUCAUUCCUAUUUUGUCAGUGAAUAUGGUGAUGGUGUUAUAUUACAAAUCAUAGUGAACUGGUGGAAUUUGAUCAUUUGGCCAACUUUAUCCAAAACUGUUUCACGGUUGAAGGGAUUGUUGACUUUGCCCUGGGCGAAACAGCAAUUUCUUAAGAAGCUGGGUAACGAAGAGUACCAUAAUUUGGACUGGUUUCAAUGGAAACUCUCCUGUUUUUGUGCAUGGUAUCUUCAGCUUCAGCUUUUCAUAUGCUUUUGACUAUCCUGAAACUGAUCCAAAUCUCUUCAAUUGAUUAAAUGUAUAAAUGAAUCCUAUUCAUUGUUUGGAGUAACAACCAAAUUCUGGAAGACUGGGAAAGUUUCAACACUGGAGAGAAAACAAAAUGACAAGACCAUAAAUUCUGGAAGAGGGCUUUGCUUUCUAACCAUUACCAUAAUUUUAGAGCUCAACCCGGGUGAGUAAAUUAUAUUUCAGAAUGUUCAGAAGAUAAUUCUGAAGUGAUGAACCUUCUACUCACAGUUUCUUGUUCUUCUUGAACAGAGCAAUGAACAUGAAUAGUUCAGCACCCAGGAAUCUCCCCUUCCUUCAAUUCCUUUACUGGGAAAACUCUGCCAAAAUCAUAACAAUCUGUCCUCUUCCUUGGAGGAAAAGUCACCUACCCAAUCAAGAAAAUCAUCAGGAUUAAUUUGAGCAAAACAUCAGAGUAUACAUCAAGAAAGCCUUGAUCAAAAUCAAAAUACAUCAAGAGCUGCCAUUUUCUUCUAUUUCCUCUUCCCCGAAUGGAAUGCCUUUUGGACUGAGGUGAUCAAUGGUAACAGUCUAACACACUCCUUAAGCUCUGAUUGAGGUCAACGGGGAUUGGCACAUUUAAUGACUUUUGAAAUCAUAGCUGUGUGAAGGGAGGCAAACAUGAAUCUCAGGAUAAUCAACAAGUCAACAACUAUCAAUCAGCAAGGAAAAGGAAAUACCUUUGGAUAUUUACAAAUCAAAAAUUUGAGAGAGUCCAGCUUCUCUGUACAGAAAGGCUUGAGCUUAUUCCAUGGCCAGGCUUUAGAUGGUUCUGAAUUACGGAUGAGAGGGUUGAGUUUUCUUUUAUUCUGCAAUAAGAUUAAAAACAUCAAUGAAACACUAAAAGUUUAUAUAUAGAAGCCCUUUAAAGAUAAGAAUUGGUAAGAAAGCUCACCCAUGGUCUAGUAAAACAACAUCUGUUAGAUAAGUAACCGCCAUUCGAUUGUCCAGCUAAUGCAUUUAGAUCUAAGAUAAGAUAUGGAAAAAUAGUCAAAAAUAGCUGAAGACAGUCCAAAAACUCAUUUAUCUAAUAAUUUUCUAAAAGCAGUAACAUAAAACCUGGAUGAAGAAUCCACCCCUCUACCUGACACCACUUCAAUACCAAAUAAAAUGUUACGAUGACCAUUUAUGGUCUUAAGAGACAGUGGAUGUUGUUUGGGCUCAAGACCUAAGACAAGCCAAAAAACAAGAAGAAGACAACAUCAAAAUUGGCACAGAAACAAGUACAUCAACUAUCUAAUAAAGAGAUUUAUGCAUGUAACAAAUGCAAAUGAAAUAUGAAACAAGAUUUUCAUGGAUUAAACAAAAAUAGAUGGCAAAAUAGAAGGAUAAGGUCACAGACAGGACAAUAUUAAAAGAAAUGAUUAUUUGUCCCACCUGAAAAUCGAGGCAUUCAGAACAGUACACAUUUGUAAGUAGUCCAUGGAAACCAGGGAACAUAUGCAGAUGUUGUAUUCUAUUGCAUAAGGCAAACACUCAAUACUUACUAGCAUAACCAUGCCCAGAAAGCCAUGAAUCCCUUUUUGUUUUGCUUUUUUACCUAUUCCCAUCUCUUAUGGCCAGAAGUGCUCAGGAUGAUAUAACAUCACCAAAUAAGUUAGAAACCAGCCCAUCCAGCAGGUUGAGUAGCCAGCUUGCCCUCAAUCUUCUUUGAGUCAACAAACAGCUGGGCAUUAUUGCCUCCAAUGGAGGGUCUGGAAAUAUUAGAGCUGGCACCAGGGGUGGCUGUAAAACUCUCUGUUCCAAAACCCCAAGUUUCAGGGCCAGAAGUUGCUUCUGUGGCUGGUUUGUUGUGAUGGCCAUUUCGGGUCCUAACAGACUUGCUAUUGUUGUCUGGGCACCUACCUCAGAGAAAGCCUGCCAUGGAUUAGAGUCCUGACAUGGCUGAAACUGAUCCUGAAAUCAAAGUUCACAUACACAAGUAGAUAUUUAACAGAAGAGUAUCCAAAUCUCUUCAAUUGAUUAAUGUCCAAAAGAAUUAAUCAAAAUUUUUAGAGAUAAUUAUAGGGAGAUGAACCUUGUACCUCUCAGUUUCUUAUUCUUCUUGAACAGAGCAAUGAGCAUCAAGUGUUGAGCACCCAGCAAUCUCCCUUCCUCUACAGGCAAAAUCUGAACAAUCUAUCCUUUCUUCAUAUUCCACUUCCUUGCAAAAGUCAAAACAUGAAGAAAAUAUCAUCAAAAUUGAGACAAAAAGAAGUGCAUCAACUAUCUCAAGAAGAGAUUUAUGCCUAUUGCUUACCUUUUGAAGAAAUCCACUUGGUUAGAGCACAUUUUACAUGGACGCCCAAUCAGUGCAAGCUGCUGAACCAAAGGAGAGUUCAAACAUCUAGGCUCAUCCCGAUUACUUGUAAUGAACACUGAAAUGAAAAAAAAAAAUGAAUUUAAUAAUUUUUAAAAAUGAGCAAUUAUAAAACUAUUUUGGUUCUCAUAAAAUUUACGGGAAAGUAAAGAAAAAAAACUUGUAAACUUUUUUGUUUUUGUUUGAUUGUUUAUGGGAAAUUUGAGGGGGAAAAAAAAUCUAUGAGGAAUUUAUUUAACACUUCUUAGGAACCAAAAAUGUUUUAGUUGUUAUCAAAUCGAUAAUUUAACCAUGUUUAAUUCCAAUUAAAUGAGUUUAAUCAAACACAUGAAAUUGUAAAUAAAAUUAUUUAAAAGCAUUGAAAUUCAAGUCAUUAAAGUUGUUCAUAAAAUUUGGUAUAUUAAAGCAAGAAAAAAAACAAAGCAAUUUGAAUGACUUGCUAAUAAAGCACCUAACUAGAAUAAAUAAAGCAGCUAACUAUAUAAGAAAUUAUAAAAUAAAAAUAAAAAAUAAAAAAUAAAAUUGCCAAAAAAAAAACAAACAAAAUAUCCAUGGUUCUUACGUUAUUUUUUUCUUAAUUUUUCAAUAGUUAUAAAUGGUUCAUUUAAUUUUUGCAAACUGCCAAAUCAAAACAGAGCAUGAAAAUGUGUUCAACAUUUGUUUCAAGCUUGAAGCUUCAAGAAAAAAGAAAAUCUUAAAUCAAAUAAACAGAAAGAAAAGUUUAAGCGCAAAAGAAUUACCUAACUGUGUAUUGGCAGAGUGGCAGAGUGGCACCUUGAUUAAAAUAGCACUUCAUUGAUCACUAUUUUAGGAAUGAGAUCUAUAUAACGCCAUUCUUCCCCUUUCUCAAAUUGACACCGUUUUUCCAGUAAAUGACCUCAUUAGAACUACAAUAAGUGAAGUGAUAAUGUCAUAUAAUUAGUAAACCAAACCAAGUCAAUAAACUAGAACUUCCUCUAGUAUGGCCUUUGUGUAAAAGAUAUUUAAAGGUCUUGAUACAUUAGAUAUUUAAAGAUAUUUUUUAUUGUGACAGAUUAUAGAGAAAAUUAGACACUGGGAAAAUACCAAGCCAGGAGCCAUGUCAAGAGCUGCUUUCUUGUUAAAAAUUAAGUCCAAUUAGAAAAUUACAGUAGCGCGUAAGAGAAAUUGAAAGUGGUGUUGAGAAGAGAAAGAGGAAGAAUGAUGUGUUGGGAAUGAGAUGUAAUACCUUCUUUAUUACUCAGAUGGAUUAGUCAUGUAUGUCCACACAGGGGAUGUGGGCAAUCUUGGGCCAAUCAUCUCCUUCCUCCUUCGAGUACCUUUGUGUUAGAUGUGGGCAACUCCACACAUCCAGUCGUGAAAGGGUGUCAGGCCAUAGUCCUUCCCUUGGCAAAAUCGACCGGAGCUUAGGGCAACCGUAGAUUGCUAGAUUUUCAAGAGAGGUGAGGGUUUGGAGAGACAGGGAGGCUAGGGAUUCCAGAUUCUGGAAAUGUGAAAGGUCAAGGGAGGUGAGAGUUGUAGGAAAAAGAAUCGAGUGGGGGUCAUCCGAAAAGGAAGUUGCAUCUGGAAACAUGUCUCCAAUACCGAGGUAUUUAAGAGAGGUGAGUCUGGAAAGGCCCCAUUGGGAUAGGGGGGUCUUGAUAUUCUCACAAUUAUAAAUGUAAAGCGAUGUAAGACGAGUGAGGGUGUUGAGGCAAUCUGGUAGGGUUUUGAGAUUAGGAUACCUCCUGAGGAUUAAAGAUUGAAGUGAAUUAUUAGUAGAGUGAAACAUCUCCUCUGAAAUUGACUCGAGGUGUUCACAAUCCUCAAUGUGAAGUUGCCAGGCUUUGAAGAGCAGCAGCAUAUGUGGAAUCGUAGUGCAUUAUUCCCUCUGGUAGAGACUCCAGCUUUUCACAAUUACUUAUGUGGAGUUUCUUGAGAGUGAUACCUCUCGGAAAACCAAUCAUAGAGGGACACAUAUGUAGAUGUAAGUAUUCAAGGGCACACAUGUCCAUGGUGCUGGUGGUGGCGAUGGAAUUGCAGUGCAUCAUUCCUUCUGGAAGAGACUUGAGACUUGAGAUUUCCAAGGCUUGGAGAGCAGCAGCAUUGGUGGAAUGUUGGUGCAUUAUUCCCUCUGGUAGAGACUCUAGCCUUCGACAAUCAAUUAUGUGGAGUAUCUUGAGAGUGGCGGGUAACCCACCUUUCGGUAAUCCAAUAAGAGACUGACACCAUCUUAUCGAUAACUCUUCAAGGGCACACAUGCCCAUCAUUCCUUCUGGAAGAGACUUGAGAUUUUCACAAGCCCAUAUGUUCAGACUCUCAAGGGUGGUGGGUAAUUGCCCUUUUGGAAAGCAAAUGAGAGAUGGACAAAUCGAUAUCCUCAAGUUUUCAAGGAGACAACAUCAUGCCAUCAGGUAGACUCUUUAGACCUUUACAAUUUCCAACAGUAAGACUUCUCAGCUUUGGUGGGAAACCUACAUCUGGAAAUGACGCUAGCUUUGGACAUUCCUUGAUUGUCAAUUCUUCAAGGCAUGUUAGACUCUGCCAUCCAUUUGGAAGCCUCUCUAGUUUAUCACAUCCACUUAUUUCCAAAGACUGAAGAUUGCAUCCCAAGGAUACAAGUUGGUCACAAUCUCUAAUCUCAAGAGAAUGAGAGUUUUCCGAUCCAAAACCAUCCUCCCACAAAUAUACGAGUUCUUCGCAUGCCCAUACUUUCAAAACCCGAAGCCCUUGCAAAAAUUGCACAAAUCCUUCAUGCAAUUUGAUAAGCCCUGAAAUCCCAGAAAUUGUUAACUUGGUGAGUGAGGUGAGGUCAUUUCCACUGCUCAAGACCGCCUCAUUACAUUCUCCUACAUCUAAUUCGUUCAGCAGUGGAAGUCUUGAAAGUGGAGACUCCAAUUUUGGACAGAAGUGUACAGAGAGCUUUGUAAGAGAAGGUAGGUAAGUGGGUAGUUUCAUAAUCAAUUUGCGGCAACACUGAAUUGUAAGCUCAUGGAGACAAGGGAAUAAUGACUCUGUUGAGGAAGACCAAUCCUCCCAGUGCUCCCAUUCUGACAUGCUAUAAAACUGUAGAGACUCUAGUGAUGGGAAAAACUUACCUGCAGAAACACGAGUCUCUCCAUAAAACUCUGCACCCACUUUUUUUACUACAUCCAUUCCUUGGAUCCUCAACUGUUUGAGCGAUGGCAACUGCCCCAAGCAUGGUAAAGACGUGCACUUUCUGCAAUCUAUGAGACGUAGAUCCACCAUCUUAGAGAACAAGGCACCCCCUAUCCAACGUGGGAAUUCUGGACCACCAUACAACUGAAUGCAGAGUUUGUUCAGAGUCGAACAUGGUUGUAGAGAGUCAAGGACAUCCAUUUGAUUCCUUUCAUUCCCUGAACCAUCCAACUCAGAACUCCACUGCAUUAUCAAGCUUUCAAGGUUACGCUUCGAUUUUAAAUCGGCAUCCCUUGCAUCUUGAAUAUUCACCACAUUUUCCAAUUUCGAAAUGCAAAGUUCUCCUCGCAGAUGUGACAUGUCCUUCAACUCCUUGAUUGUCAAACCGUUGUUUUUGUCCACAAUGAAAUUAGACAAUAUCCGCAAAUCUUUUAGUUUGCCCAUUCCUAUAGGCAUUUCUUGUAAUUUUAUUGCACCAGCAACGUCAAGAUGUCGAAGAUUGAUUAGGUUACCGAUGGUAAUAGGCAACUUGAUAAGCUCUUUACAACAUGAUAAUUUCAAUGUCUGAAGGUAAAAAAGAUUACCAAUUGAAUCGGGUAACCAUUUUAUACUGGUGUGGGACAAAUUAAGGUAUCUCAAAUGUUUCAACUUACCAAAUGAAUCUGGUAUCUCACUUAUCUUGUAAUAAGCCAAUGAGAGCACCCUUAAGUGCCGUAACCUUGGUAUCAAUUCUUCAAGCACCUUAUUACUUAUGAAGGAAUGACGUCCACUAGUUGAUUCAUCAAUCGGCAAAGCUAUGAAUGUGCGCAAGCGCUCUUUCUUAUGAAAUCUUUCAAAUUUUUUAAAGAUAUCACAAAAAUGACGGAUGAAUGAUGAAUGACGAGUAUUUUCAGAAAUGGAGCAUUGCAAAUCAUUCCUCAACUCAUCAUCCAAAUGCAAGCAUGUGUCUCCAGCAAUAGAUUUAGCUAGAGCAUGGACAAGGUCAUGCAUCACGAAUCGUGAUCUAUUGCUGCUCGACGAUUGAAAAAAUGACCUUGACAAUAGCUCAUCAAAAUACUUAUCACCAAGAUCUUCCAUUUUCCUAUUAUCUUUUGUUUGUUGAAUUAACCCCUCCGCCAUCCACAGGAGGAUUAACCCUUGCUUUGUAAACUCAUAAUCCUGGGGAAAAUUUGCGCAAUAAGUAAAACACCUCUUUAAAUGUGAAGACAGAUGACAAUAGCUCAAUCUCAAGGCAGGGAUGAUGUCACAUUCCUUGUCUGUGAAAUCCCAUACUUUGCUGUACAAUACUCUUUCCCAUUCACAUUCACGUAGUUCAGAGCGCAAAAGGCCACCAAGGGCUCUUGCUGCUAAGGGCGAACCUCCACACUUCUCUACAAUUCUCCUACCAAUUGAUUCCAAAUUUGGGUGCUCAUCGAUAUUCAUAUGUUCAAAAGCAUGUGUUUGAAAUAUCUUCAAACAAUCAUCAUAAGGUAACUGUUUGAGCUCAUGUAAGAUCUUGUGUCCUCUCAUCUUGUUUGCAACAUUAUUAUUGCGAGUUGUGACUAGAAUUUUGCUUCCCUGUGCUCCCACCCAGAAAGGGGAGCAUAGCCUGUCCAACUCAAAGUAAUCAUCAUUCCACAAAUCAUCCAAAACUAUCAGAAAUUUUUUUCCCUUCAAUUCCUUCCUCAAAUUUUCUUGGAUUUGAUGCAAGUCUUGUGAAUCACUGCUUUGAGAAUUAGUCACCGAGUUGAGAAUUGUCUUUGUUAUUCUCACUGCAUCGAACUGAUCUGAGACACAAACCCAGGCUUUUUUAUCAAAAUGCUUGGUUUCAUCGUCAUCGUACACCAGUCUUGCCAGUGUGGUCUUCCCCAUCCCACCCAUGGCCACGAUGGAAACUACAGAAAAAUUGGUUUUACUGGGUUCAUUCCUAAGCAGCAUACCAAUUAUAAUAUCUUUUUCUGUCCCCCUGCCAUAGACCUGAGGUUCAUAUCCUAGAGAUGCAGUGACUGGCCUUCCCCAAGCAGAGUUGGUUAUCGCAGCCACCUUUUCUAGACGAAGCUCAGAUUUUUGAGCCGAAAUAUCUCGUAAGCGGCGAGUGAUUUCCCACACCUUGGACCUCAUUUUAAUAUAACGCAUAACCUCAGUAGGAUUGAAAAAGCCAAGCCAAGUUGAGAUGAGCUUGCGUACCUUGCUCGGCCUGCCUUGAUGAUCAGCUUCUUUGGCCGUGAGCUCCCGUUGCAAAGCUUCGUAGGCGAACUCAUCCAAGAUGUCCUCCAUAUCAUAAGCCAAAUCUUUCAGAUUGCCCAGCCACUCUUUCACAGAGCGAUCCGUGAUCUGCUUGUCCUCCGCGUCAUUAAGCUCUUCACGAAUAUCCGACAAUUCUAUCUCCCAUUUCUUGAGAUCAGAGUACACCCAUUGUUGGCGUGCAAAGUCGAGCAAAUUAGUGGAGGCCAACUUGUCAAACAAGAGGCCGAUGGCAGCAGAAAGAAGAGCGUCUCCCACAGCUUCCAUGGUUGGUUUGUACUUUGUUUGGAGAGAGAGAGAGAGCAAAUCAAGCAGUGGAAGCAGAAAGAAGGGAGUUUUGACCCAAAAUAGCGUGUUUUAAAAAAAAAUUUCAAAAAAUAAAGUUGUUUUCAAAAUAAUGCCCAAUCUAAUAUGUCUGUGCCACAUAAGCUGUCAUAUCAUAAAACCGUAGUUGGUGACUACGGUUUUAUUUUUCUAAAGUGGUUAGAAACCGUAGUUACCAACCACGGUUUUAACUUUAAGUUUAAAGCCGUAGUGGUCGUAGUCACCAACUGCGGUUUUAACUUUAUAUAUAUUUAUAUAUAACUUUAAUUUUUUUAAUAAAAAUAUUAUAUUAUUUUGAUUUUAAAUAUACUUAUUUCAUUAUUUUAAAAAUAAUAAUAUACGAAAUUAAAUAAUUGAUAUUUUUAAUUUGAUAUAAAAAUAUUUUUUUAAAUUUUAUUAAAACGCACUAUAUUUAAUAUAAAUAUAAUUAAUUAAUUAAAAUAAAUUAUAAUAAAUUAUAUUUAUUUAAAAUAAAUAAAUUAUAAAUACCUAUUUAGAAAAAUAAAAAAUAAUAUAAAUUAUUAUAUUAAUUAAUAAUUUUUUAUAUAUUAUAUAUAAGUGGUAUAUAAUACCUCUCACACACACACAUAUAUAUAUAUAUAUAUAUAUAUAUAUAUAUAUAUAUAAGUUUAAUUUGAGUUUAAAAUUUAUCACAUUUUUAUUUAAAUAUAUAAAUAAAUUUUAUUAAAACAAUUGACACUAUAUUUAAUAUAAAUAUAAUUAUUUAAUUAAAAUUAAAUAUAAAUAAAAUAUAAUAAAUUAUGUUUAUUUAAAAUAAAUAAAUUAUAAAUGCCUAUUUGGAGAAAAAAAUAAUAUAAAUUAUUAUAUUAAUUAAUAAUUUUUUUAUAUAUUAUAUGUAAGUAGUAUAUAAUAUCACACACACAUACAUAUAUAUAUAUAUAUAUAUAUAAAUAUAUAAAUUAUGAACUUAAAUUAAAAUAUGAUAAAUUUUAAACUUAAUUGAACUAUUAUAUACCACUUACAUAUAGUAUAUAAAAAAUUAUUAAUUAAUAUAAUAAUUUAUAUUAUUUGUUUUUUAAUAGGCUUUCAUAAUUUAUUAUAUUUUAUUUAUAUUUAAAUAUAAUUAACUAAAUAUAUUUAUAUUAAAUAUAGAGUAUAUCAUUUUAAUAAAAUUUUAAAAUAUAUUUAUAUCAAAAUUAAAGUUAUAUAUAAAUAAAUAAAGUUAAAACCGCAGUUGGUGACUACGGCUUUGACCAUUUUAAAAAAAAAUCAAAGCCGUAGUCACCAACUACGGCUUUAAACUUAAAGUUAAAACUGUGGUUGGUAACUACGGUUUCUAAUCACUUUAGAAAAAUAAAACCGUAGUCACCAACUACGGUUUUAUGACGUGACAGCUUAUGUGGCACAAACGCAUUAGAUUAGACAUUAUUUUGAAAACAACUUUAUUUUUUAGAAUUUUUUUUUAAAAACUUACUAUUUUGGGUCAAAGCUCAAAGAAGGGGUCUGUUGUGUGAAGGCUUUAAAUAUUAGAAACCCAUUUUCAUUUAAAUUUAUUUGAAGGUCCUUGUAGAGACAGCUGGAUCAUAUUUUUGGAGUUUGAGAUGGCCCGACUGCCCACCUGCAUGCCACUGUUGGAUUAUAUUUAUUUGUGUACUUUAAAUAUGUCUCAAUUUUAUUAUAAAUUUUUCUAAUUUUUUUAAUAUAAAUAUAUAUAUAUAUCUCUCUUUUAUUAUUAUUUUUUUAUUUGCAUGAUAUUUCUUUCAUACCAAUGAGAAGAAAUUUUUUUUAUUAAAAUUCAUAAAAUAUCUUGUUUUUGUUGCAUGGAUAUGUUUCAUUUCACUGUAGGAAAGUUAAAUAAAAAAUGAUUUUUUCUGAUUUUUAAUUUGUAACAUUUUUUUUCUUAUUUAUUUUAAUCUACCCGUUGAGAGAGAGAGAGAAAAGAAUAUUUUUAAAAAAUAUUGUGAGAUGAGUCCUACUCUUUCCGUCCGUUGAGAGAGAGAGAGAUAAAAUGAGAGAAUGACCAACAAUAUGUUUUGGACUAAAAAAACCCCUUUGAAUGAUUAUGUUGAUAGAAAAGAAUAUUUUGAAAAAUAUUUUGAGAUGAGUCAUAUUCUUCCCGUGAGAGAGAAUAAUAUUUUGAGAUGAGUCCUAUUCUUUCCAUUGAGAGAGAGACAUACAAUAAUCAACGAUGAUUUUUUUUGGACUUCAAAAAUUUUUAUUCCGUUUCAAACCUGUAUUAGAGUAGAACGGGUCGGAAUUUUGUUUGAAGUUCUAGUCAUCCUAUCUUAUUUAAUAUUUUCUGUUAUUUUUAUUAUUUUUAAAAUUUUGUUUUUAUUAAAAUAAAUGUAAUUUAUGAGUAAAUAAAUUAUUUUUCAUAAAUUUUACAUCCUAUCAACUUCAAUUUAAAUAUGUUUAAAGAGGGGAAAUGAAAAAAGAAAUUAAAUUAUUUUUAUUUAAUUUUAUUUAUAAAUGAGAUUGAUUAAGAUAAUACUUUAGAGUUUGUUUAACAAUAAUUUUAAAAAAUAUUUUUAGUUUAAAAAAUAUUUUAAAAAUAAAUAAAUUAAGGAUAUAUUUGAUAAUUAUUUUUUAAAAUAGUUUUUGAAAAUAGUUGUUUUUUAACAUUUUGUUAAACAAAAGUCUGUUUGAAAAUUUAAAAUAUUUUUAAUUAAUUUUAAAUAUUUUAAAUAUAUUUUUAAAAUAAUUUUUAUAUCUAAUAUUUUAUUUUUAAUUAUUCUAUAAAUAAAUGACAUUUAAGUAUAAAUAAAUAAAAAUUAAAUUUAGGUUAAUAUUAUGUGGUUGUUUUUAGUGGACCACCAACUAUUUUUAUAUUCCAUAGAAUCCUAAAUUUAAAUUGAGAUAUGCUAUCUUAAAUUUUAAAUUUUUUAAAAAUAAUUUUUAAGGGCAUGAACUAAAUCUAUAUUUUUUGUUAAGAAUUUCUAUUUUUUUAUUUGGAAGUUUUUUACCAAUUUUUGUUUUUAAAAACAAAAAAAUAAGAAGUACUUAAAGUGUUUUUUAUAGUGAUUUUAAAAAAUAUUUUUAUUUUUUUAAUAUUUAAAAAAUAAAAAUUUUAUAUAUUAAAAAAAUUAAAAACAUUUUUUAAAAUGAUUGUAAAGCCCAUUCUUAAUAUGUAAUCUUAUUAAUUUCUUCUCAUUUACAUGGAAUGAAGAGAGAUUUAAAUGAAUAAAACAAAUACAAGGAUAAAAAAUGAACUUAUUGUACUUUAUUAUUACAUCCUUUCAUUAGAUGCUUUACAUAGUUUUUGAUAAAUAAAAUUAUAAUUAUAUUGAUGGAGGGCCAAUUAGCUUUGCUUUAGGUGAGAAAGUAGAGAUAAGAUUGAAAUGGGCUCACAUGUAAAGCAAGAAUGAAAUCAAAAGUAAAGAGGGAGAUAAGAUUGAGGUGGGUGGACCAAAUAAAAAGUAGGAUAUGAACUUACAAAAGCUUUUGCACUCUUCCCAAAAAGUAAAAGCAAAGCCUAUUAGCAUAAAGUGUGAUGAAAUUAGUCCUAUUCAAGGCCCUACUUGCAUAUUUGAUAUUUCUAUGAAUUUUUAUUUAUUUAUUUCUAAUGUGAGGACUUUUAAGUUAAAAUUAAUUUUCAAAAAAAUAUAAUUUAAAAAAUUAUUUUCAAAUCUACAUAAUUAUUAUAUCUUUUACAAAAAUGAAAUCAUAUAUUGAAGCUUUGAUUUUAGACUAAAAAUCCAAAUCCAACCCACUUAUCUAUGUACUUUAUUGGCAUGGAAGGAGAAGAGUUAAAAAAGUAUUAUCAAAGAUAAAAGAAAAUUUGAUCAUAUGAUAAAUAGAGAUCUUCCAAAAUUUUGAGGUUCGAAGCAGUUACAUUGGAUACGAGAUGACAUUGCAUUGAAAAUUGAUAUUAAAUCUCAUUAGGUGAUUAUAGGAAUUCCUUUACAUAAAUAUAAGUAUUAAAUAUAUCUUACUUUUUCAAAAAGUUUAUGGCCCUUUGUGAAUGUGGGAUGAAUGCAUUUUCAAUUGAGUGAUAUUGUACAUAUAUUAUUAAAAUUUUCUAACACAAUGCUAAGGACACUUAUGAUAAGUUUUUUUUUUUAUUUGAUUUAGGCAAAUACAACUUGAUAUGAUUUUUCAAUAUGUCUCGAAUUCAACUUUUUUCUUUUUAGGGAUUUGAAUUAAUUAUAAUCAGUUUUAAAUCAAAGUUGCAUCAAUCUAUUACAUAUCUAGUUUAAAGUCAAUGUACAUAAUACAUAUUUAAUUUGAAUUGACUUAUUUAAUAAUGGUACCGAUAAACCUAAUGAUAACUUUAACUUAUUUAACUCAUAUUUUACAUCUUUAAUUUUUUUUCAAUAAAUAUAUCAUAAUUGAGUCACAAACAACAUAUUCAGAAGAGUAACUACAUAUUAUGUCAUUCAACAUUUAAUCUGAUUUGAUUAUUUAACAAUAUCUAAUUAUUAAAUAGGUUAUAAUAUAUUACCUAGUUGAUAAUUACAUUGUGUUUGAGUUUAUGUUUUUAACCUUAAUUAUUAUUCACGUCAUGUUUGAAUUGAGAUAUAUAGUUGAGAAUUUGAACUUUGAUAUGACACAAACACAAUCGACCAAUAUAUUGAGACAUUAGAAGAGUAAUUUUGAUAAAAGUUAAUAUUUAAGCACUUAAGUUAAUUUAAAUUAAAUUAUAUCGUAUAUUAACUUGAUUUAUUAAAAUUAUUGUUGAUUUUAUAUUAUAAUAUUAAGUUAUUUUAUCAAAGAUAUUGAAUAUUCUUAAGAAAUUAAAUUUAGUCAUUAAAUUUGACUUAUCAACAUCCUCUAAGGUCUUCUCAAUUUUUAAUAUUUAUUUGAUACACGUUUAAUAAGAAACAAGUCAAAAUGUGUUAGCUCAAAAUUUCAAUACAAGCAAGAGUUGAAAGAAAGCGGAAAGAAGGGCCUCUCCGAUAGCUUCCAUGAGAGAGAGAACAACUUUACAGUGGAGUAAUUAUGAGAGAGGGAGAGAGAACGACUUUACAGUGUAGGAAUUAUGAGAGAGAGGGAGCGAGAGUUAUUGCUGUGGGAUGUAGCAAUUAUUCAAUUUUGAGAGAGUGAGAGAGGGAGAGAGACGUUUAAGUACAAAAUAUUUCGGUCCGUUCGUUGAAAGAAAUGGUAAGAAUAACACCCGCAUGGAUUUGCGUUCUUAGAAAGAAAUAAUUAGAAAAAUAGGUACUUCCAAAUAUUCGCAAUUUUUUUAUCAAUCUAAUUAUUCACAUUUCAGUGUUUUAAAAGUUUCAAAAAUAUCCUAAAAAUCAUAUUUUACAAUUUUUUUAUCGAUAACUAUAAUUUCAAAAAUAUUUUAAACCAUUCCAUUUUGUAUUAUGAUUUUAAUAUUAUUUUUAAAAUAUUUUUAUUAUAAUAUUAUUUUUAAAAUAUUCUUUAUCAAAAAUAUUCUUUAAAGUUUAAAAAUGAUAUAAAAAAAAUAAUUUUUUUUAAUUCAUAUGUGAUAAAAUACAUAAAAUAAAUAAAUAUUUUAUUUAUCAUAAAUAUAUAAAAUUAUAUGGGAAUGCAUAUAGGUGAAAUUAUUUUCUCGAAAUUUCAAGGAAAAUACAAAGAAAAAAAUAAAACAAAUAAAAAUAUAAUUUUAAAAUAGUCGUAAAGAAAAAAUUUGUUAAAGAUAACUUGUUAAAAAAAUAAUUUUAUGUUGACAAUGGAAAAUCGUAAGAAAUUUUCCCUACUCCAAAACGAACUUUGGAACCCUACGUACAUUCUUAAGAAAAUCUGGUACAUCGUUAAAAAAUUUUGGUACAUCAAUCACUUCCCAAAGAUCCUUAUAGGUAUAAAUAGACUAUGGAUAAUAAAAUAGCAGUCUUGAUAGCUUAAGGAUUAAAUGUACUAAUCUUUUUUUUUUAAAAUGUAUCAAAUUUUUUCAAAGAUAUAUCUAAGGUUCUAAAGUCCGUUGUGGAAUAGGGAAUGACCUCCGAUUACUUUCCAAAGAUCCUUAAAGAAAUAAAUAGAUCUGGGUAAUAAGAUAAGGAUCAUGUACCAAAUUUUUUUAAGGAUGUACCCAAUUUUGUAAAUGAUGUACCAAAUUUUAUAAAGGAUGUACCAAGGUUGCCAGAGUUGGUUUUGAGGUGGAGAACGACCUCUAAUCACUUCCCAAAAGUUUUCAAAGAAAUAAAUGGACCAUGGGAAGAGAGAUAGGUGUCCCGUUAGCUCAAAAAUUGGAUGUAUCAAAUUUUCUCAAUAAUGUAUCUAGGGUUUCAAAAUCCAUUUUGGAGUAAGAAACGACCUCCAAUCACUUUUCAAAGAUCCUUAAAGGAAUAAACAAACCAUGGAUAAUAAGAUAAGAGUUUUAGUAGUUCACUGAUUUGAUGUAUCAAAAUUUUUUAAGGAUAUACUAAAUUUUAUGAAAAAUGAAUCAAAUUUUAUAAAUGAUGUAUUAAAUUUUGUAAAGGAUGUACCAAGGGGGCUAAAUUUCGUUUCGAAGUGGGAAACGGCCUCUAAUCACUUCCUAAGGUUGUCCAAAUGAAUAAAUAUACCAUAUGAAGGAAAAUAGGUGUCCCGUUAAUUUAAGGAUUAAAUAUAUCAAAUUUUCUUAACGAUGUACCAAUGGUUCUAAAGUUCAUUUCAGAGUAGGAAACGACCUCUAAUUACUUCAUAAAGAUCCAUAAAGAAAUAAACGAACCAUGGGUAAUAAUAUAGAAGUCUUGGUAGCUCAUGAAUUUGAUGUAUCAAAUUGUUUUAAGGAUGUGUCAAAUUUUGUGAAAGAUGUAUCAAAUUAUCUUUAAGAUGUACCUUGGGUUCCAAUGUCUGUUUUAGGGUGGAAAACAACAUCUAAUUUCUUCUUGAGGGUCCCCAAAUGAAUAUAUAAACUAUGAGAGUGGAGAUAGGGGUCUUAGUUCUUCUAAGAAUUAAUUUACCUAGGAUUUCAAAGUUUGUUUUCAGGUGGGCAAGAACCUCUAAUUACUUAUUGAGGGUUCCAAAGGAAUAUAUACACCAUGAUAAGUAUGAAAGUGGUUCUGAUUCCCUUAAGCAUGAAUUUACCCUUUUUUUUCUUUAAGGAUGUACUUUUUUUUUAAUGAAAUUUAUAUAAAAAAUUAAAUACAAUUUUUUUAAUGAAAAAUAUAUUUUAUUUUAAUUAAAAAUUAAAAAUUUUAACCAAACAAAAAGUUAGAUCCAUAAUCAAUUUGAAAGCACUAUUAGAAUGUAUCAAUAUGUAAUAUUUUUUCCCCAUUUUACAUUAAAAUUAAAAAGUAAAAAACAAAAUUCUAAAAUCUCAUAUCAUGAGGGUAAUUGUGAAACCAUUUGAAAAUACUAUUGAAAUACAUGAAUAAAUAAUAAUUUUUUCUCAUUUUAGACUAAAAUUAAAAAAAAAAAAAUUAAAAUCUCAUAUUUUUUUAAAUUGAUGUAUAAUUAUUCGAGUUCUUUGUAUUUAUGAAACCAUAAUUAGUAAUUAUGUUUUUAAAAAAUAUAAAACCAUAAUAAUAUACCGUGGCUUUCAAGAUAUUUUUACAAUUACGUUUACUAAUUAUGAUUUUAUGAUUAUUGUGAUAAAAAAUGUUUUAAAAAUAAUGUUAAAAUCACAAUACCAUUAAAAAAAAAAAUGAGCGGUGGCUGAGAGAGUGAAUUAUUGCUGUGAGAUGGCAUGCAACAACUUUAAAGUGUAGCAAUUAUUGAAUUUUGACCGAGAGAGAGAAAAUCAUUGUCGUGGGAUGGCAUGCAACAUCUUUAAAGUGUAGCAGUUUACAGUGUAGCAAUUAUUCAAUUUUGACAGUGAGAGGGAAUUAUUGCUGUGAGCUGGCAUGCAACAACUUUAAAGUUAGCAGUUAUUGAAUUUUGACCAACCAUAUCCUCAUCCAAAGUUCCCAACCCAUCUUGGUUACUUCAACAAAUUUUUAUCCCGUUCUAGAGUAGAACGGGGUCGGAAUUUUUUUAGAAGUUAUGGUCAUCCUAUCUUAUUUAAUAUUUUCUGUUAUUUUUAUUAUUUUUAAAUUUUAUUUUUAUUAAAAUAAAUGUAAUUUAUGAGUAACUAAAUUAUUUUUCAUAAAUUUUACAUCCUAUCUUUAUAAAAAGUAAAUUUGCAGCUUCAAUUUAAAUAAGUUUAAAGAGAAGAAAUGGAAAAAGAAAUUAAAUUAUUUUUACUUAAUUUUAUUUAUAAAUAAAAUGGAAUGAGAUAAUACUUAGAGUACGGUUGAUAAUUAUUUUAAAAAAUGUUUUUAGUUAAAAAAUAUUUCUUUUAAAAAAUAAAUUAAGAGUAUAUUUGGUAAUUACUUUUGAAAAUAAUUUUUGAGAAUAGUUGUUUUAUAAUAUUUUGUAGAAUAAAAAUUUGUUUGAAAACCUAAAAUAUUUGGACUAAUUUUUAAUAUUUUUAAAUAUAUAUUUAAAAUAAUUUUUAUAUAUAAUAUUAUAUUUUUAAUCAUUCUACAUGUUUAUAUAAUUAUUUUUAAAAAAAAUCAUUAGAAAAUAAAUUAAAAAAUAUAAAAAAUAACUAAAAAAUGUUAUUUAAAAAUACCAUAUUUUUUGUUCUUAAUAAUAAAAAAUAGAAAACAAUUUUUUAUUGUCAAAUGUAUUUUCUUGAUAUUUUGGAGAACAAAAAACUAUUUUAGAAAAUAGUUGUUAAACAAACAUUAGAUGUUAGAUAAAAUUUUAAAAAGACUUCUAAAAAUCUAAAAAAAUCACUUAUACUAUUUUUUUUAGAAAAUCACUUAUAGUGUUUUUAAAAAAAUUACUUGACAGAUAAUUUGCUAAAAAUAUUUCAAGUAAAAAUACUGUUAAACACAUUAUUAAUAUCAUUUAACCUAACCUUGGAGUUAAAAAAUGAUUUAUCAAAUUCAACCUCAAUCGGUUUAAACUCUCCCAAACCCAUUCCCAUUUGUAAUAUCUGGUUUUGAAAAAAUAAAAAUAAAAAUAAAAACAUAAUAUAAAGAGUAGGAGGAAUAUCAAAUAUAAAAAGAGGGUUAAAAAUGUUUUGUAAUGGUUGGAAGUGUUUUUCCUACAAAUAAUGAUGCAUUUUGAAAAUUUUUAGAAAUUAAGAGAAUCACUUUGAACUUACAUUCGAUACACACUUUAUUUAAAACCAUUUUUUAAAUUAUAUUUCUUAUGAUCAAAAACAUUUUUAAGACACUUCUAAAUGCUAACCUACAUUUAAAAAAAUGUCAAGAUAAUUUUUUUUUCUAAAAUAACUUUUAAUUUAUUAUACUUUAUUAUUACAUUUUAUUUUUUGUUUGAUGCUUUAAAUAGUUUUUAUUAAAUAAAAUUAAAAUUAUAUUGGUGGAAGGCUAAUUAACUUUGUUUUUAAGUGAGAAAGACAGUGAUAAGGUUGAGGUGGGUCUAAAAAAAUGAAAUAAAAGAAUGAAAAAAAGAAAAAGAAAAGAAGAAGAAGAUAGAGAUAAGAUUGAGGUGAGUCUGUAAUUAAAAAAAAAAAAGAGAAAAAGAAAAAGAAAUGCAGAGUAGGAGACAAAGUGACAAAAGCUUUUGCUUUCUUCAAAAAGUUAAAAACAAAGGCUAAUGGCAUCAUGUCAUCAAACUCUAUACAAGACACUACUUGAAUAUUUUUAUGAUUUGUUAAUUAAACUAGUCUUAUACAAGGACUAAGUUAAAAAUAAUUUUAAAAAAAAUAUUAUUUAAGAAAUUAUUUUCUAAUCUACAUAAUUGCUACAUCUUUUUUACUUGAUUUUAGUUCAAUUUCAUUAAUAUGAAAUCAUUUAUUUGAGCCCAAAAAUCCAAAUCCAAAUCCAAAUCCAACUCAUUUAUUUAUAUACUUUAUUGGCAUGGAAUGAGAAAAGUUAUAAAGUGAAAGAAAAUUUGAUCAUAUGAUAGAGAUUUCUGAAGUUGGAGCCAAUUCAAUGCCUAGUGGGUAUUAAAAGAAAAGAAAAGAAAAGAAAGAUGUGGAAAUUAAAGUGGAACAACCAAAAUUUUGAGGUUUGAGGGGAUGUCACUGCACCUUCCAAGUAACUGUCUAAGAAUGUGAGGUGUCAUUGCAUUGAAAAUUAAAAUUAAAUCUCAUCAAGUAACUAUAAGAAUUGCUUUACUUAAAGACAAGUAAUAAAUAUAUCUUGCUUUUUCAUAAAAUUUAUGACCCUAAGUGAAUAAAAUUUUUAGAGUGGGAUGAAUUCAUUUCACGUGAGUCAUGUCCUAGAUAUAUUUUUAGAAUUUUCUAGCAAGAUAUCAAGGGAAACUUUAUGGUAAGUGUUUUCUUUCUAGUGAAGGUGAGUACAGUUCGAUGUCAUUCAUAAACAUAUUUCAAACCCAAUAUACUUUUUUAGGGAUUUGAAUUAAAUAGAUUUGUAUUUAUUUUAAAUUCAUGUGAAUAUAUAUAAUUCAUUUAAUAAAUAAAUUAUUUUUAAAUUAACUCAGAUAACCCACAUUUGACUCCAAUUAACUUAUUUAAUAAUGGUAUUGAUUAAUAUAAUAAUAACUUUAAUUUAUUGAACUCAUUUAACUCAUUUAAAAUUUGUUUUUCAAUAAGUAUGCCAUAAUUGGGUCAUCAUAUAAUAUUAGAACAUUAAGCAUAUUAUUUCAUUCAACAUUUAACUUGAUUUGAUUAUUAAACAAUAUCUUAUUAUUAAAUUGGUUAAACAGGAAAUGAUGUAUCAGCUAGUUAAUAAUUAUAUAGUGUUUGAGUUUAUGUUUAUGUUUUUAAUUUUGAUUAUUAUUCAUGUCAUGUUUGGGUUGAGUUGUUUCGUUGAUACAACACAAACAUAAUCUACCAACAUAUUAAUAAAAAAUUACGAGAUAUUAGGAGAGUAAUUUUGGUAAAAGUUAAUAUUUAAUGAUUUAAGAUGAUUUUAAAUUAAAUUAUAUUUAAAUGAUUAAGUCAUAUCAAAUCAUUAACUUAAUUUAUCAAAAUCAUUUUUUAUUUUAUAUUAUAGUAUUAAGUUAUUUUAUCGAUCAUACUUAAUAUACUUAAGAACUUAAAUUUAGUCUUAUCAACAUUCUCUAAGGUCUUCUCAAUUUUUAAUAUUUAUUUGAUACAUAUUUAAAAAUAAACAAGUCAAAAUAUAUUAUCUCAAAAUUUCUAAUUCAUACUCCUACAAGAUUUUAAAAUUCAUUAAUUAAUUUGAAAGAAAUUUGUUUUGGAACAUGCAAGUGAUGGACAUAUCACAUAUCUUAAAUUUCUAACUAAAAAACCUCGUAACAAAAUAAUUUGAUGAAUGUUUUUCAGUUUAAAAAACUCAGAACCAUUUCACAAUGAUUUUGGGAAGUUAGAAAUGUUUUCGAAUGCUUGAAAAUGUUUUAAUAACGAAAAUUAAACAUUUGAUAAAAAUUAAAGUUCACAUUCUAAGUAAUUGAUAGUGCUUCUUAUAAUUUUUUUUUCUUUUCAUUAUAUAUAUAUAUAUUAGACAUCUAAAAGGUUUCACCAAUUAAAUGGUGUCACAUAUACAUUUUUAUAUAACAUGAAUUGUAAAGGUUUCAUCAAUUAGGUGGUGUCACACAUAUAUUUUUAAGUCUCAUAGUUUAUAUCAUUGUACCUUGGCCACAUUUGUUUAUACAUUUGUUUAACGAUUUAGAUCUCACUACAUAUAUUUAAUGGUUUAGAUCUAGACUUCGAUAGGUACCACUACAAAACCUUAGUAUUAUAUAUACAUAUACAUCAUACUAACUACUUUUUUUUAUAUCAAAACACUUACAAUAGAAAUGCUACAAAUUAGUUUUGAUCAAAAUAAUUUCCAAACCAACCAUAAUAUUUGCAUUAGCUUUAACAUAUAAUAUCUUUUAUUUUAGUUGUUGAUAUAGCUACAUAUAAGACCAACCAUUCAUAUGAUAAUUAUUAUGGAUCUUAUUUUAAUUUGAUAAAAAUAUCUACCGAAGCAUUAUGCAAAUAGGGACGACAAUGGGGUGAAAUAUGGACGAGUCGUUCCUAUCCCAACUUACCUCAUUUAUUUAAAAUAAUUCUCAUUCCCGUCUCAUUGAAGAAAUUAAAUGGAAUGGGAUAGGUAUGAUGCCUACCCCUUUUAAUUUCUUUUUGAAAAUUUUUAAUUUUUUUAAAAAUUAUUUUUAAAUUUGUUUAAAUACAUUAAAAUAAAUAUAUUUUAUAAAUAAUUUUAAUUUUAAUUUUUUAUAACUUAUUUAUUAUUAUUAUUAUUAUUAUUAUCAUUAUUAAAAAUAGGAAAAAUAACAAUUUACGUCUAAUUGAAGCAGGACAAGGUAAUACCUAAACCUGCCCCAAACUCGUCUUGAGUUUUAAAAAAAAUUUCAAAGAUGCUUUUAACUCAUUUAUUUAAAUUUCAAAUCCAUCCUAUUAGGGAUGGGGUGAAACUUGUCUCAUUGUCAUCCAUGUAUGCAAGUCAUAAAUAUAUAAUAAGAAAAAUAAUAAUAAAAUUAGUAUCUAUUUAGAUAAACUUGUUGUUUUUUGUUUUUAAAAUAAGAAAAUAAUAAUAACUUUUAUAUAAGAUAUAAGGAUAUUUAGAUACUUAUAUUAAAAAUAAUAAUAAUAGUUUUAAAAAUCAUUUAAAAUUUUAAGGUAUUAAAAAAAUUUUACUAAACCAAAUUUAAUUUUUUUUUAAAGAUAUGACAUAAAUUUAUAUAUAUAUAUAUAUUUUGUAUAACAUGUUCUACUUUCAUAUAGAAAUUUCUAAUUUUAAAAACAAAAAAUAACAAAUGUAUUAAAUGAACACUUAGCUUCUUAUUUUUUUAGUGGUUCACCUUGCCCCUUAGAUAAGAAGAUUAUGAAAAUUUUCAAUAAUUAUGAAAAAGAUAAAAGUACUAAAGGUGGAAAGACUUUGGACAAAAUUAUGUGUGAGAUGGUGUGCAUCAACUUUAAUUUGGACAAUUAUGUUAAUGGGAAGAUGUUAUCCUCGUCUCAAUCACUAACUUUAAAUUGUAGUACUUAUUGUAUUUUGGAUAAUUAUGUUAAUGGAUCAUGUCAUCCUCGUCUCAACUCAUCUUGAUUAUUUAAGUUAUAAGUUAUAGUCACCAUGUCUUAUUUAAACUUUUAUACUAUUUUUUAUUAUUUUUAAAGAUAAAUCUUAUUAAUUCAUAUGUGAUAAAAUACAUAAAAUAAAUAAAUAUUUUAUUUAUCAUAAAUAUAUAAAAUUGUAUGGGAAUACAUGUAGGUGAAAUUAUUUUCUCAAAAUUUCAAGGAAAAUAUGAAGAAAUAAAAUAAAAUAAAAAAAUAUAAUUUUAAAAUAGUUGUAAAGAAAAAAUUUGUUAAAAAAAUAAUUUUAAGUUGACAAUAGAAAAUUGUAAAAAAAUUUCCCUACUCCGAAACGAACUUUGGAACUCUACGUACAUUCUUAAGGAAAUCUGGUACAUCGUUAAAAAAUUUUGGUAUAUCCAAUCACUUUCCAAAGAUCCUUAUAGGAAUAAACAGAUUAUGGGUAAUAAAAUAGGGGUCUUGAUAGCUUAAGGAUUAAAUGUACUAAUUUUUUUUAAGGAUGUAUCAAAUUUUUUCAAAGAUAUACAUAGGGUUCCAAAGUCCGUUUUGGAAUAGGGAAUGACCUUCAAUCACUUUCCAAAUAUCCCUAAAGAAAUAAACAGAGUAUAGGUAAUAAGAUAGGGAUCCUAAUAGCUUAAAAAUUGGAUGUACCAAAUUUUUUUAAGGAUGUACCCAAUUUUGUAAAUGAUGUACUAAGGUUAUCAAAGUUGGUUUCGAGAUGGAGAACGACCUCUAAUCACUUCCCGAAAGUUUUCAAAGAAAGAAAUGGACCAUGGGAAGUGAGAUAGGUGUCAUGUUAGUUCAAAGAUUGGAUGCAUCAAAUUUUCUCAAUGAUGUACCUAGGGUUUCAAAGUCUAUUUCGAAGUAGGAAACAACCUCCAAUCACUUUCCAAAGAUUCUUAAAGGAAUAAACAGGUCAUGGAUAAUAAGAUAAGAGUCUUAGUAGUUCACGAAUUGGAUGUAUCAAAAUUUUUUAAGUAUGUACCAAAUUUUAUGAAAGAUGAAUCAAAUUUUAUAAAUGAUGUAUCAAAUUUUGUAAAUAAUGUACUAAGGGAGCCUAAUUCCGUUCCGAAAUGGGGAACGACCUCCAAUCACUUCCUAAGGUUGUCCAAAGGAAUAAAUAGACCAUAGGAAGGAAGAUAGAAGUCUCAUUAGUUUAAGAAUUAGAUGUAUCAAAUUUUCUUAACGAUGUACCUAUGGUUCCAAAGUUCAUUUUAGAGUAGGAAACGACCUCUAAUUUCUUCCUAAAUAUCCAUAAAGAAAUAAACGAACCAUGGGUAAUAAUAUAGAAGUCUCGGUAGCUCAUAGAUUAGAUGUACCAAAUUGUUUUAAGGAUGUGCCAAAUUUUUUGAAAUAUGUACCAAAUUAUCUUAGGAUAUACCUUGGGUUCCAGUGUCUGUUUCAUGGUGGGAAACAACAUCUAAUUCUUUCUUAAGGGUCCUCAAAGGAAUAUAUGAACCAUGAGAGUGGAGAUAGGGGUUUUAGUUUUUCUAAGAAUGAAUAUACUUAGGAUUUCAAAGUUUGUUUUGGGGUGGGCAAGACCCUCUAAUUACUUAUCAAGGGUCUCAAAUGAAUAUAUACACCAUGAUAAGUAUGAUAGUGGUUCCGAUUCCCUUAGGCAAGAAUUUACCUAUUUUUUUUAAGGAUGUACCUAUUUUUUUAUGAAAUGAAUAUAAAAGAUUAAAUAUAAUUUUUUUAAUGAAAAAUAUAUUUUGUUUUAAUUAAAAAUUAAAGAUUUUAACCAAACAAAAAGUUAGAUUCGCAAUCAAUUUGAAAGCACUAUUGGAAUGCAUGAAUAUGUAAUAUUUUUUUCUCCAUUUUACACUAAAAUUAAAAAGCAAAAAACAAAAUUCUAAAAGCUCAUAUCACUUUUGAGGGUAAUUGUGAAACGAUUUGAAAACACUAUUGGAAUACAUGAAUAAAUAAUAUUUUUUCUCAUUUUAGACUAAAAUUUAAAAAAAAAAAUUCUAAAAUCUCAUUUUUUUAAUUGAUAUAUGAUUACACAAUUUCCUUGUAAAGAUAUUUAUCAAAUCAUAAUUAGUAAUUAUGUUUAAAAAAAAUGAUAAAAUCAUAAUUAUAGACUGUGGCUUUCAAGAUAUUUUUACAAUCACGUUUAUUAAUUAUGAUUUUAUGAUUAUUAUGAUAAAAAAUGUUUUAAAAAUAAGGGAAACUUGUGUUUUAGGGCACUUAUAUAUAAAAUAUAUGGCAUUCAGACCCUAAGUUUAUGAAAUAUGGAAAGUAAUCAUUAAUGGACAAAAUAAUAUUAGAAUUAUGCACUCUGUGCUGAGUCAAUUUUAUCUGCCCAAAUUGCCCCUGAUGUCUUUUGCAUCAGCAACCAAAUAGCUUCCACAUCAUACUUAAAUAAAAAAAAAUUGUGAAACUUGACAAUUGCUGAAAAAACUACCCGACCCGACUUUAGUUGUCCCAUUCUCUCUUUCUCAUUUUAGCAAAAAAAAACCCUAACUUUCUUCUCAUAAACUUCUGUAGCCCUAAAUCCAUAUUUUAGUUUGUUAGCAACCAAAUCUGAGAUUUUUCCUAAGCCGAAAUCUAAAAAACUUGCCAUUUCAGAAGGUCAUUUGAAAUCUGAAUCAGCCAAAACCUUCAGUCCAACAAAUCGAACCGUUACCCAUCUUCCCAGUUUCUCAGAUUUCUCUGUUUGUCUCUUAACAUCUCAAUUAGUCGAACCUAUCUAUCUCUUAACGUCCUGAGUAGCCGAAGUUGAUGCCCAUCUUCCCAAUACCUUGAAGUAAACUGAACGGGAGACAUAUCUUGUUUUUGUAUCAUCAAAGUUGGAAUUUUGUUAAGGUUUCUCGAAACGGAAUUGGAGUUUUCCCAUUUGCGCGUGUUUUCCGAUUAAUCAAUCACAGGUGAGUUUUCAUUUACGGGUUUGUUUGGAUGGUGCGAACAUCUUAGGGUUUCAGGUGUUUUAUUUUGGGGUUUCUUGUAUUUAGCUUCAUUUUCGGUAGAAUGAAAUAUAGUAUAAAUUUUUUUAGGUUAAAGAUAUGUUCGUAUUUAGAGAAAAAAAUUAUUAUUAUUAUUAUUAUAUAUAAAUAUAUAUAUAUAUAUAUAUAUUUAUUAUUAUCACAUAUGCUUUCCAGGAAUUCUAUUGUCAUAAGAUUUUUGGGGAAAUUGGUUCAUCUGUAUUACUUGGAAAUUUUCUUUCAAUUUUAAUGGUAUAUAUGAGAGUUACUACUAGCAGCUAAACAGAUUAUUUGCUUGGUCAUUUGUCAUUGUUAUUGCUUUACUAAUUUUGAAUAUCGAUUUCAUUGUGUGUAUGCUUUUAUUAUUUUGUCAUUUGUCUUUGCAUGAUAGAAUUGAAUGUAUGUUGUUGUUGUUAUUGUUUUAUGAAUUUGAUUUGAGACAUGAUAAAAUGAUAGCAAUAAGCAUCUAAAAGAUGAAUGUUCACUACAAAUUUGGGAUGAAAAAGAAGUGACGGCUUUGUGAAGUGUUGGUCAUGCCUUAAUUUAUUUGCAUAUUUGAUUUAUUUUUGAAUUCUUCUUAUUUAUAUUUUAAAUGUUUAAUAUGUUGUUGAGGUAAGAAUUGGUAUGCAUUUUUUCUCAGUUAUGUUUUCGAGACCAUAUUACAUUCCUAAGUCUUUAAAUUUGAGAUGAGUAUAGUUUUGUAUUUGUCUUUUUAUGAGUGGAAAAUCGUAUUGUAUGUGAAGAAUUGUGGUGAUAGUGUUGUGAAAAGUUCGUGUAACACAAAAUUAAGUGUUGAAAUUUGAAGGAGAGAAUGAAUAAAGUAGACAACACCCCAUAUGGUAGAAAUGCAUGAAGAACAUGAUACCCAACUAUAGUCAAUGCAUUAAUGCUCUUUUGAUAGCUGUUUUGGAAUUUGUGGUACUGCAACAUAUAUUCGAAAAAAUGAUAAAUGAAAUGGGUUGACUGUUUUGUAAGUCAAUUUUUUUUUUUUGGUGAAAAGAGAGAAAGACAUGUAGUUUUUUGUUUGUAAGUAGUGAAGUUAGUUGUGUUAUCCCUUUAAUUUCCUCUUCUGAUCCUUUUGAUGAAUUUGGGUCAUGUCAAACUAUCUAUUUAUGACUCUAAGUUAAUAUUGGUCAGUUUUGUUUUCGGACAAGAAUGGACAAUACUUUGCAUAUUUACAAAUUGGGCAAAAUUGAAGGUACUGAUUGACAACACUAUUUAAUUGCAAAACUGUUGUGUCAUGUCUGUUAUUAUUUGGCUGGUAAAUGAGUCAUAUUAUUACCCUAUUGGUCCUUUAUUGGAGGACUUACCAAUUGCACAACUCUCCACUUAGUUUUUUGUAGUAUGAGUUCCCUCUAAAUGAGUUGUGCCUUUAUUUUCAUUGAAAAUGAAACAGUUAAAUUAUCUAUUGAAUGAGUUAGACUUUGACACUAUUUCUAAGCAUUUUUUGCAUGUAAGAUAGUAUAGGUUAGGACCCUUGUAGUUAAAAUUUUGAGUUUUUUGGUUGUUAGUUAAUUUUUUUUUAGCUCAUUUAUGAACUUAUAUUUUCUUUUAUUAGGAAUUGAACGGUGAAAAAUGAAUUGAAAAAGAUUAGGUUACAAUGGAUUCCACUUUAGAAGAUGAACAAAUUUGUAUUCCACAUUGACUUGCAUUUCAAGCGUGAUUUUAUAACCUUGGCAAUGUAGUGUUUGAUUCAAAAAUAAAAGUUUCAAAUACCUUCAAUUUUGGACACAAUAAACUGAAUUUUUCAUGAAAUUGUACUUUUGUUUCAUAUGAGAACUGUGGAUUUUAAGACAAUGCUCAUAACUGCCCUUGCUUUGUGACCUAUAGUUUAGUCUGCUUUUACUUGGUAUCCACUUCAAAUUUAUUUUAGCUUUUACUCGGUGGUCCUUUUAUACUUUUUGAUUGCUCAAGUAAAACUAAUCAUAGGCAAUUCAACUUUUGGUUUGUUGAUUAUGGGUUGGUUUAUGUUACCUUUUCCAGGUAGAGAACGAAGAAAAUUUUGGAGAUGGGACAAAAAAUGCUAGAGAUGGAGAAUUGAAUUCAGAAACUAGAGAAACAGAACCUGAAAGUGCUGAAAAAAUGAGGUAAAGCAGGUAGUAUUUGAGAAGAGGACAUAUGAAAAUAAAUUAGACUCAAAUGAUGACGAGAAAAAUAUUAGAACAAAUUCGAUUAAUAUAGAAUUGGAAAGUAUGAAUUUUGGCAUGUGAGCAUGUAUAUGCCAUAUGUAGUAAAUGAAUAUGUUUCAUUUUCAUUUCCUCUAUGUUUGAUGAAUAGUAUGUGGGGCGUUGCCUAUGCCAUUUGUUUGAAGAUAUUAGGACAUGUUUGAUGAAUUACUGUCCAUAGAUGCUAACAGUGUGUCAGAGAAGUAACUUUUUUUUCAUAAGAUUUACUGAAAUUUAAUUUAUGCUCACUUGAGUAGGAUAUCGUUGCUUCUUGCCCAAGUACUUUGAUUUAUAUUGGAAUGAGAUGACUAUGUUAUACAGAACAUAGAAACAAAAGUUAAAUUGAAAGGAUGACAAUUUUUUUUUUGCUUGUGUUCAGCCUAACAUAAUUACAUGUAGCUCUUAGGAGAACAAGAAGGAUAAUUAGAGUAAUGUUUCCAUGGUAGCAGUUUAAAAUGCUUUUGGAAAUUUUCCAACUAAUCUGAAGCUUACCAAAGGGCACAAACCUAAUACAAGCUUUGUGAAGCAAUAGUAGAAAGGGCACACGCUUGUGCUUCCGUGCAUUGUAUUAUCUUAACUUCUUUGAAAAUUUAUAUAUGCGUGUUUCAUUCGGAUAGUUAUGAACCAUUAUGAAUGUUAUAGGGAUAACAAAUUAUGUGUAAUGCAAUUAUGAUGUACAUCCAAGUAAUAGUAGGGUAGGACAAGUAGUUGUUAAUGGUGAUAAAUAUCUUUAUAUAGUUGUUCAAUUGGAGCAUUGGAAAUAUUCCUGUGCAUGUAUAUUUACCUAUGUAAAUUAUACAUAAAACACAAACAUGUUCUUGAGGAUGGACGAUGUUCAUAGAGAACAGGAGUAACAAAACUAAGAUAAAUUGCUUUUUUUUUUUUCACAUCUAACAUGUUUGAGUUAUAAAAAGCUUCCAUUACUUCCUAUCUUCUUAUUAUUAUUUAUCGACUAAUUGACGACUUACUUACCAAAGCAUUUUAUUUAGAUGAUAAUUAACUGGGUUGAAAACCAAAAAUGAAUUAAAUAUAGACGAACAAUUGAAAAAUGAAACUGAAAUGUGGAACUGAAUGUGCGAACGUAGCAUCAGUUUGGUAAAUCAGUAGAACAAUGCUUACCGCUUAGUAUUAAAAUUAGACUUGAGCCCGUUUGGCUGUGAUUCUAAUGGAAGGGUUUUUAUUGACAGUGUUGAGGUGAAUAACACUUUUAUGAGAAUCAGGAAAAUGAUUCUAAUGGUGUUUUAUAAAAUAUGUUGUAUAAAUAUAAAAACACUUUUAAUAUUAAUAAAUUACAACAAAUGACAUACAAUUGUAAUUAUGAAAAUGAAAAUAGUAUGAUAGACAAAAAACUUUUUAUUAUAACACUAUAAUAUCAAAAACUGGUUUAGAGUAUCCAGUGAUAGAGCUUUAACAUUGGGUCAAUCAGGCAGAAAUGCAAGCAUAUCAGGAGCAGAAAAUGAUAGAGCGACAAUAAAAAUUGAAAGCUAUUGUCAAGGUUCAUGGAGAAGAUGUCUUUUCAUUUUGGCUUGUAAUGACGAUUUAGAGAUCACUUGGCUGGUGCAUACCUAAUAAAAAAACAAUUACCAUUGGUUAAGGAAAGUUGCAAAUACAACAAGGGGACAAAAAAUGAAGAAAGUAAACCCAACAAAUGUGGAGUUCAAACCAAAAUUUGCAUAUAUGGAACAAAUGUUCAAAGUGUUGUAUACCACAUCAUCAUAUUAUUGUAUAAAAUUAUGCCAUCAUUAUAGUACCAAAUAAUUGUAUACAUAUCUUUAUAGUAAUAGAGAGAUGUGGAUGAAAAUCGGUAUACAGGGACUACCGAUCAUAAAAAUUGGUUAGUCUAAAAUGCUUAGCCAUAUACAGUGCAUUGAAGGCAGGUACUUCAUGAAAGGAAAAUGUGAAAUGAGUAUGACAGGUGACAUAGAUCAAGAGUUCAUUUUGCUGUUCUCAUGUUCUAUAGGUUAUAUAAAAAAAUUGUUGCCUUAAUUUCUCAUAACAUGGAAAACAAAAAGUAAUGUGCACAAUAAUGGAAAUCCUUAUCAUUGACACAUGUAUGACAACAAUUGAAUAUUGAAAAAUGAACAAAAUCAUAAUGAAAUGCCAUAGUAUAUAGGGUGCAUUAAGGUAGUACAUAAGGGACAUUACAGUAGUACCUAGGGUACGUUAAUAUAGUACCUAUGGUCCAUUAAGGUAGUACCUUCACACUAGUAUGAUUAGAUACGGUACAAACUGACUAACCAAUUAAGAUAGAGUAAUGCCAAAAUCGAAUCUGUAAUGGAAUGAAAUAAAUGUGUCAAAAUUAGUUCAAAAGUGCAAAAUUUCUCCAACAUGCAUUAAGGACAAUAACCAAUUGGACCUUACUACAUAAGGAGUAGUGAGAUAGCACCUACGAUGCAUUAAGGUUGAACCUAAAGUGCAUAAUGAUAGUAAGUGAAGUGCAUUAGGGUAGUACCUAAGGAGAACAUUCUAAAAAAUAAAUUAUUUUUAAAUAAUGCCAUAGACAAUUCAGGACACUGUGUACUAAGGGAAGAUGUUGGACAUAUAUCCAUUCAACGUCAAAUUAGGAUGGAAUUGAAUGUCAAACGUAGGUCCUAUGGUUGAGGAAAGUGCUACCUACGAUUGAUGAACAACCCAAGGUUCACGAACUCACUACCUAAGCUCCAUUAAGUUAAUAACUAAGGUUCACAAUGGUAGUCCUUAAGUUGCAGUAAGAUAGUACUCCUAAGGCUCAUUAGGGUAGUCCUUAAGCUGUAGUAAGAAAGUACUCCUAAGGUUCACUAAGGUAGUACCUUAGACACAUUAAAGUAGUACCUUAGGCACAUUAAGGUAGUACCUUAGCCAUAUUAAGGUAGUUAAUCAAGUGCAAUAAGGUAUGACCUAAGGUCAACGGGAUGCCUUACCUAUUACAACAUAAUAAUGUCAUGCUCAAUUAAAGAAAUUGUCAUUUUCAACCAAAUGACUUGGUUAUGUAUCAAAAUAUGAUGAAAUUGAAUGACAAAGAUACAUUCUAUGAUUAACCAUGGUAGUACCUAGGAUUCACAAAGUAACCACAAAGUGUUUAUGAAGCUAGUAGCCAAGUUGUGCUCGGGUGCAUCAUUAAAAUUCCUAAAUAUGGAGACAAUGUGGUAUAGUCAGGUAGUACCUAAGGGACAUUAAGGUAGUACCUAAGGGCCAUUAAGGUAGUACCUAAAGCACAUUAAGGCAAUACAGUAGGUACGUUAAGGUAGUACCUAAGGGACAUUAAAGUUGUACCUAGGGUACGUUAAGGUAGUACCUAAUGUACAUUCAGGUAGUACCUUCACACUAUUAUGAUUACAUAAGGUACCGAUUGACUAACCACUUAUAACAUAAUAAAGCAAUGAUCCAAUCUAGCAUGCAAUUUUUUAUAAAAUGUGUCUUUAGUAAAAAAGUGGAACAUUUAUCCAAUGUACAUUAAGGGGAGCAACCAAAUAGACCUUACUACCUAAUGAGUAGUAAGAUUGUAACUACGAUACAUUAUGUUACAUAGGUAAAGUACAUGACGAUAGUACCUAAAGUGGAUUAGGGUAGUACCUAAGGAGAACAUUCUAAAAAUCAUUUUAGAACAUAAUAAUCCCAUCUACAAUUCAGGAAAUUGUGUACUGAGUUCAGAAGUUCAACAUAUAACAAAUAAUUAUCAAAUUACGAUGGAAUUCAAUGCCAAAAAGACGUUCUAUGCUCGAGGAAGCUCCUACGUAGGAUUGAUAAAGUAAGUACCCAACAAUCAUAAACCAACUACCCAAGCUCCAUUAAGGUAAUAGCUAAGGUUCACAUAAAGAGUCCUCAUGCUGCAAUAGGAUAGUACUGUAGGUACAUUUACGUACUAUCUUAGGUACAUUAAGGUAGCCACAUGGGCAAUCUGCCCUUUGCCUUAGGUCAAAUGUUCACCUAUGCCAUUACAACAUAACAAUGGCAUGCUCAAUUAAGGAAACUGUGUAUUAUCUACUCAUUUCUUGAUUCAUCUUAAAACUUGGAUGGAAUUGAAUGCAAAAGAUACAUCCUAUGAUUGAACAUGGGUAAUACAUAGUAUUGACAAAGUAAACUACAGUUAGUUCAAAAAUUAAGUACCCAACGUGUGCUAGGGUAGGGCUAUAAAUUUCACAAUGGUCAUAUGUAUAGGACAUUAAGGUAGUACCUAGCGUACAUUAAGGUAGUAUCUAAAGUUUAUGACGAUAGUACCUAAGGGUUACUAAGGUAGUACCUAAGGUUCAGUCAAACAGUGCUUACAUCUAAGGUGAACAAACUCACAAAAAUUGCAAAACAUGAUGCCCACACACGUUGCAAAGGUUCAUAAAGGUUACAAGCCAAGGUGUGCUAACGUAUAAGACCAUAAAUAGCCUCAUGACUUCAUGUAGAGCAUGUAAGAUGUGUUUGACAUAUGGGAAUUGGAUUGGAAAUGGAACUGAAUCAUAAUAUUAUAUGGAAGAGAUGAAUCAAAAUUCUAGUAGGGGUAAGAGUAGGUUCCCGUCAAAAUGAAUACAUCAUUCAUAUUCUCAUAUUAUAAAACAAUCUAAACAAAUUAAUGCAUGGAAAAUGUCAUUACUUCCCAUUUCUCAUUCUCCAUUCUACCUUUACAAACAUUACCUUAUAGUGUUACUCAAGCAUUAUCGAAUUCAUAUUUCACGACAUUCAUACCACAACAAAAACAAAAGAGUAUCAUAUUUUUUUCAUUCUAUCUAACAAUAACCAUUGUAACACAUCAUGGAAGUUACCUUUGGUGCAACAUUCACAUUUCCAAAUACACCAAUGUCCAAAUACUCAACAAGACAGGGGAUUAAACCUGCAAGCAUGCGGUCUAAAAUCCACCUGCACAUAAAGCUAUCGCCUCACCACUGAACACAUAUUUCAGAGUCCAACAACCACUCUACAAUCGUCGAUAUGCUCCAUUAAAAACAAACAAACAAAACAACACUAAAUAAAAAUUAAUUACCGUAAGAUUUUUUAGUGGGGGUUAGGCCAAAAUACAACCCAAUCAGAUGAAGAGGAGAUUUCUUCUUCACGAAGCCAAUAUUUCACACUUUCCGUAUUCAUUCAGGUUCACUCAGUUGAACCAGAAUUUGAAUCACAUUGUUGCCUCUUCAAACCCUCUUUUUAACUAGACGUUGUUACCAUGAAGUGCUUUAUUUGCUUCUUCAGAAACUGCACAACAAAAAAAAUGUAGAUUGAGGUUUUCAAUUCACGGUUUCUUCUUUGAAAUGUGUGAAAUUUUGCAAAUUUGAACACGGUCUCCGCUCCGGCUGGUUGCGGACAUGAAGACGAAUGAGAGAAAUGUUCCCAAACUUUAAGAGGAUGAAGAAAAGAGAAAUUCCAAUCUGGGUAUCAGUUCGACUUGUUGGACAUGAAGGUUUUGACUGAUUCAGAUUUCAAAUGACCUUUUGAAAUGACAAGUUUUUGAGAUUUCGGCUUAAGAAAAAUAUCAUAUUUGGUUGUUGACAAACUAAAAUGAAAAUUUAGGGCUAUGGAAGUUUCUGGGAAGAAAGUUAAGUUUCUUUUUGCUAAAUGAGAGAAAGAGAAUGGGACAACCAAAGACGGGUCGGGUGGUUGUUUCAGCAAUUGUCAAGUUUCACAAUUUUUUAUUUAUUUAAGUAUGAUGUGGAGGCUAUUUGGUUGCUGAUGUAGAAGAUAUCAAGGGUAAUUUAAGCAGAUAAAAUUAACUCAGCACAGAGUACACAAUUCUAAUAUUAUUUUGUUUUCAUAAAUUUGGGUUUGAAUACCAUAUAUUUUAUAAAUAAGACCCUAAAACACAGGUUCUCUAAAAAUAAUAUUAAAAUUAUAAUACCAUUAAAAACAAAAAUGAGCGGUGACCAAGAGAGAGAAAAUUAUGGUUGUGGGAUGGCAUGCAACACUUUAAAGUGUAGUAGUGUAGCAAUUAUUCAAUUUUGACAGUGAGAGAGAGAGAGAGAGAGAGAGAGAGAGAGAGAGAGAUAUUGCUUUGAGAUGACAUGCAACAACUUUAAAGUGUGGCAAUUAUUGAAAUUUGACCAAGAGAAAGAGAGAGUUAUUGUCGUGGUAUGGCAUGCAACACUUUAAAAUGUGUAGCAGUUAACAGUGUAGCAAUUAUUCAAUUUUGACAGUGAGGGAGAGAGAGAGAGAAUUGUUGCUGUGAGCUGGCAUGCAACAACUUUAAAGUUAGCAGUUAUUGAAUUUUGACCAACCAUAUCCUCAUCCAAAGUUCCCAACCCAUCUUGGUUACUUCAACAAAUUUUUAUUCCGUUUCAAACCUGUAGUAGAGUAGAACGGGGUCGGAAUUUUUUUAGAAGUUACAGUCAUCCUAUCUUAUUUAAUAUUUUCUGUUAUUUUUCUUAUUUUUAAUUUUAUUUUUAUUAAAAUAAAUAUAAUUUAUGAGUAAAUAAAUUAUUUUUCAUAAAUUUUACAUCCUAUCUUUAUAAAAAGUAAAUUUGCAGUUUCAAUUUAAAUACGUUUAAAGAGGAGAAAUGAAAAAAGAAAUUAAAUUAUUUUUACUUAAUUUUAUUUAUAAAUAAGAUGAAUUGAGAUAAUACUUAAAGUUUGUUUGAUAAUUAUUUUAAAAAAUGUUUUUAGUUUGAAAAAUAUUUUUAAAAAGAAUAAAUUAAGGGUAUGUUUGGUAAUUACUUUCGAAAAUAGUUUUUGAGAAUAGUUAUUUUCUAAAUAUUUUGUAGAAUAAAAGUAUAUUUGAAAACCUAAAAUAUUUUUGAUCAAUUUAUUAUAUUUUUAAAUAUAUUUUAAAAAUAAUUUUUAUAUCUAAUAUUUUAUUUUUAACCAUUCUACAUGUUUAUAUAAUUAUUUUUAAAAACAAUUUUUAGAAAAUAAAUUAAAAAAAUAAAAAAUAACUAAAAGAUGUCAUUUAAAAUUACGUUUUUUUUUAAUAAUAGAAAACGAAAACAAUUUUUUAUUAUCAAAUGUGUUUUCUUGAUUUUUUGUUCUGAAGAACAAAAAACUAUUCUAAAAAAUAGUUGCUAAACAAGCAUUAGGUGUUAGACAAAAUUUUAAAAAAACUUCUAAAAAUCUAAAAAAUCAUUUAUACUAUUUUUUUUUUAGAAAAUCACAUAUAAUGUUUUUUAAAAAAUUACUUAAUAGGUAAUUUUCUUAAAAACACUUCAAGUAAAUAUACUGUCAAACACAUUAUUAAUAUUAUUUAAUCCAACCUUGGAGUUAAAAAAUGAUUUAUCAAAUCCAACCUCAAUCGGUUUAAACUCUCCUUAACCCAUUCCCAUUUGUAAUAUCUGGUUUUGGAAAAACAAAAAUAAAAAUAAAAACAUAAUAUAAAGAGUAGGAGGAAUGUCAAAUAUAAAAAGAGGGUUAAAAAUGUUUUUUAAUGGUUGGAAGUGUUUUUCAAAUAAUGAUACAUUUUGAAAAUUUUUAGAAAUUAAGAGAAUCACUUUGAACUUACAUUCGAUGCACACUUUAUCUAAAACCAUUUUUUAAAUUAUAUAUCUUAUGAUCAAAAACAUUUUUAAGACACUUCUUUUGAUUUGUAUCUAAAUGCUAACCUACAUUUAAAAAAAAUGUCAAGAUAAUUUUUUUUUAAAUCUUUUAAUUUAUUGUAAUUUAUUAUUACAUUUUAUUUUUUGUUUGAUGCUUUAAAUAAUUUUUAUUAAAUAAAAUUAUAAUUAUAUUGGUGGAGGGCUAAUUAACUUUGCUUUUAAGUGAGAAAGAUAGAGACAAGGUUGAGGUGGGUCAAAAAAAUGAAAUAAAAGAACGAAAAAGAAAAAAGGAAAAAAAGAAGAAGAUAGAGAUAAGAUUGAGGUGGGUUCGUAAUAAAUAAAAAAUAAAUAAAAAAAUAAAAAGAAAGGAAGAGUAGGUGACAAAGUGACAAAAGCUUUUGCUUUCUUCCAAAAAGUAAAAACAAAGGCUAAUGGCAUCACGUGAUCAAACUCUAUACAAGACCCUACUUGAAUAUUUUUAUGAUAGAGAUUUUCCAAAGUUGGACCCAAUUCAAUGCCUAGUGGGUAUAACAAAAAAAAAAAAAAAAAAAAAAAAGAAGAAAAAAAAGAAGGAAAGAUGUGGAAAUUAAAGUGGAACAACCAAUUUUUUGAGGUUUGAGGGAUGUCACUGCACCUUCCAAAUAACUGUCUAAGAAUGUGAGAUGUCAUUGCAUUGAAAAUUGAUAUUAAAUCUCAUCAAGUAACUAUAAGAAUCGGUUUACUUAAAAGACAAGUAAUAAAUAUAUCUUGCUUUUUCAUAAAGUUUAUGACCCUAAGUGAAUAAAAUUUUUAGAGUGGGAUGAAUGCAUUUCACGUGAGUCAUAUCCUAGAUAUAUUUUUAGAAUUUUCUAGCAAGAUACCAAGGGAAACUUUAUGGUGAGUGUUUUCUUUCUAGUUAAGGUGGGUACAGUUCGAUGUCAUUCGUAAAUAUAAUUAAAACCCAAUAUAUUUUUUAGGGAUUUGAAUUAAAUAGAUUUGUAUUUAAUUUAAAUUUAUGUGAAUAUAUAUAAUUCAUUUGAUAAAUAAAUUAUUUUUAAAUUAACUCAAAUAACCCACAUUUGACUUGAAUUAACUUAUUUAAUAAUGGUAUUGAUUAACCUAAUAAUAACUUUAAUUUAUUGAACUCAUAUUUAACUCAUUUAAGAUUUGUUUUUCAAUAAGUAUGCCAUAAUUGGGUCAUCAUAUAAUAUUAGAACAUUAAGCAUAUUAUUUCAUUCAACAUUUAACUUGAUUUGAUUAUUAAAUAAUAUCAUAUUAUUAAAUUGGUUAAACAAGUUAUGAUGUACCACCUUGUUAAUAAUUAUAUAGUGUUUGAGUUUAUGUUUUUAAUUUUGAUUAUUAUUCAUGUCAUGUUUGGGUUGAGUUGUUUCAUGGAGUAUCUAACCUUUGAUACAACACAAACACAAUCCACCAACAUAUUAAUAAAAAAUUACAAGAUAUUGGGAGAGUAAUUUUGGUAAAAGUUAAUAUUUAAUAAUUUAAUAAUUUAAGAUGAUUUUAAAUUAAAUUAUAUUUAAAUGGUUAAGUCAUAUCAAAUCAUUAACUUAAUUUAUCAAAAUCAUUUUUUAUUUUAUAUUAUAGUAUUAAGUUAUUUUAUCGAUCAUACUUAAUAUACUUAAGAACUUAAAUUUAGUCUUAUCAACAUUCUCUAGGGUCUUCUCCAUUUUUAAUAUUUAUUUGAUACGUAUUUAAAAAUAAACAAGUCAAAAUGUAUUAUCUCAAAAUUUCUAAUUCAAACUCCUAUAAGAUUUUAAAAUUCAAUAAUUAAUUUGAAAGAAAUUUGUUUUGGAACAUGCAAGUGAAGGACAUAUCACAUAUCUUAAAUUUCUAACUAAAAAACCUCAUAACAAAAUAAUUUGAUGAAUGUUUUUGAGUUUAAAAAACCUAGAACCAUUUCACAAUGAUUUUGGGAAGUUAGAAAUGUUUCCAAAUGCUUGAAAAUGUUUUUAUAAUGAAAAUUAAACAUUUGAUAAAAAUUGAAGUUCACAUCUAAGUAAUUGAUAGUGCUUCUUAUAUAUUUUUUUUCAUUAUAUAUAUUAGGCAUCGAAAAGGUUUCACCAAUUAAAUGGUGUCACAUAUACAUUUUUAUAUUACAUGAAUUGAAAAAGUUUCAUCAAUUAAAUGUCACACAUAUAUUUUUAAGUCUCAUAGUUUAUGUCAUUGUACCUUGGCCACAUUUGUUACCUUUGUUUAACGAUCUAGAUCACACUACAUAUAUUUAAUGGUUCAGAUCUAGACUUCAAUAUGUACCACUACAAAACCUUAGUAUUAUAUAUACAUAUACAUCAUACUAGCUACUUUUUUUUUUUAUCAAAACACUUACAAUAAAAAUGCUACAAAUUAGAAGUGUUUUUAUCAAAAUAAUUUCCAAACCAACCAUAAUAUUUGCAUUAUCUUUAACAUAUAAUAUCUAUUACUUUAGUUGUUGAUAGAGCUACAUAUAAGACCAACCAUUCAUAUGAUAAUUAUUAUGAAUCUUAUUUUAAUUUGAUAAAAAUAUCUAUCCAAGCAUUACACAAAUAGGGAUGACAAUGGGGUGAAAUAUGCACAAGUCAUUCAUAUCCCAACCUCACCCCAUUUAUUCAAAAUAAUUCUCAUUCUCGUCUCAUUGAAGAAAUUAAAGGGAAUGGGGUAGGUAUGAGAAUUUCAUGUACCCACCCGGCCUACCUCUUUGAAAAAUUUUAAUUUUUUUAAAAAUUAUUUUUAAAUUUGUUUAAAUACAUUAAAAUAAAUAUAUUUUAUAAAUAAUUUAAAAUUAAAAUUUUUUAUAAUUUAUUUAUUAUUAUUAUUAUCAUUAUUAAAAAUAGGAAAAUAACAAUUUAUAUCUAAUUGAGGCAGAACAAGGUAAUACCUAAACCUACCCUAAACCCGUUUCGAGUUUUAAAAAAAUUCUCAAAGAUGCUUUUAACUUGUUCAUUUAAAUUUCAAAUCCAUCCCAUUAGGGAUGUGGUGAAAACCUGUCUCAUUGUCAUCCCUAUAUCCAAGUCAUAAAUAUAUAAUAAGAAAAAUAAUAAUAAAAUUAGUAUCUAUUUAGAUAAACUUGUUGUUUUUUGUUUUUAAAAUCAAAAAAUAAUAAUAACUUUUAUAUAAGAUAUAAGGAUACUUAUAUACUUAUAUUAAAAAUAAUAAUAAUAGUUUUAAAAAUCAUUUAAAAAUUUAAGGUAUUAAAAAAAUUUUACUAAACCAAAUUUUAAAAAAUUUUAAAGUGAUUUUUAAAGAUAUGAUAUAAAUUUAUAUUUUUUUGUAUAACAUGUUCUACUUUCAUAUAGAAAUUUCUAAUUUUAAAAACAAAAAAUAACAGAUGUAUUAAAUGGACAUUUUAGCUUCUUAUUUUUUUUAGUGGUUCGCCUUGCCCCUUAGAUAAGAAUAUUAUGAAAUUUUUCAAUAAUUAUGAAACAGAUAAAAGUACUAAAGGUGGAAAGACUUUUGACAAAAUUAUGUGUGAGAAGAUGUUAAUGGGAAGAUGUUAUCAACUUAUGUGUGACAAAAUUAUGUGCAUCAACUUUAAUUUGGACAAUUAUGUUAAUGGGAAGAUGUUAUCCUCAUCUCAAUCACUAACUUUAAAUUGUAGUACUUAUUAUAUUUUGGAUAAUUAUGUUAACGGGUCAUGUCAUCCUUGUCUCAACUCAUGUUGAUUAUUUAAGUUAUAAGUUAUAGUCACCAUGUCUUAUUUAAACUUUUAUACCAUUUUUUAUUAUUUUUAAAUAUAAAUCUUAUUAAAAUAAAUGUAAUUUAAGAGUAAAUAAAUUAAUUUUUAUGAAUUUUAUAUUAGCAUUGAUAAAAAUUAUAUUUUCAAUUUUAUUUUAAACAUGUUCAAAAUGGGGGAAACGAAAAAAGAAACUAAAUUAUUUUUAUUGAAUUUUUAAAAUAAAAAUGAUUUAAUUUUAAUUUUAUAAAAAAAUUCUCAAAUAUAUCCCUAAUUUGUUUAAAUUUGUCCUAAAUCCUUCUAUAGUUGUCAUCUCUAAUUUUGACCAUAUAAAAAUUAAACCAAAAUAAGAAGGUUGAGGAAUAUCAAAUAUAAAGAGAGGUUGAAAAAAUUUAUAAUGCUUAGAGGUAUUUUUCUUACAAAUAGAACUUGUUUGGUCAUGUGAUUUAAAAACAAUUUUUUUCUUUUUUUUUUUUAAAUAAAAAAUUGUUUUUAAAAAUUUCUAACAAUGUUUGACCAUUGUUAUCUGGAAGCAAUUUUAAAAAAUAAGGUGAAAUAAAGAACAAUUUUUAGAGAAUAAAUAUAAAUUGUUUUUAUCAAUUUUUAAAAACAAAAGGAAAAUAUGAGCCAAUUUGACCAUAUUUUCUUAAACUUGUUUUUAAAAACUUUUUUAAAAAAAACACUUUUUAGAUUAAAAUCAUUUUUUAGAAUCACUACCAAAAUGAUUUUAAGUAUUAUCUCACUUCACCUCAUUUAUAUAUAAAAUCAAGUAAAAAUAAUUUAAUUUCCUUUUCCAUUUCCCCUUUUUAAUCAUAUUUAAAAUAAAGUUACAAAUUUACUUUUUAUCAAGAUAGAAUAUAAAAUUUAUGAAAAAUAAUUUAUUUACUCAUAAAUUACAUUUAUUUUAAUAAAAAUUAUUAUUAUUUAAAAAAAAACAAAAGGAAAAAUUGCCCCCAUUUGAUCAUAUUUUCUAAAACUUGUUUUUAAGUUAAAAAAUAAAAAACAGUUUUUAAAAACAAGUUUCAAAAAACAUGACCAAAUGAGCUGUAUAUAUUUGAAUUUUUUUUUAAAUAAUCUAGAGUAUCACUUUGAAAUAGCACUUAAUAGACACUUACUUGAAUAUCAAUUUUUUUUUCUUUUCUAUUAUGUAUCUUAUCAUCAAAAACGUUUUCAAACCACUUUUUUGGGUUGUAUCUAGGCACCAAUUAAUUCUUCACAAAAGCGCUUUUUUCUACUUAAAAGAGUUAUUGAUGUAAAUGAUAUAGGCUAAAAAAAAAAAGCAUAUAAAGCAUUUAUGAGAAUCAAUCCCAAUGGGUUUUAUAAGUUGUGUCAUUUAUCAAGGUUUUCUUGACUUUUUAUAUUAUAAUCUUUCAUAAUUAUGUAAUUCAUAUUUUUAAAGCAAAUUAACAAAUAUAUUACAUGUAAUCCAAUAAUUUACAUUUCUACCUUCCAUCAUCAUUAUAUGCUUUUAUUUUCAUAAUUAUUAUAUGGUAAUUAUAAAAUAAUCAAAUCUAAUUUUGAUAUAUUUAUGUUUAAGAAUUUAAGAUAUCUACCCUUAAUUUCUUGACUAUCCAAGGAAUAUUAUUUAUGUAAUUAGUAAUUAAUUGAUUUAGUUUUAUUCAACUUUCUUUGCAUAAAGAGAGAUAAGAUAAGUCAUAAAAGGUGAGUUUACAAAGAGAAGGAUAAGAGAUGAUAGUAGAAGGUGGGGUUAUUGAAAAUGAAGCUUCUCUAGACAACCAAUCCUAUCAACUUGUUCAAUGGACGCUUUGAUGUGAAAUGCAUUUUACUCCCUCUCUCUCUCUCUCUCUCUCUCUCUCUCUCUCCAAACCCCUCCUUACUUGUUUUCUUUCUUCCAAAAACAAAUAAAAACAAUUAAUUCCAAACCUCUCCUUACUUGAUAUAAAUAGGAUUUUAUAAUUCUAAUUUAAUGAACCAAAAAUAGAUCUACAAAACUCGAACUUAUAACAUUAUAAUAAAGAUCACCUUAUAUAAAUUGUUUGUAAUAUUGCAUUACUUUGGUAGCACCCUGUCACUUCGUGUUGAUAUUGGCACCUCGUAUCUUCCUUAGCCUUACUCUUGCACACUUAUGUUUGUACUCUCUCUCUCAACAAACCCCUCCUUAGGGAUGGCAAUGGGGCGGGGCGCCCCCCUCCCAAUCCCGCCCCAUUUAUUUAAACCAAUUCCCAUCCCCGUCCCAUUUAAAAAAUUAAACGGGGCAGGGCGGGGCGGGCGGGUAUGUUACAUUCCCAUACCCGCCCCGUUUAACUUUUUAUUUAAUUUUAAUUUUAAUUUUUUUUAAAAAUUACUUUUAAAUUUUUUUAAUUAUAUUAAAAUAAAUAUAUUUUAUAAAUAAUUAAAUUAUUAUAUUUUUUAUAACUUAUUUUAUUAAAAAUAAUUUUUUAUUAUCUAUAUAUUAAAAAUAAUAAAAUAAAAAUUAAAUUAAAUUAAUUUUAAAUUUUAAAUUAAAUUUAAUUUUAAUUUUAAUUUUAUAUAUAAUCGGGGCGGGGCGGGGCGGGGCAAUACCCAAACCCACCCCGGGUUUCAAAAAAAAUCCCAAACCCGUCCCAUACCCGUUUAAGAAAAUAAUAUCCCACCCCAUUAGGGGCGGGGCGGGGCGGGUACCCGAAAUGACCCGCCCCAUUGCCAUCCCUACCCCUCCUUAUUUGUUUUCUUCUUCCAAAAACAAAUAAAAACAAUUAAUUCCAAACCUCUCCUUACUUGAUGUAAAUAGGAUUUUAUAAUUCUAGUUUAAUGAACCAAAAAUACAUCUANNNNNNNNNNNNNNNNNNNNNNNNNNNNNNNNNNNNNNNNNNNNNNNNNNNNNNNNNNNNNNNNNNNNNNNNNNNNNNNNNNNNNNNNNNNNNNNNNNNNNNNNNNNNNNNNNNNNNNNNNNNNNNNNNNNNNNNNNNNNNNNNNNNNNNNNNNNNNNNNNNNNNNNNNNNNNNNNNNNNNNNNNNNNNNNNNNNNNNNNNNNNNNNNNNNNNNNNNNNNNNNNNNNNNNNNNNNNNNNNNNNNNNNNNNNNNNNNNNNNNNNNNNNNNNNNNNNNNNNNNNNNNNNNNNNNNNNNNNNNNNNNNNNNNNNNNNNNNNNNNNNNNNNNNNNNNNNNNNNNNNNNNNNNNNNNNNNNNNNNNNNNNNNNNNNNNNNNNNNNNNNNNNNNNNNNNNNNNNNNNNNNNNNNNNNNNNNNNNNNNNNNNNNNNNNNNNNNNNNNNNNNNNNNNNNNNNNNNNNNNNNNNNNNNNNNNNNNNNNNNNNNNNAAAUUUUAGCAAUCCAAAUCUGUAACUUCUGCAAAAGUUACGUAGUGUUGAGGGAACAACACAUCUUCUCUUACCAUUUUCAUCUUAUGCACUACAUAUCCCAUGUCAACUGCCACUUCCACUACACCUGAAUGAAGUAGGAACACAAAUGAACAUUUCAAGGCAUCAGAUUGUCUGAAAAUUAAAUUGGGAGAGGUAGAACUACCGAUGCUUACAUGGAACUGAGGAAAAGACAAACAAGAGCAACAAAAAUGGAAGAGAAAAUGCAAAUCCAUAAGCCUGUAGCUGCUGUCCAAAGCAGCUUCCUUGUCAAUUGUCAACAAAAAGUCCACUAUGAAAUUCACUGGUAGAGCCACAUAUAGAAAAUUGCAAUAAAUGGAAAAGUAAGAAAUCUGCGCUGGGAAUGGGUGAAGCUUAUUGAAUGUAAGGUUCUAAACAGUCUCUGACCAAACAGCAUUGGAGUAUAGAUAAUAGCUUUUAGAGGGAAGUGAGGUCUUGGUGACCCUGGAAGCUUAAGGCUUCCAGAUACUGGAAUCUUUGUGUGCAGAUAUACAUGAGAGAUGUAGGAAGGAAGAGGCAAGCCUGUGUCAUCUGAGCAGAGGCAUCUGGAAUCUUUGUGUGCCAUUAUUCAAUCCAAAGAGAUGUUGGGAGAGAUUUGUUCAGGAUUUAUGUGAUAUACAGGCUUUUCACAAUCAUAAAUAUGAAGGUAUUUAAGUAUGGCGUUUUGGAAUAAGGUGAUCUACCAGUAACAUAGAAAAUAAGGAGAUCACAAAGGACUACACAGUUAGCAUGUUUGGAAUAGUUGUGGUUGGUUAAUUUCAAGCCCAAGUUUUAGCACCUAAAAACAUGCCCAUUUUUUCCAGCCUGCACGGAAGCAUUCUCUGGUUGUUACAUACAUGGUGUCUGCAUGUCAAUCAACACAUUUUGAUGUUUUUUUCUUAAAUUCCAUAUUAAAGUUAUACUGGACACUUGAAUGUGAACAUGUCUGAUUAUAUCUUUUCUUUCCAGACAUGUUUCAUCUCUCCAGUGCACUGGGUUUGGAUGAACCUUAAAGCUCAGCUACAGAAUGAAACUGGAAUAUUAGUCAUGUUUUCUGUUCAUGGAUUGAUAAAAAUGUUGAGUAAGAUCAAGAAAGAUGUUAAAUGGGAAGAUGAUUUUCUUACUGUCAGUUUGUAUUGAAAAAAUGGUAAUCAGAAAAGAUAUUUUGGAUAGGAUUCAGAAAGAAAAUAUGUUGAUUCAAAAGUUAAAGAUAUAGCACCCAAGGGGCUAUGAUUCUGUGCAUGGAUUUUUCAUGCUUUAAGAUUGUGCAUGAAGUGCUGAUGUUAUAAGGGAUCAAGGGUGGUUUGUGGAGCAGUCCCCUCUUCAGAGUAUUGCAAGUAUUUAAAUAAUCCUGCAAUUCUGGAGUAGGCUUCUUCUAAUUUGCUCUGCACCCAAUCGUUCAGAACAGUGGAAAGCUUCAUUCAGCUGUAAUAAUUUAAUUAUUUAGAUUGAAUCAUAUUCAUUGGGUUUGCAGAUCAGGAGAAAGUGUCAUGGCUUUGAAUGUUUGUCUCUUUUAUAAUAUCACAGUGCAUUGGUCCACAGAGUUGGUAGCAUGACAGUUGAAUGAAAUGACUGAAAUGUAGCAGUCAAGGUUAUAUUAUAUGAAAAUAUUUAAAUAGACUUCACAUAGUGUGCUUGCAACAGUUGUGGACCUUUGAUGGUUGGAAUAUCCUUGCACAUAUGUCAUCAUUUUCUUUUCUUCAGCUCUGUUUUCUUUGUUUCUCCCUUCCUCGGUCAAGCCAAACAGUUUGGUGAUUCUUCAUUUCUUCUUCAUCCCAUCAAGAGAACAACAUCUCAUGCAUCUUUGUAUUGGGUUCCUCCAUCUCCUUCCACCCUAAGGAAAAACGGUAUCUUGCUUAGUUUGGACUUCUCUAUUUCUUUUAAUCAUUGUGAAAAGCAUCAUGAGAAGAGAUACAAUAAAUGUGUUUGUGCUGAAUUAUCCAAAACAUUAUUUUCACAAUCAUAAAUACCAAGGUGUUUAAGCAGCAGGUAAGGAAUCUCUUGAUAAUGAGGUGAGAGGUAGAAACAAGCAACAUACCUGUAUUCAAGAGAAAUUCUGUUCUUCUUUUGAAAUUUGACAACAUUCAUUUAGUCUGAAGUCAAUAUCUGGGCAACUCAGUAUCUCCACCUUCAUUAGGAUUGUAGGAAGCUGGCUUCUUGGAAAUACAUGAAAUGGGGGCAUUUCAAAAUCUAAAAGAAUUUCAGAGUCCUGCUGCAACUUUUGAAUUGCUCAAAUCAGUAACAACUCCAGAGAUAUAUACAUAUAUGCCCCAGGGAAAUAGAGGUGUCCUGGGCAUGCAACCAUGGAAGAUUAGCUCCCUAAUAGGCUCAAGGUUGUGGUCAUAAAAAAUGCACUGAGCGGGUGACUUGCAAUCGGUUGUGAGUCCCUCUUGGUAGCUUCUCAUUUAUUGCACCAUAUGAAUUGCAUUUUCCAACUGCCAAUUUCACCACCCCUAAAUGAACUAGGAGACAUGCUGAAAGCAAAGUUAGACAGCUCAUCAUAGAGUUAAUCCUGCAGGAAUACACCAAAAAGGAAAUCUUAUUAAUAUAAAUGAAUUCAUCCAAUUAAAGGAUAAGGUUGCCUGAAAAAUUAAAUUGAGAGAGAUGGAUAUAGUGAUGCUUACAUGGGACUGUGGGAAGGAUCAACAAGAGAAACAAACAUUGAAUAGCAAAUGCAAAGCCAUAGAGCUUGCAACUGCUGUCAAAAGCUGCUCCCUAGUGAAGUCUUUUAACAAUAAAUUUCAGUGCAAAAUUCGCCUAAUUGCUCCACUUGUAGGACAUUUCAAUAGUAUGAAAACAGGAUAUGGUGAACUCUCCCUGCUUCUGCCAUCAGUGAACUAAUAUGGAUCAAAGAUGAAUCUCGUCAUCUACAUCUAUUUUUACAUGGGAGAUGUGGGCAAUCUUGGGCCAAUCUCUCAUCAUUGGAUUUAGGAGUUGUCUCUGAUUUAUGGUUCUAAAAGCAUGACAGGAAACCCUUCACUUGCCAAAUACUACUGGAGCUUAGGUGAUGUCUCAAUGUGGGGAUGCUAAGGAUACCAGAUUCUGGAAUCAUUACAUGAAAAUAUACAUGAGAUCCAUAGGGAGAAAAUGCAGGCCUUGGUCAUUUGAGAAGAAAGCCACAUCUUGAAAUAUACCGCCAACGAUGAAUUGUCUGCGAGUGGUGAGUCUGUGAGGUUCCCACUGGGACCCGGGGUGUUUCUCACAUUCUUUCAAUCUUCAAUCUGAAGUAGCCACUUGAGCAAUUGUACCUCCAGGAAUGAGUCAUUUUGGGGCAGAUUGUUUUCAUUUUCCUUCACACCAUUGUUUCACCAUAAGGCACUAAAUGAUAUGUAGUUGCAAGACGAAUAGAGGCAGCCAUUAAUGAAAGCUUAUGGAAAUUCAAGACAAACAGAUCUUCAUGGAGAUAUGAGGUUUAGAAAUCCAAUAAAGAUUUGAAAAUCCAAACACAAGUUAUCCAAUGUACCUAUUGGUAACAGAGUUGGGCAGUAUUGUUCUUUCUACCCUUGGAAAAGGACAUCACAUAAGAAAUUCCACUAGUAAUGGGGGGCUUAAGUGAUGUGUUGGGGCUUGGGCAAUGCUGUAUCUUAAGUUAUUCAAGAGAUGUGUGAUCAUGCAUCAACCCUAAUUCUGCUAGCAUAAUCUGUUUUUCAGUCACAAAUAUGUAGUUAAAAUGUAUGGCAGGUCAUGCAUGCAUCUCUUGAAUUGUCAUGAGAAGUGGAGAUUGAGCAACAUACAUGAUUCAAGGGAUGUGCAACUGUUCUUGUGCAUCAAACAAUCUUCAUCUGAUACAGAACCCAGAUUUUUAGCAACUUGUGAUCUCCACAUUUUAACACAUUGGAGGAAGUUGGCCUAUUCAACAAACAAGACAGGACAUCUAGAAAAAAGCAAGAAUUCCAGACAUGUGUUGCUGUCAUGAAUUAUUCCAAUCAGUAAGGAAUCAAAGUGCUAUGAUUUUGAUUUGUGUAACUACUUAGCAUGGAUAACAGACCUAUCUUGGGGAAGUAACUCAAGUCCCAAGCACCAACUCAAUCCUGAGCUCUCUGGGAAACUUGAGGCACCAACUUGAUCAAAGCUGCUACUUGUUUCUAUGGCAGCUCAUCUUCCUCCACUGAUACUGGGGAAAAUGCAAAACAAAGGGAAAUGAAGUCAUGUUGUGAUCCUGUCUCCAUUCUCCUUGACAUAGAUAGAUGAUUUCCUUGCAACCGACAAUGUCUAAUGCUUUCACUUCAGUUCUAGCAUGUGUUUUGGGAAGAGAAUUAAGCUUUCAAAUAUUGCCAAUAUGCAAGGAAUUGAUAAAGGCCAGGUGGGCAGCUGCCACAGUUUACAAACCAAUGGCAACAUUGGAAGUGGAACAUGACACAAAAACUUCAAAAGACAAACCUGUUUUUCACAAUCAGAAAUACCGAGGUGUUUAAGCACAAGGUAAUGCAUCUAUUGACAAUGAUGUGUGACGUGGAGACAUUGUAAAGAUAAAUGGUAUUCUUCUUUUGCAUUGACAACAUGCAUCUAGUCUAGGUCCCAAAUUUUUAGCAACUCCAGAUCUCCACCAUCAUUAGGAUUACAGGAAGCUAACCACUUGGAAAGAGAUGAGAGUAACAUUAGAAAUCUGAAAGGAUUCUAGAGAGCUGCUGCAACUGGUGAAUCAUUCCAAUCAGUAACAACAAGGAGCCCUAUAUACAAUUUUGAACUGUCAGCCUUCAUAGCAUGAAUGAUAAACUUGUCCCUAGGAAUGAGAUGUGCCUUGGGCAUGCAACCUUCAAUUAUUAGUCAGAGUUACCCCUACCUAAUCCAUCUCGAUGUGUCUGGGAAAACGAGGUCCACCAGAUGUUAUGGCCAUUAUCUCAUGGUAGUGGAUGUUUUGAAGCAGAGUCUAAAACGAAGUCAUCACUGGAGGUUAUGGCCAUUAUCCCAUUGCAGCAGAUGUUUUGCACCAGAGUUUAAAACCAAGUCAUUGACAAAGGCCAUAGUGAUGUCAUUGAUUUUAUUUUAAACCUAUCAAAAACAAUAUGAGAUUCACUUUGAUUUCAAGUUAUGCAAGAUCUAUAUGAGCUCAAUUGUUUUGAAACUUGAUUGAUGUUUCGUUGGUCAGGUCUUCUUUAGACAUGAACCUAUAUUUUGUGCUUAACUUGAAGAAGCUGCCAAUAAGACUGAAUAGUCACAUAUCACUCAGAGAGUUGAGAAUCACACAACUUUUUCGUUUUUUUUAGGACUGGUUUGUCAUCAAGUCUUUUGCUCGGUUGUUGUGAUGGUUUGAAAUUUCUAUCUGAUGACUAUAAUCCAUAUAAACAACAACUUGUAUUCUCUUAUCUUAAGCAUUAUUUCGCAAAAAGAUUUUUAUGAGCACUUCUAUUUGGAUGUCUUUCUAACAGUCGUUAGUAUUCAAUAAAAAUGACCUUUACUAAACCUGCAGAUUUUUUCAGGUGAUAUUUUUUUUUUAUUGGUAGCAUAUCCUGAUUCAUAGAGUAUAAACCCUUGAAAAUUGAAAGAAAGACAAUUUACAUAUCAUUAAAGGGUGAUCUGUAAGCACUCUUAUAGGCCUACAUUUUCCUCAUUUGGAUUUGGAAUUUAACCUCUGAUAAGCGUUUACUUGUUUUUAAUCUGUUUUUUAGGAAGACAGUUAAUGAGAUUUUGCCAACCAAAAACAGAGGUUUGUUAGCCCUCCUACCCUCAGGCUGGUUCUCUUGCAUAUGCUUGAAGAAUAUUGGAAACCAAUUAAUUAGUCAUUGCAGUUUCAUAGUCUUACAAGAAAUCUUGUUAUGGUGGCAGGAGAACAGACUGCAACAUAGUCUCAUUUCCCUUCAUGAUUUAGACAUUGUAAAGAUCAAAAACCUGUUCCUGGUAAUAUAAGAAGAAGAGUAGCCAAAGAAUAGGAACAAAAUGUAUUGGAACCUUGUGGACUUGAAUAGUUGGUAUCCAGGUGGCAAAAAUACACAAGAAUGCACUUAACAAACUACUAAUCAACAGGCCAAGAUUCUACUUUCAAGAGACAGGUUUGUCAUCCAUGUCAAGAAGGCUUGCAAUUCAUUUUUGUGGGACUUUGGCAUCAACAAAUUUCUGGAAUUCUUUCAGGUUUCUAAAUGGAAUGGUUCAAGUCAUCAACACAUUCCUAGAAUUCUUUCGUAAAUGUCAUCAUCCUGGCCAACUUUCUUCAGUGUUGAAAGAGGGGGUGAUACCGUGUUGCUAAAAAUUACAGUCCAUAUGUACUAGAUGGACAAGAACUACAACACUUGUAUUAGAAACAUCUCUGUUGCCUGGAUUUGCAUUACCUGCCAUAAUUAAGCACCUUUUUAUUAUUGUAGCAGAGUGUUUCAGAGUCACCCAUACCUAAUCCAUCUUCAUGUCUCUCAAACAACUAGGUCCAUUGGUAGUAGAAGAAGAGCAACUUGAAUAGCUGGUCAUUUCCUUUUAUAAUUUAGGGAUAAAGGUUAAAAACUACAGCACUUGAAUAGCUGGCAUUCAGGUGGACAAGAACUACAACACUUCUUUUAGAAACAUGUAUGUUAUUUCUUCAACUCUUACUCUAUUCCCUGGAGUUGCAUUACCUGCCAUGAUUAAUCGCCUCCUAUUUAUUCUUGUGGAGAAACAGGUUUUGGUGUAUGCAAAGACUAUACAAUUAUUGCACCUCUUGAUUUUCAAGACUGCCCAGCCUCUCCUCGAGCAUCUGGAAUUGUCAAGCUGAUUUAUGGCUAACCUUCCAAGGACCUUAGGGGCUUCAUACAAGGUAGAUCUAGUGUAAGAGAUUCAGAAUUAUCUCUACCUAAUCCAUCUCCAUUUCUUUCGAAUAACUAGAUGCUAUGGCCAAAAUCUCACAUAAGGCGUCAGGUUCAUGUUGGGGCUCAUUCACAAGAUUAAGAUGAAUAUAGAAGGGGAUGUUGCUAAUCUACCACCAGCCAUGUUGUCAAGUUGUUCAAUUUCCUUGUGUUGACUAUGGCCACAGUCACAGUUGUGUGUCCUUUCCCGAAGGAAAUGUCAUUUUGAAACUUUUAAUGUCAACAACAGAACUUUCAUGUUUCUACAUUGAGGUACCUACAAAAAAUUGACUCCCUGUUAGCAUCCAAUGAUAGAAAGUAAUAAUCUGAACAAGGGAACAAGUGCUCUCCUUGCUCUUUUUCAGUAGAACACUAGUUCAUUUCCAAUCAAUUGAGGAGAAAACUAAUUCUAAACACGGAAGCCAGGUACUUGAUUUCUAUUUGACUAGUGGAACAAUUGAAAUGUAUUUACACAUUUAGCAUUAGAUAAGUUUAACAAAAUCACUAAUUAACCCCCAAACCUCUCCCCUCCACCCACCACAAAGGAAAGAAACAACGUUUUGGGAUCCUGGUAGCUUUAUGUUACAAGAUUCUGAUCAACAUAUGCUGCAAAAGUAUUAUGUUGGUCCAAUUCCACUACUUUGCAUUGCAACAAAGUAUAAGUGGGUUUUCUCUUUUCUUCAUCUUCAAAUGAAACAACCCUUCUCAAUAAAAGAAUACAAGAAAUUGAGAGCUAAGAUCAUUUCCUUUCAUUGUGCUCUGUUUACUCUUCUCCUUCUCUUGGUCUAGCCAAACAAUCUUUGGUUUGUCCAUUUCUUUUUCACCCCACAUAAAAAAGCAGCUUGUUAGGUUAUCCCAUCUCUUUAUCCCCUUGUCAAGACACAGAAUUUAAUGCAUUGUUGUCUUGGAUUCCUCCUAGUUAAAAGGAAGCUUGAAAUAUCUCCAGUGCUUCUCUGUUUCUUUGAGUCAAAGGAUAGAAUAUUGCUUUUCUUUGUUUCUUUGAGAUGCAAGAGGUUUGUACAGAACUUAGGUGAUGUAACUAUUGGUCAGUGAGGUAGGCAAAUUUGAAUUCCCUCUAGUCAUGCAGAGUAGUCUUAGAGAACUUUGGAGUCUUGGGCAUUACUGUUUAUUUAGAUAUUCAAAAUGCAUUAUUGCACAUCUUCUUGACUUCCCACAAAUGAACUUGUUUUUCACAAUCAUAAAUAUGGAGUUAUUUAAUUAUGGCAGGUAAUAUACCACCCAGAAAUUGAUGUGGAAGGUGGAGACUAACAACGACAUAGAUGUAUAUAAGGGAUUUACACUUAGUCUUGUGCAUCAAACAACCCUCAUUUAGUAUAAACCACAAAUUUUGGCAACUCGUGAUCCACAAUUUAAAGCAUGGGAGGAAGCAGACCUGUUGGAAAGACAGGAGGAGACAAUUAAAAACAUGCAAGAAUUCCAUAGAUGAGUUGUUGUUAUGAAUUAUUCAGAAUCCACUAGAAAAUUUAAAGCCCAUUAAUUUUGAACGAAAUGCCUACUUAGCAUGGAUCAAAAACUUAUUUUGUGGAAAGAAACCAAGUCUUGAGGACCAAUUCAAUUACCAAAUCUCUGGGAAACAUUAAGGCUUUUUUUAGUAGCUUCCCAAUUAGUGCAUAAGGUGGCAAUGAUAAUUGCUUUUGUGGAAGCUCUUCUUCUUCUAGUACCGAGGAAAAGGCUAUAAUCCUAAAUCUCCAUUCUCCAUGUACAGCUGUCUUCUUCUAUGCAUGUUGUCAGAGAAGAUGAGGAAGCUUCAGAAUGUUAGUUGACAAAUCAAUUGGAGCAAUGGAAUUGGAACAGGACACAAACUUCAAAACAUUAAAAGUCAGUAAUGCAGAUAAGGGCAUUUAUAUGUACACAUAUUGAUCAGAAAUAAACUCCAUCCUUUAGCAACCUAAAAACUCAAAAGAAAGAAGUAUAAUUUCAGAUAUGCAAGAUUUUGAUCAAUUAAAGUCCAAAGCAUUUUAUGUUCAUACAAAUGAGAAGACAGAAUGGCAGCUGGCUUUGAGGAUUGAAAGAAAAAUGAAUUGAUGCUACUUCUCAUUGCUAAUGCCAUUAAUUUGUUGCUGCUUUUUGUAGCCAUGUCGAGCCUGUCCAUCAGAUAAGGUUUGAAUCGCUUCUAUUAUUCUUGUUUAAGACAAUCCCUUCUUUUUUUUUCCAUUUUUUUUUCUUUACAUAGUCAAUCAUCUUGUUUCAUGUUUGCCCUAUAGUUGGUCUGCUGAUGGUAGGCUUCUUUUGAGUGGAAGCAAUGACUCUAUAUUGAAGGUAAAUUGUGGGAACUAUGUCUUUUGUGGUAUAGAUGGGGUUAUCAUAUAGUUGAAUGAUUCUAUUGCUUCCUCAUAGCUUUUCAAGGCACUAAAAAAGAAAAAAACAAAGGUAGAACUAGGAAAAAUAUUUCGUCCUGAUUUCAGGUAUACUUUUUCCUUAUGAAGUCUUAUUUUGGUAAAUUACAGUUAGAUAUAAUCACAUGG